Molecule: long non-coding RNA, 117050 nt
Filed under: Citrus x clementina
Lineage: Eukaryota; Viridiplantae; Streptophyta; Magnoliopsida; Sapindales; Rutaceae
Description: Citrus clementina (C. clementina) long non-coding RNA (CCLE_LNC002735)
Source: RNAcentral
UUGCUGUGGAGGAUGUUAGUAAGUUCAUCAAUUUCUUGCAAGCAAAAGCUUGCAGGCGUGUGAGAUUCCGAAAAGAUACCGAUGAUGAUGGCAAUGUUGGAACAUUUUCAAAAUAAAUGUGUCUUAUGGUAAAGACAUGUCCUAUUAAUUGUGCCUUAUAGAAAAUGUACCUUUCACUAAAGACAUGUCUAAUUAAAUGAUGUCUUGUUGUAAGGACAUGUCCAUUUAAUUGUGUCUUGUAGAAAAUGUAUCUUUUUACUAAAUGAUGUAACUUUUCAUGACAACAUUUCACUUAGAGAUGCAUCAUUUCAUGGUGACAUUUCAUUUGAAAUUGUGAUGAUUCAAUUUGGACCAUUGAUUAAAAUCAAAUCUAGAUCCAAUGGCCAUGAAUGAAGGGGUAUCAUGAAAGAUGACAACCCAAAUGAGGGGGCACAAGUAUAUCUAUAAAUAGGGAUCAUGUUUAAGCCAUUUAGACAUGAAAUAAAUGAUCCUACACCACUCUUUUCUUAGCAUUCUUUUCUAGUACGAAUUUCAACACAAAACACCCAUUUCUUUUGUGCAUUCACAUUCCAAUAUAUUGUUUUCUGCAGGAACAAUAUAUUGUUUCUUGGCAGGCUUGCAACAUUCAAGAGUAUUCUGGUUUGCUUUCGUCGAUGCACAGCGCAAGCAAACAAACAAGUGCUUCAUUGUAUCCUGGAGGCGUAUUUGCUUAACCUAUGUGCAUCACUCAAUUGGUGGGGGCAAAUAACGUCUUAAGGAAAGCGACAUUUGUAACGUGCCUUGAAGCACACAAAAUUUCUGCAGUUUCUUCCUAUAUACAGAGUUAGUUGUAAACACAUUACUUUACAUAAUAAAGUUCCACCAUUAUUGUUGUAUUUUUCUACAUUUGCCAUUCCCCAAAAAUUUUACCACCAACAAUCUUAAGACGUUAUUUCUACAACAAUGGCACCAAGUUCAUCUCUUCGACAAUUCACAGUAGAUUUUGUCAAAUUGGAGCGGUUCGAUGGUGGCAACUUUAUUCGUUGGCAGAAAAAGUUGCAUUUCUUGUUGACAAGCAUCAAUGUGGUCUAUGUUCUCACAACACCAAAGCCUCAAGAACGUGAGAAUGAGACAUUAGCGGAAACCAGAGUGCAACAUAAGUGGGAGCAAGAUGACUACGUGUGUAAGGGACACAUUUGCAAUGCCAUGUCUGAUACUUUGUUUGAUCAAUAUCACAACAAACCUACAGCAAAAGAGAUAUGGGACUCAUUAGAGGCUAAGUACAUGAUGGAAGAUGCCACAAGUAAGAAAUUAUUGGCUUCUAAAUUUUUUAAUUAUAGAAUGGUUGAUAAUAGAAUUGUGGUUGAACAACAUAAUGAGAUUUUGCAUAUUCUUGAUCAAUUCAACCAACAUAACAUGAAAAUGGAUGAGUCUAUUAUUGUCUCUUCAAUUAUUGAUAAACUUCCUCCCUCUUGGAAAGACUAUAAGAAAAGUCUUAAACAUAACAAAGAGGAAAUUAGUCUGGAUGGCUUAGGCCAAAGUCUUCGCAUUGAAGAGGAACUCAAGCUUAAUAGUUUUGAGGAUCAGACUACUACGUCCUCUAAAAUUAAUGUCGUAGAGGAAGGGAAGGAGUUUAAACAUUCUAAUCACCCUAAGAAUAAUCAAAAGAGAAAGUUUGAUUCCAAAGAGAAUCAAAACAAUAAGAAGAAAAAGAAGGGUACAUGCCACCACUGCGGAAAACCUGGCCACUUCAAAAGAGAUUGUCGACUUCUGAAGAAACAAAAGAAAGUUUCGAACACAAAUUUUGUGGCCAUGAUAUCUGAGAUUAAUGUUCUUGAAGAUGAUAAUGCAUGGUGGAUAGAUUCAGGUGCAACCAAGCAUGUAUGCAAGGAUCGUAGCCUUUUCAAAUCUUAUAAAGCAAUGGAUGAUGGAAGUGUUCUUUACAUGGGAAAUUCCUCCACUGCAAUAGUUAAAGGAAAAGGCAAUGUGCAACUAGAGUUUACUUCUGGAAAAACUUUAACUCUUAUUGAUGUUUAUCAUGUUCCUGAAGUUAGGAAAAACCUUGUAUCUGGUAGCCUUCUUAAUAAGUUUGGCUUCAAACUUGUUUUUGAGUCAAACCAAUUUAUAUUAUCUAAGGGUGGUACCUUUGUUGGGAAAGGAUACAUGUAUGAAGGAAUGUUUAAACUCAAUAUCAAUAAUAUGAAUGUUUCUUCUGCUUAUAUGGUUGAUUCAUUAUCUUUGUGGCAUAAUCGUUUAGGACAUGUGAAUAUUAGAAGAUUGCAUGAUAUGGCUAAUUUAGAGUUAAUUCCUAAGCAUGAAAAUGAUAUGCAUGAAAAAUGUAAAGUAUGUGCACAGACUAAAAUCACAAGAUCUCCUUUUCCAAAAAUUGAAAAAACAUCUUCUUUAUUGCAUUUAAUUCAUAGCGAUGUGUGUGAUAUGCAUAGUAAUCCUUCUAAAUGUGGUAAAAAAUAUUUUGUAACAUUUAUUGAUGAUUUUUCAAAAUAUUGCUAUGUGUAUUUAUUACAUUCUAAAGAUCAAGUGUUAGAAAAAUUUAAAACUUAUAAAAAUGAAGUUGAGAAUUUUUGUGACACUAAAAUUAAAUGCCUUAGAAGUGAUAAAGGAGGUGAAUAUGCUUUUUCUGAAUUUUGUGAAUCUGUUGGCAUUGUACAUGAAACUAGCACUGCAUGUACUCCACAACAAAAUGGCGUAGCUGAAAGGAAAAAUAGGACAUUAAUAGAAAUGGUUAAUGCUAUGCUUUUUAAUGCUGGGCUUGGUAAAGGUUUUUGGGGUGAAGCUAUUUUAACUGCAUGUCAUAUCUUAAAUAGAGUGCCUAAUAAGAAAACAAAGGUGACCCCAUAUGAAUUAUGGAAAAAGAGAAAGCCUAAUCUUUCUUAUCUAAGAGUUUGGGGUUGUCGAGCCAUUGUAAGACUACCAAAACCUAAGAUAAAGAAAUUAGGAGAAAGGGGCAUUGAAUGCAUAUUCUUGGGAUAUGCUGAGCAUAGUAAAGCUUAUAGGUUUCUUGUAACAGAACCUAAUAGCUUUGUUGAGAUCAAUACUAUAGUGGAAUCUAGAGAUGCAAUAUUAUAUGAAAAUAGAUUUUCCACUAUACCAAAAAGUAUUGAUUCUCAAGAGAAUGAUAAACAAAUAGAAAUUGGUCAAAAGCGUGAUGCUAAUAAUGAGCAAAAUCAUUUGAGAAGAAGUAAAAGAAUAAGGACUAUAAAAUCUUUUCCAGAUUUUAUAGUCUAUUUAGUUGAAGGGACAAGAGACUCACAAUCAAAACAGACCAUGAUCGUAUCUACUAUAGAGUCUGAUCCCCUCACCUAUGAAGAUGCAAUGAAGUCUCAAGAUGCUGCUUUUUGGAAAGAGGCCAUUAAUGAUGAAAUGGACUCUAUUGUGGGUAAUAAGACUUGGAAAUUAGUUGAUUUACCACCUGGCUCUAAUCCUAUAGGUUGUAAAUGGAUUUUCAAAAAGAAGAAGAAAGUUGAUGGAACAAUUGAAAGAUUUAAAGCAAGACUAGUAGCAAAAGGCUUUACACAAAAAGAAGGCCUUGAUUAUUUUGAUACUUAUGCACCUGUUGCAAGAAUUGCUACUAUUAGAGUCUUGAUUGCUUUGGCUUCAAUUUAUCAAUUUGAAAUCCAUCAAAUGGAUGUAAAAACAGCUUUCUUAAAUGGAGAAUUAGAUGAGGAAAUUUACAUGAAACAACCAGAAGGGUUUGUUAUGCCAGGACAAGAACAUAAAGUUUGUAAACUAGUCAAGUCUUUAUAUGGUCUUAAACAAGCUCCAAAGCAGUGGCACGAAAAGUUUGACAAAGUGAUUGUCUCAAAUGGAUUUAAUAUUCAUGAAUCUGAUAAAUGUGUCUAUAGCAGAUUCAAUGGAAAUAAAGGUGUGAUUAUUUGUUUAUAUGUAGAUGACAUGUUAAUUUUUGGUAUUGAUAGUGAGAGCAUUGAACUCACUAAAUUAUUAUUGUCAUCUAAUUUUGAUAUGAAAGACAUGAGACUUGCUGAUGUGAUUUUGGGGAUUAAAAUUAUAAAAAAUGAGAAUGGCCUAGUAUUGACCCAAUCACAUUAUAUUGAGAAAAUUUUAAAGAAAUUUAAUUAUUAUGAUUGUAAGUCUGUGUCAACACCUUUUGAUUCAAACAUAAGACUGUAUCCUAACACUGGCAUAUCAGUAUCUCAAUUAGAAUAUGCACGUAUUAUUGGGUGUUUUAUGUAUGCGAUGACUUGUACUAGGCCUGAUAUUGCUUUCGCUAUUGGAAAGCUCAGUAGAUAUACUAGUAAUCCAAGCCAAGCACACUGGCAAGCAGUGUACAAAAUUCUAAAAUAUUUAAAACAUACAAUGGAUUAUGGUAUAUACUACACUGGAUAUCCUUCAGUUUUGGAAGGAUUUUCAGAUGCUAGUUGGAUUACUGAUCGAGAUGAUCAUACAUCCACAAGUGGUUGGAUUUUUAAUCUUGGUGGAGGAGCUAUUUCAUGGGGUUCAAAGAAGUAAACUUGUAUAGCAGACUCCACCAUGGCUGCAGAAUUUGUAGCGUUGGCUUCAUGUUGCAAGGAAGCUGAAUGGUUAAGGAAUUUGCUUAUAGAAAUUCCUAUUUGGCCUAAACCAAUGCCUCCUGUAUCUAUUCACUGUGAUAGUGAGGCAACUUUAUCAAGAGCAUAUAGUCAAAUCUAUAAUGGAAAGUCUAGGCACAUUGGUCUGAGACAUAGUUAUGUAAGACAAUUACUUACAGAUGGAGUAAUCACAAUUGACUUUGUGAAAUCAUGCCAAAAUUUGGCAGACCCCUUAACUAAAGGUCUUGCAAGGGAUAUUGUAUUUAAAACUUCUAAGGGGAUGGGACUGAAGCCAACAUCAUCUUAUCACCAAUGAUGGAAACUCAACCCAACACUUGAAAUAUCAAGAUCUUGGGUUCAAUGAGCAAAAGUACAUCAUAUGUUGUGAUAGGAAGCACUAUAAUAUUUUUAGAUGCGUCCCAAAGGUUAGUGCUUGAUACUUGUAACAUAUGGGAAAGGUUAAGCUACUUAGCUUUUAAUGGACUUAUAAAUGUUUUAGUUACAGGGACAUUCUAGAUAAGUCUACCUAUGUGAGUGUAUGAGGUGGUGCCGCUUCCUAUGUAACUUGGCUGGUUACUAAAGCGCUAAUGAAAACAGGAUAUAGACACAGGGCCAAUCCACGUGUCGGCUAAGGAAUACUUGAGAAUUUGAAAACUUAUGUGUGAGGUAUAUCCGGUUAGUCGAUUAAGGUCGCUGGUUCAAAGCUUGCCUACCAUGCCACCUUGAUUAACUUUGAUGUAUUGUCACUAAGUGAAGGUUCAAGUCCACAAGACACCUUCAUCUAUGCAUAAGUUUUCCAAGCCUGUGUAAGAUAAUUUUUCAAAAUUCAUUUAUUUUGAAAAUGGUGGGGGAUUGUUGGAACAUUUUCAAAAUAAAUGUGUCUUAUGGUAAAGACAUGUCCUAUUAAUUGUGCCUUAUAGAAAAUGUACCUUUCACUAAAGACAUGUCUAAUUAAAUGAUGUUUUGUUGUAAGGACAUGUCCAUUUAAUUGUGUCUUGUAGAAAAGGUAUCUUUUUACUAAAUGAUGUAACUUUUCAUGACAACAUUUCACUUAGAGAUGCAUCAUUUCAUGGUGACAUUUCAUUUGAAAUGGUGAUGAUUCAAUUUGGACCAUUGAUUAAAAUCAAAUCUAGAUCCAAUGGCCAUGAAUGAAGGGGUAUCAUGAAAGAUGACAACCCAAAUGAGGGGGCACAAAUAUAUCUAUAAAUAGGGAUCAUGUUUAAGCCAUUUAGACAUGAAAUAAAUGAUCCUACACCACUCUUUUCUUAGCAUUCUUUUCUAGUACGAAUUUCAACACAAAACACCCAUUUCUUUUGUGCAUUCACAUUCCAAUAUAUUGUUUUCUGCAGGAACAAUAUAUUGUUUCUUGGCAGGCUUGCAACAUUCAAGAGUAUUCUGGUUUGCUUUCGUCGAUGCACAACGCAAGCAAACAAACAAGUGUUUCAUUGUAUCCUGGAGGCGUAUUUGCUUAACCUAUGUGCAUCACUCAAUUAGUGGGGGCAAAUAACGUCUUAAGGAAAUCGACAUUUGUAACGUGCCUUGAAGCACACAAAAUUUCUGCAGUUUCUUCCUAUAUACAGAGUUAGUUGUAAACACAUUACUUUACAUAAUAAAGUUCCACCAUUAUUGUUGUAUUUUUCUACAUUUGCCAUUCCCCACAAAUUUUACCACCAACAGGCAAUAGACUUAACAGAUUUUGACAGUGAUAUGCUCUUAGAAUUUCAAGAUGUUGAAAAAUGAAGUCCGGCUGUUUGGAAUCGUGUUUCCACAGUUGCUGUAGAUGAUUAAGUCUUGUCAGGUGUAACUCUUUUAUCAGUGCUAGCUUCCUCGCAUGUGUCUCCAAAUACCACUUCGUACGAACAAUCCGACAGGUGGAGAAAUUCCAGAUUGUGAAACCUCUCAAGUAAACCAAGUGGAAAGAAAGCUAAGUCAUCAUCCUCAACCUGUAGUCGUUUGAGACUGCCAAAGAUGUGUUGGGGGAAAUGGCCUUGCAAAAUCAUCGUGAUAUCUUUUCCACUUAAUGCCAGUUCCUCCAAGUUGGGUAAGAUCUGAUCAUCAUCGAGCUCAAAUUAUUAACUCAGCACAUUGAUCCAUAAUUCAAGACUGGCAAAAUUCAUUAUGUAAUCAAAGUUUUCAAUGAUUAUAUAUAUAUAUAUAUAGUGCUUUCGUUGGAAUUAAUUAUUAAAAGCUUUAAUCAAACAAUGUUUGGAUUGGGUCGGCCUAUCCAACUUUUAAAUAAGAUUACCAACUUUAAAUUAAAAUUGCUUUAGAUCGCGGUUGGUCAGGUUUUAGUGGAGGUACGUGGCGUUGUAUCUAGAUCGAUGCAGAGCCAAGUCUGUCCUUUGGAACCAGAUCUGACUUAGGACAGAUCAAUAUUCCGCACGCUCUAGUUUCCAGCCGAUAUACCAAUAUUAUUUACCAAAUAUUUAUUAAGUUCUUUAGUCAAGCCUAGCAACAACAUUCAUCUAAAGGCUUGGGUGCAUACACAGUACUAUUUCCUUCUGGUAUCAGAGCCAAGGGGAGGAUAGUGUAAUACAGUUUAGAGUUUUGUGUUUAAAGACUUGUGUUUUAUUUUGAAGUUUUGUUGUGUGGUGAAUUUUUACUGGUAGUAAGUCCCGUCCAAGGAUAAGUUUUUCGUUUAGGGCUGUAAAACCAUACCUGUAGCCAUUCUGACCAAACCAUAAAUAGACCAUAGGUUUGUAACCAUGGAUCCUCUACUCUGUAGAACAUCGUCCUUUUCUAGCUCUUCUUCCGGGAAGACUAGUGAUUCAAAGCAUGUUGUGAGUUCAGAAGAAUUCGUUAUUGAGAACUUUGAUAAAGCAAUUGAUUGUUGGGAACUUCCAAAAGUUUCUAAAGAAAAGAUUUACAAAACAAAAAAGCUUGAUUUUCUAAAAAAUGAUUAUGUAAUAAAGACUGAAGAAAGAGACAUAACUCUCUCAGAACCUUUUGAAACAAUUCAUUUGUUUUCAGAAAAAUCUUUAAAGAAAUUAAGAGAAAAGAAUUAUAAUUAUAUUCACAUUGGUUUAAUCCAAGUUGGAAUAAAACCUUUGACCAAAGAAGGCUUGGAUACUUCUAUCCUUACUGUCCUUAGAGAUGGGCGAUUCAUCUCUUUUGAUGAUUCUUUGCUAAGUAGCAUCGAAUCCAGUCUUUGUAAAUGUCCGAUCUCUUUUGAUUGUUAUCCAAACAUAACAAUUUCUCUUAAAGAUAAAAACAUUUUGAAAAACAUGAUCUUACAAAUCAAAACGCAUAAUUAUAAUAUGAUUAAGGGAUCUGUCCCAGUUGCCUUAAUUUUCAAAAUUUCUUAUAAAGCCAUGAUCUUUGCGUUCAGUACGCAACACAAAUUCCAGUCAGAAAGAGAUGAAACUCUUCUCUUGCAGACUGAUAUGUCUAAAGCCAAUACUGUCAUUCCAAAACCAAUCUAGUGGAAAGAUGUCAAUCUUCCAGAAGAAUGGAUUCUUGAAGGAGCUGCUCCACCAGCAAUUCCAAAACAACUUGAACCUAAUACGGAGUUGCAAAAAGUGACUCAGUAUUCUGAUGGUAGAGUUAAACUGUCUUUCAGGAGAUCUAACUCAACCAGAUUUUCUGAUAAAGAGUCGUGUUCAAGUAUUCCUUCAUUAGAAAGGAAAUUCACAAAAAUCCCUUCUGUCAUAAAUCUUCAUUUUCAAAGUCAACCUAGGUUUUCCACUUCGGCUAUACCUAGUUCUUCCAUUUGUUCUGUUGACUAUACUACAAACAUUCCUCAUCCUAUUUAUACUAGCAGUCAACAUGAACAAAGAUAGGAAGAGAAGUAACCUUCUCCUCCAACUUCCCCUACAUUCUCUGUUGUCACAGAAAAUGUAAUUAAUGUUAUUGAAAAAGAAUUUGAACUGGAUAAAACUCUCCUUCAUAAUGAUUUUUAUUCAGAUAAUAAUAAAGAAAAGAGACUUUGGUUUUUUAAACAUUUUUUAAAUCAAAGAAAAGAAAUCCAACAAUUUUAUUAUGAAUUUGUGAACCUUCACCAAGUUCAUAUAUUAUUUUUUGAUUGGUUCGAAAUACAUUCUUCUGAUAAUAACAUUUCUUACCCCUUCAAAGAGUCAAACCCUAUUACUAUUAGGAAGAAAACCACUGAAUGGAAACUUUCUGAUAGUGAUAAAACCAUAGAAUCUGAGCAUCCACCUCUUCGGAGCAUAACCGUUGAUCACGGCGAACCUCCUAUUCAAAUUAGAGCUUCACCUUAUAAAAUCCCUAAACCAAAUGAUUCUGAUGCAAAUUUAAGUAGUAUUAUUCAACAGAAUAAUUUCUGUAAUACUAACUUAAAUACAAUAGGAAAACAGUUGACUAGAAUAGAAAACCAAUUCCAACAGUCAACCAUAGCUAUUUCUCCUGUAGCAAAGCCAAUUCCUUCAAAAUCGGAUUCUGAUAAAAAGCUUAAGGAACCUAUUUUCAAACCUUUUCAGGUUUCGAAAACUAGCCAAAAGCUUGUCCAAGAAUCAAAAUCAGAUUUUGCUAAAGCCAUUAGGGAACAACUAGAUAGGAUAGAAGCUGUUUCUUCCUCAUCUAACAGAGUCCAAAUAGCCCCUGAUACUCCCUAAUCUAGCAAGAUUGGAGUAUUAGAACAAGACCAGGUUUUUAUUGCCUCUUCCAAUCUAGAAGCCUUUACAGAAGAACCUAUUCCUAAAGCCAAUAAAAUCCAUUGGGAUUUAGCUCUCCCAACUGUCAAGUCUCCACCUGAUUUGGCCAUAGACAAUAGGCCUAGUGCAUUAAACCAAUCACGUUUUAAUGCAUCCUCUGUCUAUGAGUGGAACAUUGAUGGUAUGUCAGAAUAUAACAUCUUAGGAUUGUUGCAACAGAUGACCAUGGCAGCCAAUGCCUAUAAAACCCAAUCGGGAACUUCUGACAAGGCCAUUGCAGAAAUUCUUAUUGCGGGUUUUACUGGUCAACUUAAAGGAUGGUGGGAUCAUCUUCUUACCAAACCGCAACAAUUAGAUAUCCUAAACUCCAUACAAAUAGAUGAGAAUGGUGCCCCCAUUCUUGAUGAGUUCAAUAGUCCUAUUCAGGAUGCUGUUGCUACCCUGAUUUUGACUAUAUCCCUCCAUUUCAUAGGUGACCCUGCUCACCUUAGAGACAAAAACGCCGAGUUACUAUACAAUUUGAGGUGUAGAAAACUUAGUGAAUUCCAAAGCUAUAAAACCUCUUUCUUCACUAGACUUUUCCUUAAGGAUGAUGCUAAUCAUACAACUUGGAAGGAGAAAUUCCUUGCAGGUUUACCAACCUUACUAGGAGAAAAGGUUAGAAAUUCCAUUAAAGCCCUUUAUGACAACCGUAUUCCUUAUGAUGAGCUCACCUAUGGUGAACUUGUCAGUUUCGUCAAUAAGGAAGGCUUAAAGAUCUGUCAAGAUUUGAAAUUACAGAAACGACUUAAAUGGGAGCUUAAAAAGUCUAAGCAAGAAUUGGGCAGUUUCUGUAAACAAUUCAAUUACGACCCCUUUAAGACUUCUACCUCCAAAGAUUGUAAUGGUAAGUGUUCUACAAAACCUUACAAGAAACAUUACAAGUCUAGAUUCCGUAAAAAACCCUUUCAAGACUUUAGAGAACUUCAUUAUAAGAAACCUUCGAGGCCUUAAAAGAAACCGAGUUCUUCUAAAAAGAAAGAGUUUAAAGCCAAACCAAAAACUCCGUACAAAACCCUAUUCAAUUACAGAGAAGCCAUAUGUCACAAAUGUGGUAUGAAAGGUCAUACUGCAAAAUAUUGCAGAAUGAGCAGAAAGCUCCAUGAGCUAGACCUAGAUGAGGAAACCCUCUCCAAAAUUACCUCUCUGCUCAUAGAGUCUUCUGACUCUGAGUCUUCCAUGUCGGGAGAUAGUGACCCUCUUCAAGUUGAUGAGAUAAUUGACUCAGAUGAUUCUGCAUCUAGCAGUAUUGAUUCUGAAUCAGAUCCUUAUUUAAAGAAAAUCAAUGUUUUAACUAAAGACCAAGAAAUUUUUCUUGAACUUGUAAAACAUAUUUCCGAUCCGAAUCUUCAAAAGGAAUACCUAGACAAACUUUUGAAAACUCUGGAUUCUAACAAAGCAGAAACUUCUAAAGUUCCAAUUGUUAAAAAGAAUUCUUACGAUCUCACUGAAAUUUUGGAUAAAAAGAAAACAAAAAAGUUAAUUCCUAAUAUCCAAGAUCUUCAUAAAGAAAUCAAAGAUAUCAAAAUUGAGAUUAAAGAAUUAAAAGAAAAACAAAAGAAAGAUUCUGAAACCAUCCAACUUCUUAUACAAAAACAAUUAGAAGAAAACUCAGAAAAAGAAGUUGAAUCUGAAAGCGAUAACAAUCAAAAUGUUGACAACAUUGAAUCUGUACCUAAUGAUUUUCUGUUUGUCCUAAAACAAAUCACCACUAGAAAAUACUUAAUUAAAAUAACUUUGAUUUUUUCCAAAGACUUUGCUAUUGACGCCAUUGCCCUUUUCGAUACUGGUGCCGAUUUAAAUUGUAUAAGAGAAGACAUUGUCCCCAAAAGAUUUCAUGAAAAAACAAGGGAAAGGCUUUCCACCGCCAACAAUUCAAAACUUAAAGUCAAUUCUAAAGUGGAAGCCUCAAUACAUAACAAUGGAUUCGAAUUUAAAACUUCAUUUCUUCUUACAAAUGACAUUCACCAUACUGUCAUUUUAGGAACCCCGUUCAUAAAUUUAAUUACCCCAUAUACUGUCAAUUAUGAUAGUAUAUCUUUCAAAGCAAAAUCUAAAAAACUUGUUUUCCCUUUUAUUGAGAAACCAAAAACAAGAAAUCUAAAUAUUGUUAAAGCCUGUUCUGUUUACCAAAAUCAAAUCAACGCCAUACUUAAAUCCAAACAAAAUGACUUGUUUUGUUUAAAAAAGAAUUUAAGUCUACAACGAAUUGAAAACCAAUUACAAAAUGAUUUUAUCCAAAGAAAAAUCAAUGAUUUUAGAGACCUCAUUGAAAAAGAAAUAUGUGCUGAUUUACCAUCUGCUUUUUGGAACAGAAAACAACAUUUGGUAGAUUUGCCCUAUGAAAAUUCUUUCGAUGAAAAAAAAAUACCCACUAAAGCCCGUCCAAUCCAAAUGAACAUGGAAUUGGAAAAACAUUGUAAAGAUGAGAUACAAGAUUUAGAAUCUAAAGGAUUAAUUACAAAAUCUAGAUCUCCAUGGUCUUGUGCCGCUUUUUAUGUAAACAAAAAUUCUGAGAUUGAAAGAGGAACACCGAGACUUGUAAUAAUUUACAAACCCUUAAAUAAAGCAUUAAAGUGGAUUAGGUAUCUCAUACCUAACAAAAAAGAUUUACUCCAAAAAUUGUGUUCCGCCUUUAUUUUUUCAAAAUUUGAUAUGAAAUCUGAAUUUUGGCAAAUUCAAAUCCAUCCUAAAGACCGUUACAAAACUGCUUUUACUGUUCCAUUCGGACAGUAUGAAUGGACUGUUAUGCCAUUCGGUUUGAAAAAUGCACCCUCAGAAUUUCAAAGAAUUAUGAAUGAUAUUUAUAAUCCUUAUUCUGAUUUUUGCAUUGUCUAUAUAGAUGAUGUUUUGAUUUUUUCUCAAACCAUCGACCAGCAUUUCAAACAUUUAAAGACUCUCUAUUUUGCCACUAGGAAGGCUGGCUUAGCCAUUUCUAGUUCAAAAAUUUCUCUAUUUCAAACUAAAGUCUGGUUCCUUGGUCAUUAUAUUUCUAGAGGAACUAUUACCCCAAUUGAAAGAUCUCUUGCAUUUGCUGAUAAAUUUCCUGAUAAAAUUCUUGAUAAAACUCAAUUGCAGAGAUUUCUUGGUAGUUUAAAUUAUGUUCUUGACUUCUGCCCUAAUAUCAAUAGGAUGUCUAAACCUCUGCAUGAUCGGUUAAAAAAGAAACCUGUUGCAUGGACAGAUGAACACACUAAAGCUAUUCGAUUAAUAAAAAAUUCUGUAAAGAAUAUUCCUUGUUUAUUUUUAGCCAAUCCUGCAUUACCUAAAAUAGUUGAAACUGAUGCAUCUGAUUUAGGUUUUGGAGGUAUUUUGAAACAAAAGGAAAAUGAUAAAGAACAGAUAGUACAAUAUGUUUCUGCACAUUAGAAUGAUUGCCAGAAAAACUAUUCUACUAUCAAAAAAGAAAUUCUUUCUAUUGUCUUAUGCAUAUCUAAAUUCCAAAGUGAUUUAUUAAAUCAAAAAUUUUUGCUUAGAAUUGAUUGCAAAGCUGCAAAACAUGUUUUAGAAAAAGAUGUUCAAAACAUUGCAUCAAAACAAAUUUUUGCACGAUGGCAAGCCAUUUUAAGUGUUUUUGAUUUCGAUAUUGAAUUUAUUAAAGGUGACACAAAUUCUGUUCCUGAUUUUCUAACCAGAGAAUUUUUACAAAACAGAUAAUGCCGCCAAGAAAGAAUAACAAAGGUAAAGUUGUUCUUAAAGAUACUGAGUCCCAAGCCACCUCUAAAGAACCUCAACCAACUCCCUCUAAAGAAAAACUACUUUCUUCUGCCAUGCCCAUCAAGUCCUGGAUUGAAAUGGUUGAAGAACAUGAAGCCCAAUACAAAACUAUUUCUUCUGAUGACCAAGUAAAGGAAUGGAUGAGUUCCAUUACAAAAUCGCCUGAGCUUAUGCUCGCCCUCCAAAGCUUUUCUCAAAGUCAAAUUUCUCCUAAAGAAGAAAUUGAAAAAGAAAAACCUAAGUCCAAAGAAAUGACAAAACCUUCUUCUCAAAACGUUGUUGUCUCCGGUGAAAGCUCAUCUUCUCAAAUUGUGCUUUCCCAACCAACACUUUCAAAGAAAUCAUCCGAUUGGUUUGAUAAAACCCAUUUUCAAAACAUUUUAUCUAUAGAAGAUGGAUUUUACCAUACUGAUCCUUUUCAAGCAAUUUCAAAGUUUUUCCCCAAAUGCUGGUUUUUUAAACCAUGUUAUUUAACAAAACCCCAGUCUUACUAUCAAAGCAUUUUAGAAAUUACUGAGUCAGUUAAAUUCAAACAUUUCUUUCUCAGUGAUACCCAUUCAGAGCCAGCCUAUUCCACGGCUACUAUUUUAAAAGUCCUGAGCCCAAACCAGUGGGGGGAUCUGCUCCACAAUUUUAAAACCUUCCCUUUAAACUUUCAAACACGUUUACCACAUUGUCGGACUUAUUCCUACUGGGAUUACCAAUAAGCCUGGUAUAACACAUUUUUUAUCCAAAACCCCAAAAAAUCCCACUCUUGGUUAUUUUUCUUCAAUUAAAAAAUAACCGUCCAAAGCCUCCCAAACUGGUUUCAUCAUUGGUGGAAUUCUUUUGGCCCAAUACCUCAAAUCCUAACUCCAAAUGCUACCCAAUGUUUAAACUUCUUUAAAGCCCACUACAUUCCUUCUGAAUCUGAGAAAAGGUUUCCACCCUUUCUCUGUUUCUGUACAAAUUUCUUCCUUCCAUGGGUAUGGAUGUGGAACCUCAGACUUCAUACCCAAGAUGCCCAGCUUAUCUUACAAAGAACAUUCAAAGUAAAAUGGUGGUCAAAAUUUGACGAACAAACCAAACUUACUGAUACCCUCAUCAGAAAUUGGCUUUGUUCCAAAGGCUUCCUCCAACCAACCAUUAAGGGAUCCAAAGCCCAACAAACCUUCCUUACUCAAAAGUCCAAAGCCCAAUCUCUUCUGGCAAGUGCCAAAACCGAAAAAGAAUACUUCAAAGCUAUGGAACAACUCCUCGCCUCCAGGUCAAAGUCAUCAGUGGCAGAUUCCUCUGAAGAUGAAGACAAUGAAGAAGAGGAAGAGCCGUUUAUCUCUCUUGGAGAUGAAAAUGAAGACGACUAUUUCAGAAUUUUCUCUCCUGUAAAGCAUUGUAAAUAAUUAUUGUUUAAUUAAUGUAAAAAAAAAGUAAAUACUCAUUUUUUUUAUUUAUAUCAUUCGGGUGGUCCCUUGGACACAAGUGAGAGCGCACAUGUCUCUUCACCCGUAUUGUAUGUCUACAAAGUCACUAUUUCAACAUACGCUCCAAAAGCUUAUUGUUACAUACGAUCCAAAGCUUACUGUUUGCUUCAACCCCGUUACAGUGAACAGUGCAGAGUUCCAAAGAUUACUGUAUGCUACAGCUCCGCUACAGUCUACAGUUUAAAAUUUCAUUUUGUAUAUAAUCUGAAGGAAGACUCAGACUCCUCAGAUUUUUUGAAUCUCCUCUCUCUCUAAUUUUCAUUUUCUCUCUCUCCUCCCUGGGAAUCAGGAAUCCGAAGGCACUAAGGAAAUUUUUCUGUUUACAGAAUAGUUCCUUACCUUCAGGAUUAAUUUCCCUUUUCUUUUCUACAAAGAAAAAGCAAUUGAUGUAAGCAUUUUAAUUUUCAGUAUUAUUUCAAAGCAUUUGUAAAUUUUAUUUAAGGCUUUCCAUGUAUGUUUAAAUUUCUGUACUUUAAUUUUCGCAAUUUACUUUAAAGCAUUUUUAAAUUUUUAUGCAGACUGAUCUCUAUCAGAUCUGCCAUAAAACUGCUACGUUCCUCUGAGGCAACGAGACCAGAUCUCAAUCCUCAGUUGUAUUCUUUCUCUUCUCCCUCCAUUCCUUUAGAGCACUAUUUCCGGGAACCGGAUCUAGUACUGUGUAUGCACCCAAGCCUUUAGACGAAUGUUGUUGCUAGGCUUGACAAAAGAACUUAAUAAAUAUUUGGUAAAUAAUAUUGGUAUAUCGGCUGGAAACUAGAGCGUGCAGAAUAUUGAUCUGUCCUAAGUCAGAUCUGGUUCCAAAGGCAGACUUGGCUCUGCAUCGAUCUAGAUACAACGCCACGUACCUCCACUAAAACCUGACCAACCGUGAUCUAAAGCAAUUUUAAUUUAAAGUUGGUAAUCUUAUUUAAAAGUUGGAUAGGCCGACCCAAUCCAAACAUUGUUUGAUUAAAGCUUUUAAUAAUUAAUUCCAACGAAAGCACAUCCAUCCUUCGAUCCUAUUUCCUUCUGGUAUCAGAGCCCAAUAAUUAAUUCCUUCAGAUUAAAUCAGAUGCAUCAGUUUCAACUAUUUUAGGUAAUGCGGGAUUGGCUAAAAUAAACAAGGAAUAUUCUUUACAGAAUUUUUUAUUAAUCGAAUAGCUUUAGUGUGUUCAUCUGUCCAUGCAACAGGUUUCUUUUUUAACCGAUCAUGCAGAGGUUUAGACAUCCUAUUGAUAUUAGGGCAGAAGUCAAGAACAUAAUUUAAACUACCAAGAAAUCUCUGCAAUUGAGUUUUAUCAAGAAUUUUAUCAGGAAAUUUAUCAGCAAAUGCAAGAGAUCUUUCAAUUGGGGUAAUAGUUCCUCUAGAAAUAUAAUGACCAAGGAACCGGACUUUAGUUUGAAAUAGAGAAAUUUUUGAACUAGAAAUGGCUAAGCCAGCCUUCCUAGUGGCAAAAUAGAAAGUCUUUAAAUGUUUGAAAUGCUGGUCGAUGGUUUGAGAAAAAAUCAAAACAUCAUCUAUAUAGACAAUGCAAAAAUCAGAAUAAGGAUUAUAAAUAUCAUUCAUAAUUCUUUGAAAUUCUGAGGGUGCAUUUUUCAAACCGAAUGGCAUAACAGUCCAUUCAUACUGUCCGAAUGGAACAGUAAAAGCAGUUUUGUAACGGUCUUUAUGAUGGAUUUGAAUUUGCCAAAAUCCAGAUUUCAUAUCAAAUUUUGAAAAAAUAAAGGCGGAACACAAUUUUUGGAGUAAAUCUUUUUUGUUAGGUAUGAGAUACCUAAUCCACUUUAAUGCUUUAUUUAAGGGUUUGUAAAUUAUUACAAGUCUCGGUGUUCCUCUUUCAAUCUCAGAAUUUUUGUUUACAUAAAAAGCGGCACAAGACUAUGGAGAUCUAGAUUUUGUAAUUAAUCCUUUAGAUUCCAAAUCUUGUAUCUCAUCUUUACAAUGUUUUUCCAAUUCCAUGUUCAUNNNNNNNNNNNNNNNNNNNNNNNNNNNNNNNNNNNNNNNNNNNNNNNNNNNNNNNNNNNNNNNNNNNNNNNNNNNNNNNNNNNNNNNNNNNNNNNNNNNNCGUUGGUCUCUAAUAGGAUGAGGAAUGUUUGUAGUAUAGUCAACAGAAUGAAUGGAAGAACUAGGUAGAGCCGAAGUGGAAAACCUAGGUUGACUUUGAAAAGAAAGAUUUAUGACAGAAGGGAUUUUUGUGAAUUUCCUUUCUAAUGAAGGAAUACUUGAACACGACUCUUUAUCAGAAAAUCUGGUUAAGUUAGAUCUCCUGAAAGACAGUUUAACUCUACCAUCAGAAUACUGAGUCACAUUUUGCAACUCCGUAUUAGGUUCAAGUUGUUUUGGAAUUGCUGGUGGAGCAGCUCCUUCAAGAAUCCAUUCUUCUGGAAGAUUGACAUCUUUCCACUGGAUUGGUUUUGGAAUGAAAGUAUUGGCUUUAGACAUAUCAGUCUGUAAGAGAAGAGUUUCAUCUCUUUUUGACUGGAAUUUGUGUUGCGUACUGAACGCAGAGAUCAUGGUUUUAUAAGAAAUUUUGAAAAUUAAGGCAACUGGGACAGAUCCCUUAAUCAUAUUAUAAUUAUGCGUUUUGAUUUGUAAGAUCAUGCUUUUCAAAAUGUUUUUAUCUUUAAGAGAAAUUGUUAUGUUUGAAUAACAAUCAAAAGAGAUCGGACCUUUACAAAGACUGGAUUCGAUGCUACUUAGCAAAGAAUCAUCAAAAGAGAUGAAUCGCCCAUCUCUAAGGACAGCAAGGAUAGAAGUAUCCAAGCCUUCUUUGGUCAAAGGUUUUAUUCCAACUUGGAUUAAACCAAUGUGAAUAUAAUUAUAAUUCUUUUCUCUUAAUUUCUUUAAAGAUUUUUCUGAAAACAAAUGAAUUGUUUCAAAAGGUUCUGAGAGAGUUAUGUCUCUUUCUUCAGUCUUUAUUACAUAAUCAUUUUUUAGAAAAUCAAGCUUUUUUGUUUUGUAAAUCUUUUCUUUAGAAACUUUUGGAAGUUCCCAACAAUCAAUUGCUUUAUCAAAGUUCUCAAUACCGAAUUCUUCUGAACUCACAACAUGUUUUGAAUCACUAGUCUUCCCGGAAGAAGAGCUAGAAAAGGACGAUGUUCUACAGAGUAGAGGAUCCAUGGUUAAAAACCUAUGGUCUAUUUAUGGUUUGGUCAGAAUGGCUACAGGUAUGGUUUUACAGCCCUAAACGGAAAACUUAUCCUUGGACGGGACUUACUACCAGUAAAAAUUCACCACACAACAAAACUUCAAAAUAAAACACAAGUCUUUAAACACAAAACUCUAAACUGUAUUACAGUAGUUUUCUGGUCAGGGAAUUUAAAGUGCGGGAAAGUCCGGGAAAGCUUUAAAACCACACGGCUUUAAAGGCUUACAAUUUUAAGCCUUUAAAACCAUGCGGUUUUAAAGGUUUCCCGUACUUUCCUGCACUUUAAAAUUCCUGACUGGAACAUUUCUAUAUAUAUAUAUAUAUAUAUAUAUAUAUAUAUAUAUAUAUAUAUGUAUGUAUAUUUCUUCUCUAGUGCGGACGCCCUCAUUUUCUUUUUCAUGCGGACCAGUUUUUAGACCCCAUGGUUUAAAAGACUUAGUUUUUAACUCUCUAAAACCGCAUGACUUUAUAAUUCAUUUAAAAACUAACUAUCUUAAACCGCACGGUUUAAAAGUGUGUCCCCAUUAAAAAAAAUGCGGACCCCCACACCUAAGAAUGAUUAUAUAUACAUACACGCUCUUAAACCGUGGGACUUGAAAGCUUCUCCGCAUGAAAAAAGUAAAAAAUGAGAGCAUUCCCACUAGAAAAAAACUCCAUAUAGGUAUUUAUUAAACCUCCUAAUCUGUGAGUGAGGAACAACAAAGAUAAUUGAUAAAAAAAAUCUAAAAUUUGGUUUCAUACCUUCUUGAACGAGAGCAGGGGCUGUUGUACCGGAAUACCAAAUUGAUCAUUCUCGUUAUUCUGGGACAACGUUAUUUUAUCACAAUUACAGGCUUCCAAUUUUUUUAGUGCUGGCCAUUCUGAAGUAUGCAUUCCAGGGUAUAAACAUCUGAGUUCUGGCUUUUGGAAAGACAAAAUAUGGGGUCACUUGAUCUGCUGUGUCUUUGGAGAUGAUCUCUUGUAAACCCAUACAUAUCCGUAUCUCCAGGUGUUGGAGGUGCUUAAGGCUUUGGAUCAUAGAAGCUGAAAAUAUGUAUUUUAAUUUGUCACAGCCCCACACUAUCAAUCUUGUCAAGCUUUGAAAGCAAGUAAUCAUGGCCGUAAGUUGAUUGUCAUGCCAAAUCUCGUCGACAUUAAUAGCAUUCAGCUCCAAAGCCUCCAAAUUUGGCAACACUACCUAAAGAUAAUUUUCUCUUUAGAUCCAAUAUCAGUAUGAAAAGCACUUGUUUUGACACAAUAUCCAUAUGAGAAGCACUUAAUUAAGAGCUUAAUUAGCGAGUGUAUCAGACUUUUUUUUUUCAAAUGCGAGUGCAUGAUAGAACUAAAAAAAAAAGAAGAAGCAUUGGCCUACGUACCUUCUUGUUGAAAAGCAGAGUUGACGUUUCGGAACUGAUCUCGUUGGAACUGGCUGUCAAUUCCUCUUGCGACUCUUGUCUGUUUGGUGAUGUGGAAGGAGUCUUCACUUCACCGCAAAACCUUGUAACCUUUGGAAGCUUUCCCAGACUCAAAGAUCUUAAUUGACCAAACUCUAUCUUCUCAUCAACAUCAACAUCAGCUUCUCCUCCAGUUGCAAAAAUCUCUUCCAUGCUGCUGCAAUUGAUAACUGCAAUCCUCUCCAGUCUUGGAAGGCAUUUUGUACUACUAGAGAGCCAGAAGAUAUUACUCAACUCAUCACAAUUUUCUACUUUUAUGGUUUUGAGUUCAUUGAAGGACUCUAUUUUGAGUCGAUCAAUACAUAUCCUCUCCGUAUUGAUCAAAUUGUGAAGAGUAAGGGACUCCAAAAGAGGAAAGGCGACACAAGGUUCUCUCUUCAUUGAAUCGACGAUACACAGGAUGUCUGGAUUAUUUUGAACAUGGAGAUGCUUCAAUUGUGAAAAUCCCUCGGUGUCCAAUUCUAAAACAACAUUCUUGAUUCCUUGCAACUUAUCCAAACAUAAGUAUUCAACGUUAUUGAUGCCCUGCAACUUCUUGGAGGAAAUGGCCAUAGAAUCAAGCUUGAGCUUCAAUGUUCUUAAACUCUCAAGAUUACUGAUCAUAAAGUGCGGCCGACUUUGAAACCAGUCUUUUCCAAAUAACCAUGGUAGAGUCGAAAGAUCCAUCUCCUAUUGAUAUAUCAAACCUUUCCAGCUUUUUGGUAAAAAAGCCAUCUGGUAAAAUGCUAUCAUCUUUAACAUCUAUUUUUAAGGCGGUCAGUCGCUGCAAAUGCAUCAAUUCAUCGAGGCUGGCAUUACUUCUUUCACUAUUGGCUUUUCUCACUUCCCAUUCAAUAGAGCAGUUACUCAUAUACAGUUCUUCCAAUCGAGUGAAGCUUGAUAAGAUAUUGGGCACAAUAAAUUUUAGUUGCAAGCAAUCUGUUAAAUCUAGCAUCCUUAACUUAGUCAGUUGACCUAGUUCGUCAGGCAACCGUACAAUAUCAGACUUUAAAAAGCUAAGGAUUUCUAGAUUCUUCAACUUUCCAACUAUGGCUAUGUCUCCCAACAUGCUUUGAUCAAGACACAGUGUUUGAAGAUUUGCUAGAAGACCGAUUGAAGAUGGCAAUGAAAAUAAUCGUACCCUUGUCAAAUCUACGACUCGAAGCUUUUUCAUCCCUUUGAAAAAGUUGUUAGGAAUAUUGACCUCGACAAAAGAGUCUUCGGGAUCAAUAUGUAAAAAUUCAAGUUGCGGACAUUCGAAUUCCUCGGAAACUUCAUGAAUGCUACUAUUUAGUAAAGGGAUUGCAUAGCAUUUUUUAAGUGCAUCCUCAUCUGGCCACUCCCACACAGCGUCAUUUCUCACCAAUGAAGCAUGUUGGUCUCGACAUGCAAUUGAUAUGGCAACAUCGCAGACAACAUCAUGCAUAGAGAAUUGUUCAGUACUAUCACCCUCAAGCAACAAACAACAGUCUCUAAGUUCAUGGACCAGUGCAUAUAAUUUGUUUCGUGCAUCUUCCAUCUUAUUGACUCCAUGAAAUAUUCCUAAACCCAUAGAGUAUUUAAGCAAGUCUAAAAGACAAAAACUGUUGCCUAUUAGACUGCAGAGCAGAAAAAUUUUCUUGAGUUGCUCACCUUUUAAAUACUUGAAACUCAGUUCAAUACUUGAAUAAGUCUCUGCAGGCACACCUUCGAAGUUUACCACUGAAGGCGUUUGGAGUUCUCGCAAGGCAUUCUUCCACUCAUGCAGACUCUUGUUUCUCAGUGCCCUCGCUACUGUAGUCAGGGCAAUGGGCAAACCUCCACAUGCCUGGGCUACAUUAAUUGCUGUAGACUUGAACUUACAAUUUUCAACAUCAUCACCAUUCAUUAUCUUAAACAAUCUCCAAGCUUCUUCUUCAUUUAGAUUGCCAAUCAAGAAGUUAUCUUUGGAGCCCAUACUUAAUAGCACAUUAUUGUCUCUUGCUGUCAGCAGUAGUCUACAUCCUUUAUGAUCAUUUCCGAUGGGAAUUCCAACCGUCUCCAAAUCAACAUGUUUCCAGAUAUUAUCUAGAAUCACAAGAAUCUUAUUCUCAUUCUUCAGUCGUUCAUACAGCCUGCUAGCUCUUCUAUAUUCAGCUUCAUCGGACAACUCCAGACCUAACUUCUCUGCAAUUUCCCCUUGAAUCUUUUUUAUGUCUGGAGUUUGUGAAACCUCUGAAAAAACCACCCGAUCAAACAACUUGUCUUCCCUGGCUUGCGUAGCAAACUCCUUCACCAGUGUCGUCUUUCCAAUGCCGCCCAUGCCGUACACCCCAAUAAUGCUGACAUUCACAUCAGUCAACGCAUUUUGUAUAGACUUCAAAGUAGAAACUCUUGAUUCGAAGGCCUUGUAACCUUUGUUAGACUUAAGCCAUAUCUCCUCCGGAAUGGUACGAUGGGAAACGAUAUCAAACUUCUUAACUCCUUCUCCAAGUUCAACAAGGGCCUUCACCUCUGUCUCUGCUUUCUUGCUAAGCUGAUAGCGGGUCUUCAAAUUAGGACACAAGCCCUUGAGACAGCGCUUGUUUGUUGACUCCUCAUCUUCAAUGAAUUUGGCUGCCUGGUCAAUGAUGCCGUUUGCACUGACCAGCCACUUCUCAACCUUCUCUUCAAUCUCUUCCCCUUUUUCUUUCGCCUUUGAAACUCUGCGCUGAAUGCUCGUACGUUCAACCUCAACUUCUCCAUUUCCGCCUUGAGAUUCUCAAGGUUGGCAUUGUAGUUCCGCUUGCGCAAAUAAACAAGUUGGCGUUCUGUCGGAGGAGCCAGGCAUUUUACAAGUUCCAAAACGAGAGUAACAAUGAUUUCCAGCAUCUUGAAUCCUGACAGCAAUGUAGAAGUGAAGAAGGCCAAAGGACAGUAAAAACAGAGAGACAACGAUACGACAAGCAGUUAUAGAGCUACAAAUAAAUAACAAACAAACAGAAGCAAAGUGUUCUUCGAAUGAGAAGAAGGAAGCAAGAAAAGGGUUUCUAUUUAGAUUAAGAAUAAAUGUAAAGAGCUAAAAAAGCUGAUGGGUACAGAAUAAGAAAUGAUUAAGAGAAUGGGGGAGCUAACAAGACUGUGGAGUGAGCAGGCGUAAAUAAACUUUUCUUAACCUUUUGUCAUACGUGUAUAUAAAAUAAUAUAAUUAAUUUUAUAUUUUUAUUCAAUAACUAUUAAUUAUAUUUUUUUCAAAAUUAAUAAAAAGAAUAAUUAAGUACUGAAUCCAAAUCCUAUCCUAAAUGGUUAGAUAAAAAUAAGGGAAUGAAAAGAGUAAUGGUAGAUUAAUGAGAAGGUGAUUGAUUAAUUUAUGAGGCCAAUUAACGAAACGACAGAUCUGGUUUCCAUGUUUGUAGUUUAAGUGUAUGAGUACGAGGUGAACCGAAGCUUUGUCGAGUCAGGCAAAUAGAAAGAGAAAUUACUAAAACAAGAACCAGCAACUUUUACUCACACAUGAGCUAAUAAUGUAUUGAGAUUGUGCAGAGUAAUAUAAAAGAUUAAAACUAGUAUAAUCAAUUUGUCAUCAAGUUUUAGCCUUCUUCUUCAACCAAUUACAGCACGAUCUUGAGCUCUGUGUUUCUUUUUUUAAAUCAUUCAAAAGAUCUCUGUCAUUAAUUUUUCAAUGAUAAAAAUUAUAUUUUUGUCUCAUAAAAUAUAAAAUAUAAAAAAAUCAAACAUAUAUUAUAAGUCCGUUUGAGAUUAUUUUUAAAUAAAGUAUACAAAUCUCUAAAUUAACUUCGUCCCCUUGAAAUUCAGCAUAAAUAUAAAUAGAAUUAUAGAAAUCUUACUACCUUUUAUGAGAAAUCCAACUUAUAUAUUUGAGACUUCUCUCUCUAAACACACGCUUCCUCUCUCUGUACACUUUCCACCUUUAAAUUCUCCUUCAUUAAGUCUACCUAAAUGAAUUUAGCAUUCUCUCAGUUUCUUCAGCAUUUUUCUCCGUGAAAAUAGGUGAAAAAGAGAAAGUGAUUUGAUUAUUUUAAUGUACGACAGAUCUGAUUUCCAUCUCUGUAAUUUAAGUGUAUCAAAACGAGGUCAACAACUCUUGGUCGAGUCAGUCAAAUAUAAAAGACAAAUUACUAAACCAAGCAGAGCCACAAAAAAAAAAAAAAAUCCAAUUAAAUAAUCAUCAAGUCUUUUUCAAUUAAAAUAGGGGGUGCAGAACAACUGUCAAGAGAUAAUCAUUGUUUAUUAUAUUUUCGAUUAAAAUAGUUGCGCGUGAACGAUUGUCCGAAUUCGUAUAAAUUGUUGUAAGGUCUAUUAUAAUUAACAAGUGGAAUGGCCAAUGGAUGAAGAACCACUGUAAUUUCGUUUAUGAAUUUAAAAUGCUAAAGAAACUGGACACCAACGCUAAACGUGAGUCUGCCCAAUCUAGAUAAAUAGGAUAAAAAAUUAUCCGUCGGCUAUCUGAUCUUUUAGCCAUUAUAAAAAAUAUUAAAAAAAUAUACAAACAAUUUUUUUUUUUUUUCAACAAUCCAUCUGAUAUUUAUGAAGUGCAUUAGUGCUCCACUACUAUCAUAACCCUUUAAAAAUAUCGCUUAAACACAAGAACGUAUUGCCUAAAAUUAUUUUUCAAGCAAAUGUAACGACAUAUUUGGUUUUGAUCUUCGUGACUUUUUAAGUGUACAAGAACAAGAUGUAUGACCCUUUGUCGAGUUGAAGAAUUAAAAUAAAUCAGUUACAAAUCCAGAACAAACUUACGGGUGACAUUUUAGUAUUAAGCAAACUAUAAUUGAUCAUCCAAUGAUAGGCUUAUUUUCAAUUAAAUUAGAGUAAAUAUAGACAUUCCAAAUUUUUUCUCUCAAAUUUAAUCCUAGAUAAUGUGUUAUUAAUUGAGUGCUUGGUAAUUCUUUCAAGAUCUAAGUGAAUUAAUUAUAUUAUCUCUCCAACCAAUUGAUGAAUAUUAUAUUAUUAAAUAAUCAUCAAGUAAUACGACACUUCUCAUGUUCCGUUAACAUUUCAGUUAUAUUAUUAAUUAUCAUUUUAAUUUGGAUAGUAUUUUUGUUUAGGAGAAUAUAUCAAUUAUGAAAUUUUUAAUUUUGAAAAUUAAAGAAAUAAUUGAACUGAUUUUUUCUUAUUAAUUGAUAGCUUAGAUGCAUUUUGUUACAUGUUAAAAAAUUAUGAAUACAUAUCCUUUUUGGUAAUUUAAUUACACAAAAGCACUUUUAGUUUUGCACAACCAAACCGUUUAAUGGUUCAAAAGUACUUUUUUAAUUGACAACCAAACACCCAAUGACUUUUUUGUCCAAAAACUCUAUUGGUAUAAGCUCUACUUCUAUAAGCUCUACUGCUAUAAGCUCUAUUUAAUAAGUUGUACCAAACGGAGCCUUAAAAUCUAAGUGAAUUAAUUAUAUUAUCUCUCCAACCAAUUGAUGAAUAUUAUAUUAUUUGAGUUUUUUUUUUGUCUCAAAUCCCAGCAAAGAAAACAGAACAAACGGAGCAAAAAUAUUUUUACAAACCUAAAAUAACAAAAAAAGAACUUUUUCUUGUUUUUCUUAUUUUCCACUGUUAAACUUCAAAAUGAACAACUUUAUUCUACCAUCUCUCAAAUAAUAAUAAUAAUAACAACAAUGUCAUCAUCAUCAAUAAUAAUAAUAAUAAUAUAUUAACUUUGUAGGAUGGAGCUCUCGCAAAUCUUCAAGACACAAAAUGUGCUUGACCCCAUUGUUGUUAAUAUAAUUUCAAAAUCAUAUGUAUUAUAUAAUAUUAGAGAAUAUGACAUAGCAAAAUUGAUGGUACAUAUGCUGCAAUAUACUUGUUCAUGUGGCGACACAUUGAAGUAAAGCACAAGCAGAACAACGAAAAAUGUAACGGGAGAGCUCUCAUUAUGUAGAUUUUCAAUAGAAGUAAUGCAAAUUUCACAAGGGCAAUGGCCUUAUUUCGAAUGCUGCACCUGAGGAAUGACUUGAAUCUUCUUUAGAACUCAGGCAUUCUAUAAUCAUAGAGUAUAGCAUUUCAACAAAAAUAUUAUAUAAACAAAAAUAUUAUAUAGGUGGUUCCUUUAUAUAUUUUCUGGGUACACCUACAAAAAUAUUAUUUUAGGUACAUUUCUUGCAAUAAAACCUGCCCAAUCUAGCGUUUUCGUAAGUUGGGUUUCUCAUUUACAUUUUUUUCCAUUGGUUAAUUAUCACAAACCUCCACUGAGAUUUAGCAUGUUUUUAGUUUGAUAGAUUGUAUUCGCAUAUUCUCAAAUACCUUUUAGUUUACCACUUCGUAUAAAUUAAGUUGGUGAGGAUAAAAUCGUAAAAGUACACAUUAAUGAUAAAAAAAUUCAAGUAAACUUGAAAUUUUCAAGGAUUAAUUUUUCGGGACCUCCCUUGAGGUUCGGUGUAUUAAAAGUCUCAUAGAAUGUAUUCAUGUAAUUAUAAGAACCUCCCCUGGCGUUAGUACACAGUUAACUUGACUGUUAGUGGACUGAUAAAAAGUCAAAAAUGCCCUUGGCUACAAAAAUGAGUGCAACAAUUUGGAGCUAAAUAGUAAACACCACACUGGAGCACUAAAAAGUCUACAAUAAUCAUGGAAAACAAAUCAUUGACAUUUACAUAAUAUAAAAAAAAAAAGUAAAAUAUAAAUUAAGAAAAUCAACAAAAUUGUCAACGUAUUGAAUAUUUACAGCAGCAGUGGCUAUAAAUACAACCAUCGUCAAAUUAAAAUAUCACCAUUAGUAAACUACUUCAAUAAGACAAUAAACCAUGAUUCAAUCUUCAAUGCAUUCAAAAUACACAACCCGCACAAUAGAAUCACAUACGCACACCUGCUAAUGAAAUAUAAGAACAAACGGGAAAUUGAACUGACAUGGCUAAGAUACUCCUUCCCGAUAUCUAUUAGAAAGAUAAUGAGCGAUUUAUGAAUCAUGAUGCUUGCUUUACUUUCUGGCAGUGUUAACUUCAAAUUCAAUGAUAGUAAAUGAACAAUGGUUCAUUCAUUAUGAAAGUAAUUGUAAAGCUAGGAAUUUAUAAUAUUCAGAUGUUGGAAUUAGAAAAAUAUUUCUUAAUCGUUUCAAUUGAAGCCAAGGAAGAAAAAGAAAUGAGUCUUCUUUUUUCAGGCCACAAGCCAUAUGAAGAAGGCAGACCAGAGCAUAAGAACGAAUGCUAUUGCCACAGUAAAAGCCUGGAUCAAUGGGUAAUGGCACCUGCCAUGUCAAUUUCAUGACAAACAAAAAUCAAUUAUCAUCCCCAGACCACAACACCACCAAACCAACCUUUUGCAUCUAAAAUAACAAGUUAAUAAAUCAAAGAUUUCAAUUCAUUUAAGUUUGAAAUCAACUAAAAUAGAAAAAAAAAAACCCAAUUUCUUUUUUGUUCAAUAUAACUCAUUCAGCAUCUUCUUCAACACAUUUUUAUCAUUCUUCAUCAUCACAACAAUAAAAAGAACAAAAAACUUUGAGUUCAACAUGCAAUUCUUUUUUUUUGGGAAACUAACCUUUUUUAGGUUCCAAUUCUAGUAGUCUUAAACAGUAGCCGCCGAUGAAAUUCGCUUGGCAACACCCUUUUGCCACCAUUGCAGCUUGUCAUGUUCAUACUCAACUUAAAAUUACUUGAAGGCAGCAGGGAUUUUAUAGUUACAAAAGUUUCUUCAGAGCUUUUCAAGCUUGAAAAUGGAGUUUUCAUUCAUCUUAGAUAAAUUGAAGAUAAUUUGCAUUGUGGGUAAUAAAUUGAUUAUCAGUGUCUAAAUCUGGGUCAUCGACGCAACAUUGGAUUUUGUUUUGAUUUUCUUUGAUUUUUUUUAUGAAACCACUAAUUUACCCUCAUAUACUAACAAUAUACGAAAUGGUAUACUAACGUCAGUUACGUCAGGGAGCUCCCUAUAAUUACAUGAAUACUUUUCAUGAGACUGUCAAUACACAAAACCUCAGGGGAGGUACCUAAACAUUACCCAAUGGUAUCAUUUCUUGUAUGGAUAAUGGAUGAUUAGAUUUUGUUUUUUUGUUAUCCGACGAAGGAUAUUCAGUUGUUCUUUAUGUGUUCAUAGGCAAGAGCAUGAGCAUAUGCAUGAUUUGAUAUAUGCUUCUUGCAUUUUCUAAUUAAGUGUUCUCUUUCCUUGCCUUCUUAGUUUUGAAAGAAAGAUGUGAAGCAAGACAAACCCAGUGAAAUACACAGAGCAACAGAACCAUCAGAGGAAAAACUAAAUAACAGAACUACAAUUAAACCAAACAAAAUCAAAUAAACCGACGCAACAGAUGCCCUGAAUCAGGCAUUCCUUUUUCUCGAAAGAAAAUAUGUUUGCAUGGGUGGGAACCCAGUAUUUACUCAAGAGUUGAGGAGUUGGAAAGAUUUGGUAUUCAUAUCUUCUCAAUUCAUAUGCUUUAAUGCAGAAUCGACAGCUUUAUAUUAUUUUAUACACUUGCACUUGCUUGAGUAUUUGUGCCGACAUUUUCAUAUGUGAUGCUACUUCUUAGCCAGUAGAUAUGUUGAAGUACUACAAAACAGAGUAUUUGAUGAAGUUUUGCUACUUUCGUAUCCCCUUUUUUGUUGAAUUCUUUAUAAACAAAAAUUAGAAAGCUACAAAUAAUACAGUAGCUUGAAUUUAUAUGCUUUUAUGAUUAUUUGAUAGUUUAGUGCUGAUCAUAUGUGAUGAUAAACUUAGCUAGUAGUUUUAUAUUUAUUUUCAUAGUUUCCUUAGCGUUCACAUUUUGAUGAGUAAAUUAAGGAUUUCCAGAUGAAGUACAUAAUUAGAUGAAUGCUAAGGAACUGAAGUUUGAUUAAUUGAAAACAAAAAUAAUAAUGAACGUAAUUACGAAAAUGAACAAUGCAGAAGUAGUCCCUAUAGUAUUUCUAUAUUUUCUCUUGGUGUUUCUUAGUAUUCCUCAAUAUUUUUAAAAAAUGACAUGACGAUCUUUGAGUUGACAAAUCUUGGCCUGCUGCUUAGUACCCUUCCAACAUAUAAAGUACUAGAUGUUUUACUGAGAAAAUGACAAGAUCAUUUUUCAAAUUUCUUGCGCAUAUAUACGUAUGUACACGAGAAAUGAGAAUCAGUGAUUAUAAGACCUUGCAAUGAGACAAUAAUACAUCAUCAAAUCUAAAAAUACACAAGAAAUUCGGGACAUAUAAAUAACAAAAGACCUCUCAUUGAGUCAUCCAUAUUGAGAAUAAAAUGUCAAAAUGCAUACAAAGAGCUUAUACAGAAAAUGAAUGUACACAUAUUUAGAAUAAACUGUCUUUGAACUUUCGAUGGUCAAACAAAAGAAACAGACAGGAUAUAACACACACUAUCAUAGAUGUAGCGACACGGUGAAGUAAAUCACAUGAAGAUGGAAACGGAAACCCUUCACAACAUAAAAUUUGAAUAGAGGGGGAAAAAAAGGCUUCAUUUCGAAUGUUGCACGAAAGAAGAGUGACUUGAAUCUCCAUCAGUAUCCAAACAUUCUGCAAACAUAGUGCUGAGAAUUUUAACAAGAAUAACAGACAAAAUAUUGUGCUUCUAUACUUGUCAAAAAACUAGACAAAAAUAGUUCCCUUUUUGGUUUGUGAAAACUUGAUAUUUUUGAAAAUUCUAUCCAAUGCUUUCAAACAAUAUUUCCAUAAUAUAGUUGUUCAUAGCUAACCUUUGAUGGUGUAAGGAUUUGUUGUAGGCAUAAUGGGCUAAUUAUAUAUAUAUAUAUAUAUUUUUUUUUUUUUUUUUUUUACCCGCUGAAUGAUAUUCAGCUUCUUAAUUAUGUGUUCAUAGGCAGGAGCAUUUUCUUAAGUACUUUCGUUGCCUUCCAAGUUUCCAAUGAACAAACAGAGCACAAACAAAUUUAACGGAACAGUAACGAUGACAAUAAAUAAUUGGCAAGGAAAGAAAGAAAAAAGUUUGCAUGAUUUCAGGGAAUUAUAAAAUCUGAACACUUUCAACAUGCAAGUGUUGCCCCUCUUAAUGAAAUUUCAUCAUAAAAUGCUUGCAAGGAAUUAUAAAAUUUUAGAGAACAAGGGAACUCUCAAAACAAAAUACUCAAAUUAAAUUACAAUAGGCCAAAAGACGCUCAAUGACGCAAAUCUGCCCAUAAAAGCUUGAACGAAUCAUGAAAAGUGCAUUCCAUAUUGAUAGUAAACCAAGUGACCCAUUCUAAACAAUUGAGAUGAAAUUGUGAAACAACCCACGAGAUCAAAUAAAUAAAAUAAGAAUUAAUUACCAGCUGGGACUUUCUUCUUCAAAUUCGUAACUCCAAGUCAUAAGAAGCCUAUGAAAUUAGUCGUAAUCCACAGAGUAUGACGACGACCCCGCCAACAGCUGAAAAUAAAAUUCUUAUUCAUCAAUUUAAACUAACUUUAUAACAAAUAUCUUAUCGAUAUUUUAUUUAAAAAGAAAAAGCAAAUUUUGUAAAAUUUUUCCAUGGGAGAUAGAGAAUAACAUGUAUAUCCGUACCUUCUCAGCAUGUAAUUGUUGUAUGGUCGUCUUAAGAUCAUUACUAGCCCAACGCCGUUGAUUCGAUGUCUCUCCAUACCAAACGUUUACUCUUGGAGGCGUGCUUGAUUCUCCUGUAGUGAAAAUCUUCAAUUUGGGACAACCAAUCACAGAUAGAUCUUGCAAAGAUGGGAAUUUGAAGGUGUAAUUGGCAGAGCAAAAACUUGUGAGGCUAUCUAAAUCAAACAGUUCCAACCUCUUCAAUUUGCGGAAAACAAUCUCUUCUUUUUCAACCCCGUCUUUGUCAUUUAUUACCACCUCUGUCAUUGCUCUGCAUCCGUAUACACAAAGUGAUACGAGUUGCACUAGAGUUUUUGCUGUGGAGGAUGUUACCAAGUGUAUCAAUUCCUUGCAACCGAUAGCUACAAGUUUUGUUAGGUUCCGAAAAGAUACCGAUGAUGAUGGCAAUAGAAUUAACAGACUUUGACAAUGAUGUACUUUUAGAAUUUCAAGAUACUGAAAAAUGGGGCCAAGUUUGGAAUCUUGUUUGCACACCUGCUUCAGAUGAUAGUGCCGGUACAGCUUUAAUUCUUUUAUCAUUGCCAACUUCCCCACAUGUUUCUCUAAGCAUCCUUCCUUCGAAAAUACCUCUUCGUCGAAUGAAAAAAAAAACAGUGAGAGUAUUUCGAGAUUGUGAAAUCUCUCAAGUACGUUCCAGAUUGGAAAACCAGCUGAGUCAUCUUCAGCAAUCACUAGUCGUUUAAGACUGCCAAAAACGUGUUGUGGGAAAUCGGCCUGCAAAAUCAUCUUCGCGUCUUUUCCGCUUAGUGAUAGUUCCGUCAAGUUGGGUAGGAUCUGAUCAUCAUCAAUCAUAAUAACUGAUAAGGUCAAUUGGUGUUUUCUCAAAUGAUUUUAAGUAAUCCAAUCACAUGCAGUGACUUUAUAGUAUUUGUUUUAUAUUAUAUUUUACAAAAAAAAAAUUGAAUUAUUGAUAAAAUUUAUUAAAUGAUUUUUUAUAUAUUAAUUUUAGAGGUAAAAAAGAAAUUAGGGAAAAAAAGAAAUUAUUUUAUUGGUAAUUAAGUGUUUGGUAAAUUUUGUUUCAAGAAGUACUGUAAAUUUUGAAAACAAUUAUGGUCGUUUGGUAAAUUUUACUGUUAAACUGCUGAGAGAAAAUAAAUGACUAAAAUAUCCAUAAUAUAAGAUAAAAUUUACUUAUAUAUCUCCUAAAAGCAAUCCCAAACGGGCCCUAAGGAUUCUUUUAUAAAUGUUAUACCUAAAAAAGUUCAUAUAAUUAUUAAUCUACCACAUUGAUCCCUUAGUCUAGACUAGCAAAGAUUAUUGUAUAAUAAAAGUUUUCAAUUUAUUGAGUAUUAAUUUAUCAUUGCUUUGUCAUAUUUUUCAAAGUUAAAAAUAUGCUAUUGAUAAAAAAAUCUAGAAAAUGGCUUCAUACCUUUUCCAACGGCAAUGGGGGCUGUUGUGCAGGAAUACCAAGUUGAUCAUUCUCAUUAUUCUGCGAUAAAUCUGCAGCGAAUAUCUUUAAUUUGUCACAACGAUACACUAAAAGCAUUUCUAGCGCGAGCCAUUCCAAAGUAUGCAUUCCAGGGCACAAACAUCUAAGUUUUGGUAGAUCUUGGAGUCUCAGAGUGGUGAGCUGUGGAAAGACAGAAUAAGAAUUUGUCACUUGAUCUGCUCUGUUUUCAGAAAUAAUCUCCUGUAAAUCCUCACAGUCUCGUAUAUCUAGGUGUUGGAGCUGCUUGAGGCUUCCGAUCAUAGACGCUGCAAAUAUGUAUUUUAAUUUGUGACAACGCCACACAAUCAAUCGUGUUAAACUUUGAAAGUGAGGAAACACGGCCACCAGAAUUUGAUUGUAGUGCCAAAUCUUGUCGACAUUAAUUUCAGAUAUCUCCAAAGCCUCCAAGUUAGGCAACGCAACCUAAAAAAAUAAGAAUUUCUCGUUAGAUCCAAUAUCCAUAUGGGAAGCACUUGUUGAAAUUUUCUUCUUUGAUUACAAAUUAAUGCAAGUCUGAAUCAAUUUCCAACUGACAGCUGAGUAUGCAUUCUAAUUCAUACUACUUGUUAAGAGCUCAAUUAGUGAGUGCGUGAGAUUCUUUUUAUCCUUUUUUUCCAUUUUCUUUCACUUCUUUAAAUGAUUUAAUUAUUUUCCACGUAUGACAUCAAAAGAGAACGCAUGAUAGAAUAAAAUGUGUUAUACAUUAAAGAAAAUGUUAGCCUACGCACCUUCUCGUUGAAAAGCAGAGUUGAAAUACCCAAAGUGAUUUCGCUGGAGCAAUACAUAGUCGUCGAUUCCUCUUGCGACGCUCGUCUGUUCGGUGAUGCUGAAGGAGUCUCCACCUCACAGCAAAAACUUGUAACCUCUGGAAGAUUCCCCAGACUCAAAGAUCUUAAUUGAGCAAACUCUAUCUUCUCAAUUGCAUUAUCAACUUCUUCCCCAAUUGCAAAAAUCUCUUUCAUCUUGCUGCAAUUAAUAACAGCAAUUCUCUCAAGUCUUGGAAGGCAUUUUGUAGUAGAGAGCCAAAAGAUAUUACUCAACGUAUCACAACUAUAUGCUUCUAUGGUUUUGAGUUUGUUGAAAGACUCUACUUUGAGCCGAUCAACACAUAUCCUCUCCAUGUUGAUCAAAUUGUGAAGGAUAAGUGACUCCAAAAGAGGAAAGGCAUCACAAGCGACCAUCUCCCUUGAAUCGACGAUACAAAAGAUGUCAGGAUUAUUUUGAACCCAGAGAAGCUUCAAUUGUGAAAAGCCCUCCGUGUCCAAAUUGAAAAGAACAUUCUCGAUGCCUUGCAGCUUGUCCAACCAUAAGCAUUCAACGUUGGUGAUGCCCUGCAAUUUCAUGGAGCAAAUGUCCAUAAAAUCAAGCUUGAGCUUCAAUGUUCUUAAACUCUUGCGUUUACUGUUGAUCCAAAAGUGCGGCUGACUUUGGAACCAAUGUUGUCUAACACACUUGGGAGGCGUGAAUGACUCAUUUCCAAUAGAUAUUUUGAACCUUUCGAGCUUUCUGGCCAAAAAACCUUCUGGUAAAAUACUGUCAUUUUUAACGUCAAUUUCUAGAGUGGUUAGCCGAGGUAAAUGCAUCAAUUCGUCAAGGCUAGCAUUACUUCUUUUGCUGCUGGCUCUUUCAACCUCCCAUUCAAUGAAGCAAUUACCCAUAUACAGCUCUUCUAAUCGAGUUAAGCUUGAUAUGAGAUUGGGCGCAAUAACUUUCAGAUGGAAACAAUUGGUUAAAUCUAACAAUCUCAACUUAUUCAAUUGACCUAGUUCUUCUGGCAACUGCAUAAUAUCAGACAUCAGAAAGCUUAGGACUUCUAGAUUCUUCAACUUCCCAAUGAUUGCUAUGUCCCCCAACGCACUUUGAUCCAGACAUAGUGUGUGAAGAUUUACUAGAAGAUCAAUUGAAGAUGGAAAUGAAGAAAACUGCAUUCGAGUAAAAUCUAGAACUCUAAGCUUUUUCAUCCCUACAAAAAAGUUCUCAGGAAUAUUGAUUUCAAGAGAAGAAUCUUUGGGAGAGAUAAAUAAAAAUUCAAGGUUUGGGCAUUCUAAUCCUUCAGGAAAUUCACGAUUACUAUAAUUUCUUAAAGAGAUAGCAUUGCAUUUUCGAAGUGCAUCCUCUUCUGGCCAGUCCCACACAUCCUCAUUCCUCACCGAAAACACAUGUUGGUGGCGGCAUGCAAUCGAUAUUGCGACAUCGCGAACAACAUCAUGCAUUGAAAAUUCUUCAUUGCUAUCAUCCUCAAGCAACAAACAAGAGUCUCUAAGUUCAUGGACCAAUGCAUAUAAUUUGUCUCGUGCAUCUUCCAUCUUAUUGACUCCUUUAAAUAUACCCAAACCCAUGGAGUACUUAAACAAGUCCAAAGUAACAAUACGGUUAUUCAUUAGACUACAGAGCAGAAAAAUUUUCUUGAGUUGCUCACCUCUUAAAUGGUUGAAACUCAGCUCAAUACAUGAAUAAGUCUCUGCAGACACUCCUUCGAAGUUUACCAUUGAAGGCGUUCGGAGUUCUCGCAAGGAAUUCUUCCAUUCAUGCAGACUCUUGCUUCUCAGUGCCAUUGCCACUGUAGUCAAGGCAAUGGGCAAACCUCCACAUGCCCUGGCGACGUCUAUUGCUGUAGAUUUCAACUCACGAUUUUCAACAUCAUCACCGGCCAUCAUCUUAAACAAUCUCCAGGCUUCUUCUUCAUUUAAGUUGUUUAUCAAAAAGUUGUCUUUAGAUCCCAUUUUUAAGAGGACACUACGAUCUCUUGCUGUCAGCAGUAGUUUGCAUCCUUUAUGAUCUUCUCCAAAAGGAAUUNNNNNNNNNNNNNNNNNNNNNNNNNNNNNNNNNNNNNNNNNNNNNNNNNNNNNNNNNNNNNNNNNNNNNNNNNNNNNNNNNNNNNNNNNNNNNNNNNNNNNNNNNNNNNNNNNNNNNNNNNNNNNNNNNNNNNNNNNNNNNNNNNNNNNNNNNNNNNNNNNNNNNNNNNNNNNNNNNNNNNNNNNNNNNNNNNNNNNNNNNNNNNNNNNNNNGGCUUCCAUAGCUUGCCUGGCGACCUCCUUCAUCAAUGUCGUCUUUCCAAUGCCGCCAUGCCGUACACCCCAAUGAUGCUGACAUUAGCAUCGAUCAAUGCGUUUUUUAUGGCCUCCAAAGUAGAACGUCUUGAUUCGAAGGCCUCGCAGUCUUUGUUAGACUUGAGCCAUAUAUCCUCCGGAAUGGUAGGGUCGGAAAUUCUAUCAUCAAAUCUCCCAGCUUCUUCUCGGAGUUUAAAAAGGGCCUCCUUCUCUGUUUCUGCUUUCUUUCCACGCCGAUAGCGAGCAAACCAAUCAGGAAACAGCCCCAUGAGACAUCGACCGUCAUUUGCUGUCUCUUCGUCUUGAAUGAAUUUGGCUGCCUGCUCAAUGCUCUUGUUCGCAUUAACCAGCCAUUUCUCAACCUUCUCUACAAUCUUUUCACUUUUUCUUUCAGCCUCAGAAACUCUGCGCUGAAUCCUUUCUCUUUCAACCCUCAGCCUAUCGAGUUCUGCCUUGAGAUUCUCAAAGUUGGCAGCGGAGUUAUACCAAUAACUAAAUUCGCGUUGUGCGUGGGGAGACAAGCAGUUUACAACUCCUGGAGCAAUGCUUUUCAAAAUGUCCAUUUUUUUUUUUUUAUGGGGAAGUGAACGAAAUGGAAAUAGAACAGGGUCAACGACCGCGCAAUUGAUAAUCAAGUAGAAGCAAAACAAGCCAAAAUGGAAAAAGAAAUGAUAUUUGUACAAAACAAGGGGAAAAUCAGUGUAACAGAAGAGAAUCAAAGUGUUUUUGAGAUCAGAAAAUUGAACCAAGAAAAGGGUUGCUUGAUCCAAUGAAAAUGCAAAAAGCUGAUGGCAAAAGGGAACAAAGCUAAAUAAGAAAACGGCUAGCACGAGCAGUGACCACGAUCAACAGAAGCAAAGUGUGUAUGAGAUCAAAAGACGAAAAUGAGGAGAGGUUUUCUUGAUUGAGAAUUGAAGGCAAAGAGUAGGAGCUGACGAAUACGGGGAUCAAGAGGGAAAAACUGCUUGCUUGUAAAACUACUUUCAAGCGAAUCUGAUAAAAUUAUUUCAGUACUAGUGGGCGACUCCUUUUUAAACUGCAGAAGGGAAAAAAAAAAGUUCUGAAUUUCAAUAUAUUAAUCUCGUAAUCAAUGAUUAAUUAGUAGAUAAUCUUUCUAACAAAUAUGUGUUGAAUAGAUAUAUUUCUUGAUUAUUAGUAGGUUCGAUAUACUUUAGUAUAGGAAUGAAAGUACAAGUUGUGUCGUAUUAGAAUAAAAAUUGGACCUAAAAAUAUUGUUCUAUGGCCUUUUAAUUAUUUGUCAGCUAAUAAUGAAGUCAUAUAAAAAAAUUAAUAAUCUGAAUUAGUCUUUAGUAUUAUAAAUGUUUUUAGAUUUUUAAUUAUAAUAUCAUUAUUUAAAAAUAAUUGCUUGACUUACAUUCGUAACAUUACGAUUGUCAUAAAACAUGUGAUCCUCAUCCAAAGGCCAGGUGAACAACUCUUUGUCAAGUCAGUCAAAUAUAAACGACAAAUUCUUUUCAAUUAAAUAAUCAUCAAGAAAUAAUCUUCUAUUUCAGUACAAAUGGCGAGUGCAGAACAGCUGUCAAGAGAUAAUCAUUGUUUACGGAGCCAUAUAUAUUUUCUAUUAAAAUAGUUGCGUCACUUGCGUGAACAAUUGCCAGAAUCCGUAAAAAUUGUUGAAAGGUCUAUUAGUUUCGAGUAGAAUAUUUUCGAUUAAAAUAGUUGCGUGAACAAUUAUCAUAGAUAGUGUUUAUAUUUUGGAUUGAAGUGAGAAUUUUGAGAAAUAAAAAUCUAAGAUUGAGAGUGUAGAGUGGAAGUGAGUGUAAGUUAUUUACUUACACUGAAAAAUAAGCAUGGAAUGGAGAUCAUAAUCCAAUUUAUGUGUUUAUUUUAUCUUCAAUUGAGAAUAAAUAGUUUCAAAUUACAAUUUUACCUUUAUUUAAAGAAUUAUAUAUAUUUAAUGAAUAAACAUUUAUUUUAUUAUAUUUGUAAAUUUAUAAUAAUUGUUAAUAUUCUUAAUUAUGUACAUCAUAAUUUUUUAUUAAUUUUAAUUUUAAUUAUAUAAAUUAAAAAUUAUUGAUAAGAGCAAUAUAAAUGAAACAUUUUUACUAUUAACAUAGUACAAAAUUAAUAUUUUCUUAUAAUUAACUAUUUAUUAUUACUAAUUAUUGAUAUUAAAUAAAUAUAAUACUAUUAUUUUUAAAUAAAUAUAAUAAUAUUAUAUUUUCAAAUAAAGAUAGUAUAUAGUAAUAUUAUUAAUUCUCUAUUAAUAUAAUAAUAAUAUUUAAAUAAAUAAAAUAUUUUUUAUUUUAUUUUAUUAAUAUAUAAUUAUAGUAAAUUUAAUAAAAGGGGGUUAAAAAAGGAAGGUAAAUAUAAAAUGAAAUAUUAUUUUAUUUAAUUAUAUUAAAUUUAUUAUUAUAUAAAUAAUAAUAUAAUAUUAUUUAGUAUAAAAUUAAUAUUUUCUUAGAAUAAACUAUUUAUUAUUAUUAAUUAUUAAUAUUAAAUAAAUAUAAUACUAUAUAUUUAAAUAAAUAUAAUAAUAUUAUAUCUUCAAAUAAAGAUAACAUAUAGUAAUAUUAUUAAUUCUCUAUUAAUAUAAUAAUAUUAUUUAUUUUAUUUUAUUAAAUAUUAAAUAUUAAAUUUAAUUAAAUAAGGUAGAAAAUGGAGAGGUGGGAAUGGGUUUCCCAUGGGAGUCCCACUCCCACUCCCACUCCCCACUCCAAAAAUGGGUGGAGUUUAUGGAGUGAGAUUCCCAAUUCCUCCUUAAAAUGGUAAAGUAAAUAUUGAAGUGGGAGGAAUUCACACUGCUCACACCCACUCUAGAAAAUAAACACCGAAAAGGCCAAAGGAUGAAGAACCACUAUAAGUUCUUUUAUGAAUUUAAAAUGCUAAAGAAACUUGAUUUUGAUGAUAACAAACUACAUAGGGUACAAUGGUAAAUUUAUUUCUCACAAUCUCACAAGUUUUUGAAGGGCAAAAAUCAUUCAAGUGAGAUCAAGAUCAAGAUACUCAAUGGACAAUGACAAUCAAGGACGAAUACUAAGGGUACUAGUUUAAGCAAUCUUUAUUGUUAAAUUUAUUGUAAAGCCAGUAUAAUUUAAUGUGUGCAUGAUUUAACAUUUAAAAGCUCAAGAUAUUUUUCAUGACAUUUUCAAAUUAAAUCAUCAUUUUCUAUAAUAUAAAAGUUUUAACGAUUUUAUAAAAUUAGUUGCUUUUUCCAAAUUUAUGGACUAACUUGAAAAGUUUUGAGAACUUGGAAAUCAACCAAUAAUGUUUUAAAUCCUAGAAAUUGACAUAUUUGUAAAUAUUUCAAACAUUUUGGGUUGUAAUAUAAUUUCAAAAAAAUUAGGUCUAAUCUAUAAAUCCUGGAACAAUAGUGGCUAAUCGCUUAACCAAUAGCGGCUAACUACUUCAAGUCCAAAAACAUAGCAGCUAACCGCUUAAAUCAAGUGGAAUCCGCUUGAACCAAAGUUUUCAAAUUUGAUUUGCAACUGUAACUUACCAUAUCAACAUAGUGGCUAACCGCCUCAUUUUAACGGCGAUCCAGCAAGUCCCUAGAAAAGCCAAUAAUUGCUAGUUUGAUUGUUUAAACUAUAAAAUUCAAAUUAAACUCAAAUCUAACAAUUUUUUUCAAUCUCAAUUAAGCUAAAACUUAUUCAUAUAUCUUGAGGUUUCAUUUUGCUUAUCUACAUACAUUAAUCAUUAUAGGGCUAUCAUUUGCUUAUACACUCUUAUAGAGUGUAAUCUUUGUAAUCUUCAAUUAAAUAUCAAAAUUGAGUGAGUAUAAGUGUGGGAAACACUUGGGAAAAGAGGCGUGUGUAUACAUAACUACUUGUAAAGGUUUAUUGACACCUUAGAAGUCAAUUGUAAAAUCUUGGAGUCUUGGAAGGUUUAGAUAGUAGAAUUCUCAAGUUUGGAUUGCUUGGAGGCGUAGUCAUAGGCGGGUUUGCCGAACCACAUAAAAAUUCAUGUGUUUGUUAUCUUCUCCCUUAUCUUUUUAAUUUCACGCAUUGUUAAAUUUACCAUUAUUAAAUUUCUUGAAGCAUUUGUUUAAUUUGUAUUGUGUUUUUGUUAGUAUAAUUUUUAAUACCUAAUUCACCCUCUCUUGGGUUGCUUAGCUAGAAUUUUAUUUGGUAUCAGAGGAAGUUCUCUUAUUAUAACUUAACCAUCUAGAGUAAAAGAUCUAUAGUAAUCCAAAAUGAUCCCAGAUUUGGGAAAGGUUAAUCCCUUACUAGAUCACCAUUCUUUGAUGGGAAUGAUUAUCCAUGUUGGAAAAUUAUGAUAAGAAUUUAUUUGCAAGCAUUAUAUUAUGAAAUAUAGGAAGUUGAUUGUGAUGGUCCAUUCAUGCCUACUACUAAAAAUGAAGAAGGGAAAGAAAUUCUAAAACUUUCACAAGAAUGGAAUGUGUCAGAAAAGAGAAAAAAUUCUCUUAAUUUCAAAGUCAUGAAUGCUUUGUUUUGUGCCUUAAGGUUGUUCCAAUGCUUAUGAAAUUUGGAAAAAAACAUAAACUCGUUUAUAAAGCUACAAAUCAAGUUAAAUAGUCUAAAAUUAGUAGAUAUACUAGGCAAUACGAAUUGCUAUAAAUGGAACAAAAUGAGAGUGUUAAUUCCAUAUACACUAGAUUUACAAACAUUAUAAACACUUUAGAAGCUCUUAGAAAGGCCUUUUCAAAUAGCGAGAAGGUAAAAAAAAUCAGUAGGUCUUUACCAAAAGAAUAGAGACCUAAGAAAAUUGCCAUUGAGGAAGACAAUGAUACUUUAUCUAUUGAUGAUUUAAUUAGUUCAUUUAUUUCUUAUGAAAAGGAUUUGACAACUUGAAAAGGCAAUGAAGACGAGAAGAAGAAGAGUAUUUCCUUAAAAGCAUCAAGAUCUAAAAGUGACAACGAAAGUGAGAUCGAAAAUGAAGACAUGGCUAUGAUAGCUGGAAAAUUCAAAAAAAAUUUCAAGAAAUCCAUCGAGCGAAGGAAUUCAAAAAUCAGAAAGAAAAGGAGGCAAUUAUUUGCUUUAAAUGCAGGAAGCCUAGACACAUAACACUAGCAUGUCCUUUUCUCAAUAAAGUAAAGAAGAAAGCUAUGGUAGCAACACGGGAUGAUAGUGAUAAGGAGACUAUAGAUGAAGAGUAGUCUCAUGAAGUGUCAAAUUUGGCACUUAUAGUUAUAGGAGAUGAUUAUAGGAGAUGAACUUGAUGAGGUAAACCUCUUAGGAUGAGUUGUUUGAAGUAUUCUCUAAAUUGCAUAAAGAUUUAAAGAAGAUUGGAAUGUAAAAUGUUUCUCUUGGAAAGAAAAAAGUAGAACUUUUAUAUGAGAAUGACACUUUGAAUAAAAAGAUUAAGUGCCUAGAAUUAUUUGUGAAGAAAUUGCAUCUUUUAAAGAAAAAACAAAGUGUUUCAUCUAAGAAUAAAGGUUUACCUGUAAAUGAUUUGAAAAAGAAAAAUAAAAGAUAUUGCUUUAGAAUUUGCUUAGUAUUAGUCAAUUGUGUGAUAAAGGUUACAAAGUUAUUUUUAUGUGAUAAAGGCUAUAGAGUUAUUUUUUUAUAAAACAAAAUGUGUUAUUAAAAAUGCACGUGAUGGCAAAGUUUUAUUUGUUAGAUAAAGAUAUGUUAAUGUAUACACCAUUGAUAUAGAUUGUGUAUCAACUCAUAAUAAAUGUUUUUUUCACAUUACAUGAUGAUAGUUGAUAUGGCAUGGAAGACUAGGUCAUGCGAGCAUGGAUUUUAUUUCAAAAUUUUUUUAAAAUGAUUUGGUUAUAGGUCUUCCAAAAAUUGGUUCUAAAAUAGAUAGAAUUUGUGAAGUUUGCCAAUUUAGAAAACAAAUAAAAUGUCCUUUAAAAAUAAAAUUCAUAUUUCUACUUCAAAACCACUUUAACUUUUUCACAUGGAUUUGUUUGAAUUUUCUAAAUAUGCUAGUCUAAGUGGUAAAUAUUAUGCAUUUAUAAUUAUAGAUGAUUAUUCUAUAUACACAUGGUAUUACUCUUAACUAAUAAAGAUGACACCUUUAAUGCUUUCAAAAUUUCUAUAAAAAGGUUCAAAAUGAAAAAUGAUAUGUUAUUUCUUGCAUUAGAAGUGAUCAUGGUGGAGAAUUUAAAAAUUGUAAUUUUGAAAAUUUUUACAAUAACUUUGGCAUUGAGCAUCAAUUCUUGUCACCAAGAACUCCACAAUAAAAUGGAGUAGUUGAGAGAAAGAAUUAGUCUAUCCAAGAAAUGACUAGGACCAUGUUAAAUAAAAAUGCUUUACUAGAAUAUUUUUAGGUUGGAGCCGUCAAUAUUGUUUGUUAUGUUUUAAAUCGUGCAUUGAUUAGACCUUACUUCAAUAAAACUCCUUAUGAGCUUUGGAAAAAUAGAAAAACAUUGACUAUUUCAAAGUUUUUGGUUGCAAAUGUUUUCUAUUGAAUACAAAAGAUAAUCUUGGUAAAUUUGAUCUAAAAUCUGAUGUUGAUAUUUUUUCUUGGGUAUUCAAAUACAAGCAGAACUUAUAGAGUGUAUAAUAAAAGAACCUUGGUCGCUAAAGAAUCUAUACAUGUUGUGUUUGAUUAAAUCUAACUUUUCUUCUACGAAGAAAGUUGUUGUUGAUAAUGAUGCAUAUGAAGAGUUACAAAAAAAAAAGUCUUUAAAAGACAAACAAGAUGAUUUACUAGGAAAAAAUCAAGAUGAGCAACAAGAAGAACCAGUUAAAUAUAUUCAAAAUGAAGGUAAUUCACAAACACUCUCUAAGGAGCUAAGGUAUGUCUCUUCAGACCCUAAAGACUUAAUCUUAGGAGAUCCUUCAUGAGGUGUAACUACUAGAUAAUCACUUAGAAAUACAUGUGAACAUACUGUAUUCGUAUCUCAAGUUGAACCAAAAUCCUUUUCAGAUGUGGAAAAUUAUGAAUCUUGGAUCAUAGCAAUACAAGAAGAGUUAAAUCAAUUUGAAUGAAACAAUGUAUGGAAACUUGUUCAUAAACCAGAACAUCAAUCUGUAAUAGGCAGUAAAUGGGUGUUUAGGAAUAAAAUUGAUGAAUCUGGUGUGGUUGUAAGGAAUAAAGCUAGAUUAGUAGCUCAAUGAUGCAACCAAGAAAAAGAAAUUGAUUUUGAUGAAACCUUUGCACAUGUAGCUAGAUUAGAAUCCAUUACAUGCUUUUAUCAUUUGCAUAUCAUAAUGAUUUUAUUUUAUAUUAAAUGGAUGCUAAAAGUGCCUUUCUAAAUAGUUGUAUUAUAAAGGAAGCUUAAGUGAAACAAUCCCCUCGUUUUAAAAACGAAAAAUAUUUUUGGAUCAUGUUUACAAGUUGUCCAAAGUUUUAUAUAGUUUAAAGUAAGCAUCUAGAGCAUGACAUGGUAUACUUAGUAAAUUUCUUGUAGAAAAUAGUUUUUCAAUGGGUAAAGCGAAUACUACUCUAUUUGUUAAAUACAAGGAUCAAGGUAUACUUGUUCAAAUUUAUAUUGAUGAUAUUAUCUUUAGUUCUACUAAUGAGUUUCUGUGUAAGGAAUUUUCAUCUUGUAUGAGUAGAGAAUUUGAGAUGAGCAUGAUGAGAGAAUUGAAGUACUUUCUUGGACUUAAAAUUUAAAAAAAAAAUCAUUAAUCAAGCCAAGUAUUUUAGAGAUCUACUCAAAAGAUUUUGCAUUCAGGACUAAAGACACUCCAAUGAGUACUACAAUCAAGAUCGAUAAGGAUAAAAAAAGUAAAGAUGUUGUAUCAAAAGAUAUCGAGGUAUGAUCAUAUCUUUACUUUACUUUACUGCUAGUAGACAUUACUUUAGUGUAUGUUUGUGUGCAUGAUUUCAACCAUAUCUCAAAGAAUCUCAUUUGCUUGCGGUUAAAAGAAUUUUUCAUUAUUUAUGAGGAACAAUUGAUCUUGGUCUAAGGGAACUCAUAUAGAUUAGUAGCUCAAUAAAUUUGUCAAAGAAUCCCAUUCAACAUUUUAGGACCAAACAUAUUGAAAUUAGGCAUUAUUUCUCACGUGAUCAUGUUUAAAUGAGAGAUAUUGCUUUAGAAUUUGUUUCUAUGGAAAAAUAACUUGCUCAUAUUUUUACAAAGCCUUUUUGUGAAGAAUAGUUUUCAAAGAUUUGGCUUGAGUUUGGAAUGAUGACAUUUUCACAUCAAUAUUUCAUUACAUGAUAUUGAGACUACAAAUUUGCUUGAUUUUCUAUCUUGAUUGAUUGUAUGAUAAAAACUUGAUUUUAAUGUGUUAUAUGCUUGAAUUUACUUCUUUGAAUGUUUAUCAUCAUAUCUUAUGCAUUAAAAAUGGCUUUUGAAAUACUUCGGGAUCACAAAAUGGUCUCAAAAUUAAUUAAAUUUUGGCCAAAAAGCAAAAUCGUGCAAAAUUCAGGGGAACUAGCUAACCGUUAACCACAAGCGACUAGCCAAUUGUGAGGCAGAAACUAGCUGGCCAGCCGGCUUAAAGCAAACGGUUAAUUGCUUGGUUUCUAAAAAUGAAACGGUUAACCGCUUUCUUCAAGUGGCUAGCUGGCUUCACGUUUUCAAAUGUUGUUCAUCUUCUUUUUCCCACUUUCAGUUGUUACCCUCUCUCUAUCACUGUCAUCUCUCAUUUCUUUUACUCUCUCUCUAAAAUCUUCCAUUUUUACAUCACUUUUGUGUCAAAUUAAACUUUCCAAAUCAUUUCCCAUCAAUUAAUCUUCACUCAUUCGCUUUUAAAACACAAUCUAAUCACUCUUUUCUCAAAAUCUUAAAGCCUAAGUCACCAGUUUCAACAUUCUCAAAUUUGAACCAUUAUUUGACCAUUUUCGACCAAAAUAAACCCAUACAUUCCUUAGAUAUUCUCAAAGAAUAUUUUAACAUUUUAAUCGGUUCAAAAUCAUCUAUUUCUUUAAAAACUUACUAAACUCAAAUUUGUGCAAUUUUGGACACAUUUUGAUAAUUUCUUAAUGGCUAGUGGUGAGAAGUCCAAGGGUUAGCAUAUGCCUAAAAUGUAAAAAAAAGAUUCAUAAAGACAUUAUGAAAUUUAUUUCCACCCACUUUCCAAAUCCACCUCAAUAGAAUGAUUCUAUGAUCGAUUUAUGACAAGGUCAGUCCUCCCAUCCUAUAUAUGUUAAUCUUGAUUAAUUAGAAAAUUUGUCAAGUUGUAGCAAAACUUUUAGAACUUUACUUGCUGAAUUGGGUUGGACAAAUGUCUUAGUUCUUAAGGAACAUAUUUGUCCUAAUUUGGUACGAUUAUUUUAUUCGAACAUGCUUAUUUAUACAAUUACUGCCAAUAUGAUUAUUACUAAUGUUGCUGGGAUUCCUAUUAAGUUUACAGUAGAAGAUUUAAACAUGAAUCUCAGGACUAGGAAUGAUAGGUUGCAUUUGUAUACAUCUAGGACUAAAAUUGAUUAUCCCUGGUAUUCAGGACUAGGAAUGAUAGGUUGCAUUUGUAUACAUCUAGGACUAAAAUUGAUUAUCCCUGGUAUUUAGUUGUAGAUGAUGUUUGAAACAUAGAUGUUCGAAAAAUAUGUAGGUGAUCUGAUCUAUCCAUGGAGCUUUUUAAUUCCUCUCUUAGAUCACAAAUGUUGCCUCUUCAAGUUCGGAUCCUACAUAGUGUUCUUCAGCUUGCGAUCAGUCCUCGCAAGGGACAUGGUGCUAAGGUUACACGCUUAGAUGUUACUUUAUUAGAUAGCAUCCUUGAGGGUAAAAGCUAAAUGUGCGAAUAUUAUCAUUCAGCACAUGCUUAAUACACUGAGUAUAGGAAACCGAUCCUUUUCAGUUGAUAGUGUCAUUACCCAUAUCCUUCAAUAUUUUUGGGUCCCUAUAGCUGAACCAUCUCAUGAUGAACCCAAGGAGUUAGGGGAUGAGGUCAUUGCUAGCUUAGGAUUUGGGUGGGUAGAUGACCAAUAGGUUAAGAAUCAGAACUUGUUGAGCAAACCCACAAAGCUGGCUCUUUUUUAUCAUUGCAUCUUUAACGAUGUGCUUCCCAUUACUGGGUUCUUGAUCUUAGCUCUUCCCUGAGGUCACAAGCUCUACAUUGGCCUUCUGAUGCUCCACCACCAUCAUCUUCAGCCAUUCCCAAUAACCCAAUCCAGCAGUUGUUGAAUAAAGUGUGUUCCAUAUCCGAGUAGUAGAGCAAACUUAAGAUACCGUUCGCAGCAUUCCAGGAUCAUUUUCUUUCUGAGCAGCAGCGUCUCUUUCUUCAACAAUAACAAAUUCUAGACCAUCAGCAGCUUAUUUUCAUUGCUCUCAAAUUUUUGCCACCAUCCUUGUUAUCAUGUUUGCCGCCUCAUCAGUGAUUUUCUUUUAUCUCUUUUGCUUCCUUGUUUUAUGCACCGACAUUAUUUAUCAUAUGCAUUUUCGUUUUUAGCAUUAUGGAUACUUGAUGGAUGUUAUUUUACUUAUGCAUUAUAGAUACUUGAGUUAAUAUGGAUUAUCUUUAUGCAUUCUAGUUAUUGAUCGUGGUAUCUUUAUUAGUUAUCUUUAUGGAUUAUCUUUAUUGAUUAUGGAUUAUGUAUAUGGAUACUUGAUUAAUGGUCAUGUGUGGAUUCUUGAUUGAUGAUCUUUGUGGGGGAUAAUUAUUGAUAAUAUUUGUAUAAUAGAGGAGUGAUUUUUCAUGAUGAAGGGAGAGAAGAUAUUGACAUGUAUUUUGAAGUGUUUUGACAUGUUUUUGGCUCAUGGGGGUUGAUUGAGUGUUUGUAGUAUUUUAGUUACUUUAUGAGUCACUCAAGGAGAGUUUACAAAUGUUGUACAAUUAUAUGGAUCAUGUACUUAGAGGGAGUGAGUUUAUAUAUUUGGUUAUAUUUUUUGAAUUAUGUCAUAUAUUCAGGGGCAAUAGAAAUGUCAAAAUACAUAGAGUGUUUGUCAUCAUAAAAAAAGUAGAGAUUGUUGGGGUAAACGACUAUAUGAUCCUUAAUUUUGAUGAUAACAAACCACAUAAGGUAAAAUGGUAAAUUUAUUUCUCACAAUCUGACAAGUUCUUAAAGGACAAAAAUCACUCAAGUGAGAUCAAGUUCAAGUCACUCAAUGGACAACAACAAUCAAUGAUGAAUGCUAAAGGUACUAGCUUAAGCAAUCUUCAUAGUUAUAUUUCUUGUAAAGCUAAUAUGAUUUAAUGUAUGCAUGAUUUAGUAUUUAAGAGUUCAAGAUAUUUUUCAUACAAUUUUCAAAUUAAAUCAUCAUUUUCUAUAAUAUAAAAGUUUUAAACGUAAAUAAAAAUGAUUUUAUAAAAUUAGUUGUUUUCAAAUUUAUGGACUAAAUUGAAAAGUUUUGAGAACUUUGAAAUCAACUAGUAAUGUAUUAAAUUCUUGAAGUGGACCUAUUUAUAAAUAUUUCAAAAUUUUUAGGCCAUAGUAUAAUUUUAGGAACUUUUAGUUUAAAUCUAUAAAUUUUGAAACAGUAGCGACUAACUGCUUAACGAAUAGUGGCUAACUGCUUCAGGUCCAAAAACAUAGCUGCUAACCAUUUAAAUCAGGCGACAAUUCGCUUAGGCAAAAAAGUUUUUAAAUUUUAUUUGUAACGGUAACUUACCACAUCAAUAUAGCGACUAACUUCUUUAUUUUAACAGCAAUCCGGUAGGUCCUCAGAAAGUCAAUUACGACUAGUUUGAUUGUUUAAACUAGAAGAACCCAAAUCAAACUCAAAUCUAACAACUUUUUCAAUCUCAAUUAAGUUAAACUUGUUCAUACAACUAAUCCUGAGCUUUCAUUUUACUUAUCUACAUGCAUUAAAUCAUUAUUGAGUUAUCAUUUGCUUAUACACUCUUAUAGAGAUUAAUCUUUGUAAUCUUCAAUUAAAUAUCAAAAUUUUGUGAGUAUAAGUGUGGGAAACACUUGGGGAAAGAGGUAUGUGUAAACAUCACUACUUAUAAAGGUUUAUUGACACAUUACAAGUCAAUUGUAAAAUCUUAGAGCCUGAGAAGGCUUGGAUAGUGGAAUCCUCAAACUUAGUUUGCUCGGCAGCAUAAACAUAGGCGGGUUUUGCCGAAACAUGUAAAAAUUCGUUUGUCUGUUAUCUUUUCCUUUAUUUUUUUAAUUGCAUUCAUUGUUAAAUUUACUGUUAUAAAUUUCUUAAAGCAUUUGUUCAAUUUGUUUUGUAUUUUUGUAAGUAUAAUUUUAAUACCCAAUUCACCACCCUCUUAGGUUGUGUAGAUAGAAUUUCACAUUUGUUGUACAACAACAACAACAGCAAUAACAAUAAUAAUUGUUAUAAUGGUUGUAACAAUUACUAUUGAAAAAAAUUUAUUGUUAAUAAUAGUAGAAAAUAAGAAAAAAAAAGGAAAUUAUCCACUAACCAUGUAGUCUUUGGGACUUUUUCAAAAAUACACAAAAAAAAACUUUCUUUGUAGAAAUCCACCUAGAGUUUAUUAAUUAUUCAUUGUCAUCUUAGCUCAUUAGAUUCUUGUUGAUGUCAUAAGAUUAAAAUUAUCAUUUUACUUGAACACCUAAGAUUAAAAUUAUCCUUUAGAGUUUCUUUCGCUGGGGCUGGUGACCUUAGUGGUUAGAUUUGCUAGAUAUGGUCGUGAGAAACUCGACAAUGACCGAGGAUUGGCUGGAUUCACGGUGGUUUGGUCAAAAAUCUGACUUGAAUUGGCAUUUGUGGUGCUUCAUUCAUGUUGGAGAUUUUGAUUGCGAUUUGGAUAUCGACAAUGAGAAAGUGGCAUUUGCGGUGGCGCUAGGUGAAGCCCGGGUUUUGGGUUAGCGUUGUGGCGAUUUAUGGCGGUGAUCAUUGUUGGGUUUUGUCAAGUUAUGACCAGUGGAAUGUAGCAAGUUUAGUGGUGGUGUUGGUUGACAGUGAAGAUGGUUGGUUUCACGGUGGCAGCUGGUGGAUGCUCCCAGUUUUAGGUCUAGAUGAUUUAUAGUAGGUACAAGCGGCGAUUGAUGGCAGGAGUGGCUAAGGCUUGGUCAGUAGUGGCUAAUGAGUUUGGUAGAGGGAUUAGCCAAUGGUGAACUAUUAGUGAAGAGUGGCAGUGGCGGUGGGCGGCUGCUAAGGUUUUGUAAUUUUGUAAUAUUUUUUUGUUGGAUAAACAGUUAUGAAUUUGGUGGGGAUGGAUAUGGGUAGCCAGGAAAACUGUGCAAUUGGCAUUGAACCACUCUAAUACAAACUAACAAAUUGGAAUAGCGGAAGUGGAAUUGAUAGAGUAGGAAAUAUUAGCUAUCAUUCUAAUACUGGCUAAGGUAAUGUGGAUAGUUUACGUCCUAAUCGAAACGUGAGUAGAUCUCAUUCUAACAAUGGCUCAAUGAGAUUUUAAUAACGCAUAAAGCAAGAUUAGACGACGUUCUAAUCCAAAUAACUUUGUAAGAGAGAUUUUGAUAAAUAAUUUUAGAGAGAAUUAUUAAAAAGGGCUUUAUUAGUUGAUCAAUAGUUGAAGUUACAAUAAUAAGAUUUUGAUUUAUAAUAUAAUAAACCUACUUCACUAAGUUAACUUAAAAAGAAAAACUAAAUCACAAUUUUAAUAGAAAUAAAAAACUAAGACAUAUACCAUAGUUGACUAUAAUUAAAAUAGAAAACAAUAAAAUAAUAAAAAUUAUAGAAUCCUAAAAUAAUGUCUACAUCGUAUCCUCACUAAAAUAAAAAUAUAAAAGUAAAGCAAAUUGUGGUAUAACAGACUUUAAUUCUAUCACUCUUCAAUUUUUUUGUUUAUUAAUUAAUAUUGGUGUCUAUGGUUAAAUUUGUUAUUUUUUAUAACAAUUUUAUUUGUUAAUUGAAAUAUUUAGUCUAUGUAAACAAAAAAAAAAUGGUUGGAAAGAAUGAGAGACGAAGGGGGAGAGAGAGAGAGAGAACAAAGUCAAACAAAUAAUUUAUUGAAUUAUAUUUUAAAAUUAAAUUUUAAUUUGAUUAAAUAAAUGAUGUAGUGAGAAAAUGAGUAGGUUCAAAUAGCUUUACUUAUAUUUAUUUCAUUAAUGGCUCAAAAUUUAAUGAAAAUAAAUGGUUUUAAAAAAAUUGCAUUUAAGUUGCAUAAUUCAAUGAGUAGUGCCACACAUCCUAAAUCUUUUAUCUUAAAAAAUUAUCUCAAAUGAUAUGGUAUUCAUCAAUAGAUUGAAGAGAUAAUACAAUUAAUUCACUCAAAUCUUGAAAGAAUUACCUACUAUUCAAGUAAUGACACACCAUUUGGGAUAAAAAAAAUUUGGAAUAUCUAUCAUUACUCUAAUUAAAAAUAAACCUAUCACUGGAUGAUUAAUUAUAGUAGGUUGCUUAAUACUAAAAUGUCACUCAUAAAUUUUGUUUUGGAUUUGUAAUUGAUUUAUCUUAAUUCUUCAACUUGACAUAAGGUCGUUCUCCUCGUUUCUGUACACUUAAAAGUCACCAAGAUCAAAACUAGAUCUGUCGUUGCAUUUGCUUGAAAAAUAAUUUACAAGCACUAGGUUCUCCUGAUUAAGCAACAUUUUUAAAGGGUUAUGAUAGUAGUGGAGCACUUUGUAAAUAUUAGAUGGAUUGUUGAAAACAAUAAAAAAUGUUUGUGUGUUUUUUAUAAAGGCUAAAAGAUGAAGUGGUCUAUGGAUAAUUACUUAUUUUUUCCCUUUUUAUCUUAAUCAUAUUUGAACGACAUCCUUUUAUAGUUCCCAGGCAUUCUGCAACUAUAAUAGACAAUUUUAAUAGGAACUACAGAGAAAAUAUUAAUAUUUUUAUACUUAUUUACUUACCUGAUGGAUAGCUAGAUAAGUGUUACUUUUCACACAACUAGACCAAAUUAGUACCCUUUUUGGUUGGUGAAAACGUGAUUUUUAUGAAUAUGCUAUAGAUGCUUUCAAACGUUUCCACAGUUUACGAAUUUACGCAUUAAACGAAAACCUCCAACUAUCAAACAAAAAGGUGAAAAUUCAAUAGAAUCGACAACUUCUCAGACUCACGUAGGUGGUGGUUCAAGUUUCUAAACUACUAUUAUUAUUAACAGUUUUGAAAAGCAAAUAGUAACUUCAUUUCACAGCAUCUGCUUUUGAGAAAGCUCAGAUGUAAUCAAAAUUCCAAAACCACUCUAAAUAUGUUAGGGAUAUGACCAUAAAUAGAAGUUAAAUAUGAUAGGAUAUAUAGUUGUUCAUAGCUAACAUUUGAUGGUUUAAUUAUUUGUUCUAGGGAUUAUGCGCUGAUUAGUGUUUUUUGUUAUCCACUGAAUGAUAUUCAGUUUUUCUUACAUGUUCAUAGGCAAGAGCAUUUUCUAAGUACUUUCCUUCCCUUAAAAUUUUGAAAGAAAGAUAGAUAUGAUAUGUGAAGCAAGCCCAAUGAAAUAAGCAAAUAAAAUAGAAUAAACGAAGCAAAAAUAUUUCUAGAAACAAGAAAUGACAAAGGAAACACGAAUACAACUUUUUUCUUGUUUUCCUUAUUUUCCACUGUUAAGCUCCAAAAUGAAUAACUUUAUUCUACCAUCUCUCAAAUAAUAAAAACAUCAACAGCACAUCAUCGUCAUCAAUAAUAAUAAUAAUAAUAAUAAUAAUAAUAAUAAUAAUAAUAAUAAUAACAACAAUAAUAAUUUAACUUUGUAGUAUGGAGCUCUCGCAAAUCUUCAAGACACAAAAUGUGCCUGACCCCGUUGUUGUUAUUAUAAUUUCAAAAUGAUUUGUAUUAUAUAAAAUUAGGGAAUAAGACAUAGCAAAAUUGAUGGUACAUAUGUUGCAAUAUACUUGUUCAUGUAGCGACACAUUAAAGUAAAGCAAAAGCGAAACAACGAAAAAUGUAACGGGAGAGCUCUUAUUAUGUAGAUUUUCAAUAGAAGUAAUGCAAAUUUCACAAGGGCAAUGGCCUUAUUUCGAAUGUUGCACCGGAGGAAUGACAUGAACCUUCGAUACGUCACAAAUGUAUCAUGAAAGUGUGAUAGAUUUGUGACAUAUAUUUAUUUAUUUAUUUAUUUUUUGGUCUUAACCACGAGGUAUUCUGGGGAGGGCUCCAACUGUGGAAAACAUCUUUAAGCCCGUACCACAACUCAGACUACAAGUUUCCGCUCGAACCGGGAGGCAUAAGUUCUCCCAACAAAAGCGACUUUCCUACAACUCGAACUAGGGAGCAAACCCAGUCAAGCCACUUAAGGGGACUCCAUUGCCAGUGGAGCCAACACUUUGUUGGUGUGGCAUAUAUUUAUAUGUUCAGAGUUUAUGACAUAUUCAUGACUUAUAACUUAACUAACAUAAAUAAAUGAUAGAUAUAAGUGAUGCUCAAGUUUUGUGGAUUUAUAAUAUCAUAAAAUGAUGACUAUUUAAACGACGUCGUUUUUAUGAAACUUAAAACAUACCAACACUUCAGCCAAAUAUCGACAAGUGUUGAAUAAACCCCUCUCUCGCUGCAACCUAAAAUCAAUGAACUUUGAGCCAUUCUCAACAACAUUGUGUAGAACCCUAGCCCUAACCCUCACUUCCACCACCGAUAAAGCUAAGAAAGUUUUCCGUAUAUCAGAACCAUGGCGAAUUGCCUUCAGCUCUUAGGACCCAUAAUAAAUCUUGUAUUCCCUCGCUUUCACUUUGCUAAUUUUUUGUAUUAUUCCAUCUCUUUCACUUUAAUAACCCAAAAUCUUUCUCUGUUUCAAUCGAAAGAAGACCCUAGCUUAAAUUAAGCUGAAAUUUACAUAUCAAAGCUCUCGCUCAGCUUCCCUCCUUCAAUUGAAACAAAACGAAGCCAUAAGACCCCAAUAUGCCACGCCCUUUUGUCUCAGGCCAACAUUCAUUUAAACCCUACCUUUCGGUUCAAUGCCAUUUAAUGCGAUUGCAGAUGCCGUUUCAACUCAUUAUUUAGUUAACGCCAUUCAGUUCUUUGCGGUAAGCCUUAACCCUAAUAACUAAUCAACUGUGGUAGCACGUUGCUGACUGGGGUGGGAAUACAUUAAUUGAAUAUAUGAAUUGGGUGAUGUCAGUGAUUCAUCCCCCUAUUUGCCGUUAAUGGAGAUUUGUGUAUAAUGUUUGUAAGAUUGUUAAAAAUUUCAUGUUCCAGUCGAAUUUCUUGCUUGUGGAAGAUAAAACAAAAGUUUAAUCUAUAUAUAUAUAUAUAUAUAUAUUAGCUUCUUUAUAGUCAGGCUCUGGCUUUGCUGCUAUGCUUAGUGCAGUUUAUGGUUUCAAGAUUAAAUUAGGUUUAUUUGACGACAUUGAUAUCUUAUCUAGCUCCGCUUGAAAAUGAAAAUGUUGUACUAGUAAUCAUAGACUUUGUUUAUUCAGUUGAUAUUUUAAUUAUACAUAUAAGAAUGAAGGUUUAUUUGGGAAAAAAAGAAAUAAAGAAAUAGGCUCUGUUGAAGCUAAUUAAUACUUCAUUCUUUCUAUACGUGCGACCUGUGGUGGAAACAUGAUAUGAAAAUGUGUUACUGGUGAGGUUGCUGCUUGAGAUGAGAAUGAUGAGAAUGCCUUCUAUUCGGAAAUCCUUGGUAGGUAUUAUAUAAUUAUAUUUGAUGGAAUAUUAAAUAGCUAAAGAAUCUGUGAUAUUGUCUUUGUUCAAUUGUUACUGUAGUAGUGUUUGUUGGUCUUUUUCUGGUUGGCGUUUGGAUGUUAAUGUCAUCAUCAGUUGUACUGGUGUGGGAUCCAGGAUGUUGUCCUCUUAAGAGCCUAUAAGCAAAGUGAAACAGAGAGUAUCUGAGAUUUUUCUGGGCCUUUCGUAGAAAAUCAAGGUGAUGAAUGACAGGAUUCAACAAAUGGGGAUGGGGAUGAUGUUCCUGUUGAAAAGUUAGAGAAUAGAGUGGAAGAUAAUCACGAAGAGAUGAAUAUGUAUGAGGGUGAUGGUGAGACGAGUGAAUCUAAGAAUAUGGUUAAUCAAAACCAGGAAGAGAAUUUAGUGAAGGAGAGUUUUGAUGAGAAUACUGAGUCUGAAGAGGAAUCUAGGGCGGUGUCUAAAAAUUAUGAUGUUAGAAAAAAGGAAGAUAAGGAAUCUAAAAGUGAAGGUGGAGAUUUGAAUUAAGAAGCUGGAGAAACAGAAGGCGGCGAAUUGAAUAAAAUUGAGCAAAUUGAAUCAGAGAAGAGCUUGGAUGAAAAUAAAUGGAUCAGGCUAGUCAGAUUGAAAAGGAGAAGGAUUCUCAAGAUCAAGAUAAUGACACUGAGAGUCGUUGAAAGGAUCAGGCUUCAACUGAGAUUUUUCCUUUUGGUGACUAGUCAGAAAUUCUGAAGGAAACUAAUGCUCAGAAUGGGGCUUGCUCAACUCAACCUAUUGAGUCAUAGAAUCAGAAAAUAUCACAACAAUCUUCUAUAUCUAAGGACCAGUAUGGUCGUCGCUGGAAAGUGUGUAAUGCCACUGCUAGGCCAGAUUGCAUCCCUUGCCUGGAUAAUUUGCAAGCAAUUAGAAUGCUUUCCAGCACAAAAGCAUUAUGAACAUCGAGAGAGGUAUUGCCCUGAAGAAGCUUGUACCUGUAUUGCUCCUUUACCGGAAGGAUACAAACACUCAAUUAAGUGGCCCCAAAGCAGGGAUAGGGUAUGAUCUUAUAUUAUGCAUUAUAAAAUAUAUACUUGACUACUUUUAAUUCACUUGGGCUAAGAUUUGUUCUCAUGCUGUGUGGGAUAGAUUUGGUAUUAUAAUUUUCCCCACACAAAGCUUGCAGAAGUUAAGGGUUAGCAAAAUGGGGUUAAAGUUACUGGUGAAUACCACAUUUUUCCAGGUGGCAGAACUGAAUUUGAGAAUGGUGCUCUUCAUUACAUUGACUUCAUUCUGAAGGUGAGCAUUUUUCAUUUAUCAUUUUAUGUCUGUUGUUAGCUUCAAUUAAUAGGUGGCUUAUUCUUUUCUUUGUAUGAACCAUGGGCGGUCCAUUUCAUCUUAUAAGCUAUUUCUUGGGUUUUAGCAAGACAACUUAUGGAGGGUAUACAGAGGCUCAAGAGCUCGAUUGCCAUUCAUUUUACACUUGGCUGGGCUAUAGUAUACCAACUAGUGAUUAAUAAAGAGAAGGUAUGAAGGUCCUGUUGCUGGUGGUAUUAUCAAUCAGAAUUGUUAUUUUACUUAGUCAUACUUACCAUGUAUACUAUUCGUAGGCUUUUUCAUUUUCAUGCAUUCGCAUCAUCUUCUGGUUAAGCUACAGAUGGUUGAUUUGUGUACUCAUUUGUAUCACUUGUAGCUCUUGAGGAAUAAAAUUUAAAAUUAUGUUGCAUCCCUUGUACUAAAUAGUAAUUUUGUUGGCUUUAUGCAUGGGAAAUGGUUUGUUGUCUUAUUUCUUUGAUGUGUAUGGUGUUACACUGUCUAAAGUUAAGAAGUAUUUCUAUCACUUGUGUAAAAAACAACCUACUUUUUUCAUUCUUCUUAUAUUGAAUAAAAGAGGGACACCAAGAUUGAACGAAAUUUGAUUCAGAAAGCAUAGCAAUUAGGCCAGUUCAAAACAGCUUCCUUCUGAUUCUUUGAUAUUUGACUUAAAUCUUUUGUUUGUUUCAUUUAUCAAAGUCAUUUUGGAAAGUAACGGGGGUGAUUUGAUAUUUUCAUUGCAUUCACAUCCCUUAGGCACCAAAACAAGCAUGCUGGUACUAACCAACAAUUUUUUAUUUUCAGUAUACAAAUUAUUUUUUUCUAAAUUAGGGGUAUUAAGAAAAGGUAUACUAGCACCAGGGGAGGUAUUUGAGAAUACACAAAUACAAUCUAUUAAACUAAGAAUAUGUCAAACUUCAGGGGAGGUUUCUGAUAAAUCUCUUUUACUUUUUCCUCCAUUCACCAUAGGUUCAAUUUAGAACAGUUGACCAAACCGAAGGUUUAGGUUGGUAAACGCACUAGUGUUAAUGUCAACAACCCAAGGGGCUUCAUGGUCCUCUGGGCUGAAAUAGCGUAAUUAUUAAUUCUCCUCCAGUGAAAAUCUUCAUCUUGGGACAAAUAAUUACAAAUUGACAUUAUGGCUAUGCAAAUUUUGAGGUGUAAUAACCGGAAAAAUAAAAAUCUUAAGAGACUUUUUAAAUAAAAAAGAUACAACACCUUUAAUUUGCUAAAAGUAAUGAUAUCAUUACUUGUAUGGAAAAUGGAUGAUUAGAUUUUCUUUUUUGUUAUCCGACGAAGGAUAUUCAGUUGUUCUUUAUUUGUUCAUAGGCAAGAGCAUGAGCAUAUGCAUGAUUUGAUAUAUGCUUCUUGCAUUUUCUAAUUAAGUGCUCUCUUUCCUUGCCUUCUUAGUUUUGAAAGAAAGAUGUGAAGCAAAGCAAACCCAGUGAAAUACACAGAGCAACAGAACCAUCAGAGGAAAAACUAAAUAACAGAACUACAAUUGAACCAAACAAAAUCAAAUAAACGGACGCAACAGAUGCCCUGAACCUAGUAAUUACUCAAGAGUUGAGGAGUUGGAAUGAUUUGGUAUUCAUAUCUUCACAAAUCAUAUGCUUUAAUGCAGAAUCGACAGCUUUAUAUUAUUUUAUUCAAAAAACGAUAAAGCAGGAAAACCACAAUAAUCCACCAACUUUUGAUACUUGUAGGAAUUUUUUUUAGUCAAAUUAAGUUUCAUGAUAACACAAGUGGCUCGUCCACACACUUGCACUUGCUUGAAUAUUUGUGCCGACAUUUUCAUAUGUGAUGGUACUUCUUAGCCAGUAGAUAUGUUGAAGUACUACAAAACAGAGUAUUUGAUGAAGUUUUGCUACUUUCGUAUCCCAUUUUGUUGCAUAACUAAAUUCUUUAUAAACACAAAUUAGAAAGCUACAAAUAAUACAGUAGCUUGAAUUUAUAUGCUUUUAUGAUUAUUUGAUAAUCUAGUGCUGACAAUAUGUGAUGAUAAACUUAGCUAGUAGUUUUAUAUUUAUUUUCGUAGUUUCUUUAGCAUUCACAUUUUGAUGAGUAAAUUAAGGAUUUCCAGAUGAAGUACAUAAUCAGAUUAAUGCUAAGGAACUGAAGUUUGAUUAAUUGAAAACAAAAAUAAUAAUGAAGGUAAUUACGAAAAUGAACAAUGCAGAAGUAGUCCCUAUAGUAUUUCUAAAUUUUCUCUUGGGGUUCCUUAGUAUUCCUUAAUAUUUUUAAAAGAUGACAUGACGAUCUUUGAGUUGACAAAUCUAGGCCUGCUGCUUAGUACCCUUCCAACAUUUCAAGUACUAGAUGUUUUACUGAGAAAAUGACAAGAUCAUUUAUCAAAUUUCUUGCGCAUAUAUACAUAUGCAUACAAGAAAUGGGAAUCAGAGUGAUUAUAAGACCUUGCAAUGAGACAAUAAUACAUCAUCAAAUUUAAAAAUACACAAGAAAUUUGUGACGUAUAUAUAACAAAAGACCUCUCAUUGAGUUAUACAUAUUGAGAAUAAAAUGUCAAAAUGCAGACAAAGAGCUUAUACAGAAAAUGAAUAAACCGUCUUUGAACUUCCGAUGGUCAAACAAAGGAAACAGGCAGGAUAUAACACACACUAUCAUAGAUGUAGCGACACGAUGAAGUAAAUCACAUGAAGAUGGAAAGGGGAACCCCUCACAGCAUAAAAUUUGAAUAGAAGGGGGAAAAAGGCUUCAUUUCAAAUGUUGCACAGAAGAAGAGUGACUUGAAUCUCCAUCAGUAUCCAGACAUUCUGCAAACACAGUGCUGAGAAUUUUAACAAGAAUAACAGACAAAAUAUUGUGCUCUCUAUACUUUCACAAAACUAGACCAAAUUAGUUCCCUUUUUGGUUUGUGAAAACUUGAUAUUUUUUAAAAUUCUAUCCAAUGCUUUCAAACAAUAUUUCCACAAUAUAGUUGUUCAUAGCUAACCUUUGAUGGUUUAAGGAUUUGUUGUAGGCAUAAUGGGCUAAUUAGAUUUUUUUUUUUAUCCGAUGAAUGCUAUUCAGCUGUUCUUAAUUAUGUGUUCAUAGGCAAGACCAUUUUCUUAAGUACUUUCGUUGCCUUCCAAGUUUCCAAAGAACAAACAGAGCACAAACAAAUAUAACGGAACAGCAAUGAUGGCAAUAAAUAAUUGGCAAAGAAAGAAAGAAAAAAGUUUGCAUGAUUUCAAGGAAUUGUAAAAUCUGAAGACUUUCAACAGGAAUUAUAAAAUCUGAAGACUUUCAACAUGCAAGUGUUGCCCCUUUUGAUGAAAUUUCAUCAUAAAAUGCUUGCAAAGAAUUAUAAAAUUUUAGAGAACAAGCGAACUCUCAAACAAAAUACUCAAAUUAAAUUAAAUUAGACCAAAAGACACUCAAUGACGCAAAAUCUGCCCAUAAAAGCCUGAACAAAUCAUGAAAAGUGCAUUCCAUAUUGACAGUAAACCAAGUGACCGAUUCUAAAUAAUUGAGAUGAAAUUGUGAAACAACCCACGAGAUCAAAUAAAUAAAAUAAGAAUUAAUUACCAGCUUUGACUUUCUUCUCCAAAUUCGCAACUCCAAGACAUAAGAAGCCAAUGAAAUUAGUCGUAACCCAUAAAGUACGACGACGACCCCGCCAAUAGCUGAAAAUAAAAUACUUAUUCAUCAAUUUAAACUAACUUUAUAACAAAUAUCUUAUCGAUAUUUUAUUUAAAAAAAGCAAAUUUGUAAAAUUUUUCCAUGGGAGAUAGAGAGUAAUAUGUAUAUCCGUACCUUUUCAGCAUGUAAUUGUUGUAUGGUUGUGUUAAGAUCAUUAUUUGCCCAACGGCGUUGAUCCUCUUACUCUCCAUACGAGACGUUUACUCUCGGAGGCGUGUUUGAUUCUCCUGAAGUGAAAGUCUUCAUCUUGGGACAACCAAUCACUUCUAGAUAUUCCAGAGAUGGGAAUUUGAAGGUGUAAUUGGCAGAGCAGAAACUUGUGAGACUGUCUAAAUCGCACAGAAUCAACGCCUUCAAUUUGCUGAAAACAAUCUCUUCUAUGUCAACUCCUUCUUUGUCAUUUAUUACCACCUCUGUCAUUGCUCUGCAUCCAUAUACUUGCACUGAUACGAGUCGCACCAGAGUUUUUGCUGUGGAGGAUGUUACGAAGUGUAUCAAUUCCUUGCAACCGACAGCUACCAGUUUUGUUAGGUUCCGAAAAGAUACCGAUGAUGAUGGCAAUAGACUUAACAGAUUUUGACAAUGAUAUACUUUUAGAAUUUCAAGAUAUUGAAAAAUGGAGUCAAGUUUGGAGUCUUGUUUACAUAGCUGCUUCAGAUGAUUAAGGUGGCCCAGCUCUAUACAUUUUAUCAUUGCCAACUUCCUCAAACGUUUCUCUAAGCAUCCUUCCGUUGAAAAUAGCUCUUCGUAUGAACAAUGAUACAGUAAGAGUAAUUCGAGAUUGUGAAAUCUCUCAAGUACAUUCCUGAUUGGAAAACAAGCCGAGUCAUCAUAAGUUAUGUCUAGUUUUUUAAGACUGCCAAAAAGGUGUUGAGGGAAAUCGGCGUCCAAAAUCAUCUUCACAUCUUUUCCGCUUAACGCCAGUGACUCCAAGUUGGGUAAGAUCUGAUCAUUAUCAAUCACGUAGUAACUAAUCAGUCAGUUGAUGUUCUCUCCAAUAAUUUUGAGUAAUCCAAUCAUAUGCAGCGACCUUAUAGUACUUGUUGUAGAUUAUAUAUAUUUUACCAAAAAAAAAAAAAAAAGAAAGGAAAAAUUGAAUUAGUGAUAAAAUUCAUUCUAGGGGCCGUUGAAUUAGUGAUAAAAUUGAAUUAGUGAUAAAAUUCGGUUAUAUUUUUCAAAGUCAAAAGUCGCUAAUGAUCUAAUUGAUAAGAAAUCUAGAAAGCGGCUUCAUACCUUUUUGAACAAGAAUAGGGGCCGUUGUGCAGGAAUACCAAGUUGAUCAUCCUCAUUAUUUUGUGAUGAAUCUGCAGCGAAUGUCUUCAAUUUGUCACAACCAGACACCACUAAAAUUUUUAGUGCAGGCCAUUCCGAAGUAAGCAUUCCAUGGUAUAAACAUUUAAGUUCUGGUAGCUCUUGGAGUAUAAGAGUGGUCACCCGUUGAAAGACAAAACGAGGGGUCACAUGAUCUACUCUGUCUUCCGAAAUGAUCUCUUGCAAACCCCUACAAUUCACUAUCUCUACUUGUUGGAGAUGCUCAAAGCUUUGAAUCAUAGAAACUAAAAAUAUGUAUUUCAAUUUGUUACAGUGGCACACAAUCAAUCGUGUUAAACUUUGAAAGCGAGGAAGCAUGACCGGACGAUGAUUGUAAUGCCAAAUCUUGUCGACAUUAAUUUCAGAUAUCUCCAAAGCCUCCAAGUUAGGCAAGCCUACCUAAAAAAAUAUUAAUUUCUUGUUAGAUCCAACAUCCAUAUGAGAAGGACUUAUUGAAAUUUUCUUCUUUGAUUGCAGAUUAAUAAUUCAAGUCAAAAUCAAUUUCCAACUGACAGCUGAGUAUGCAUUCUAAUUCAUAUUACUUGUUAAGAGCUCAAUUAGUGAGUGCGUGAGAUUCUUUUUAUCUUUUUUUUUUCACUUUCUUUCAAUUCUUUAAAUGAUUUAAUUAUUUUCCACGUAUGACAUCAAAAGAGAAUGCACAAUAGCAUAAAGAAAGUGUUAGCCUACGCACCUUGCCGUUGAAAAGCAGGGUUUCCAAAUUGAUUUCGUUGGAGCAAGAACUUGUCAAUUCCUCUUGCAGCCCUUGUCUGUUUAGUGAUGCUGAAGGAGUCUUCAAUUUACGGAAAAAAGUUGUAACCUCUGGAAGAUUUCCUAAACUCAAAGAUCUUAAUUGAGCCAACUCUAUCUUCUCAGUAGCAUUAUUGUUGUCAACAUCAGCUUCUCCCCCAGUUGCAAAAAUCUCUUUCAUCUUGCUGCAAUUAAUAACUGCAAUUCUCUCAAGUCUUGGAAGGCAUUUUGCAGUGGAGAGCCAGAAGAUAUUACUCAACUCAUUACAAUUUUCUACUUUUAUUGUUUUGAGUUUAUUGAAAGACUCUACUUUGAGUCGAUCAAUGCAUAUCCUCUCCAUGUUGAUCAAAUUGUGAAGAGUCAGCGACUCCAAAAGAGGAAAGGCAUCACAAGCGACCAUCUCCAUUGAGUCGACAAUACAAAAGAAGUCAGGAUUAUUUUGAACCCAGAGAAGCUUCAAUUGUGGUACGCCCUUUGUGUCCAAAUCGAAAAGAACAUUUUUGACACCUUGUAGCUUGUCCAACAAUAAGUAUUCAACGUUAUUGAUGGCCUGCAAUUUCAUGGAGCAAAUGUCCAUAAAAUCAAGCUUGAGCUUCAACUCUCUUAAACGCUCAUGAUUAUUGUUGAUCAAAAAGUGCGACCGACUGCGAAACCAAUCUUUUGUAACAGGCAAGGAAGCCAUGAAUGACUUAUUUCCAAUAGAUAUUUUGAACCUUUUGAGCUUUCUGGCCAAAAAGCCUUCCGGUAAAAUACUGUCAUUUUUAACAUCAACACUUCGGGAAUGUCAUUAAUAAUACUAUCUUUUAAAAAAAUUGCAGGAUAUUUUUUUAAUGCAUCUGCAUCUGGCCAUUUCCACAAAUGCAAUUUUGUCACGACAUGCAAUUGAAAUGGCAACAUCGCGAACAACAUCAUGCAUGGAAAAUAAUUUACUGCUACCAUCCUUAAGCAACAAACAAGAGUCUCUUAGUUGAUUGACCCAUGCAUCUAAUUUGUUAUGUGCAUCUUCUAGUUUAUGGACACUUUCAAAUGCACCCAAGCCCACGCUAUAUUUGAACAAGUCCAUAAUUGAAGUUGGUGUAAUUAGACUACACAGUAAAAAAGUUUUCUUGAGUUGCUCACCUCUUAAGUACUUGUAACUCAGCUCAAUUGUUGAGUAUGCCUCUACUGGUACUCCUCCGUCGAAGCUUGCCUCUGAAGGCGUUUGGAGUUCUUGCAAGGCGUUUUUCCACACAGGCAGCUCUUUGUUUCUCAGUGCCUUUGCUACUGUGGUUAGGGCAAUAGGCAAACCUCCACAUGCCUUGGCUACACUUGUUGCUGUAGAUUUUAACUCACGAUUUUCAACAUAAUUACCAGCCAUUAUCUUGAACAAUCUCCAAGCUUCUUGCUCAUUUAGAAUGCAAAUCAAGAAGUUAUUUUCAUAUCCCAUACUUAACGAGACAUUACGAUCCUUUGCUGUUAAUAAUAAUUUGCAUCCUCUAUGAUCAUCGCCAAAAGGAAUUCCAACAGUCUCUAAAUCAAGAUAUUUCCAGAUUUUGUCCAGAAUCACAAGGAUCUUCUUAUGAUUCUUCAAUCGUUCAUAAAGUUUACUAGCUCUUCUAGAUUCAGCCUCCUCGGACAACUCCAGACCUAGUUUCUCUGCAAUUUCCCCUUGAAUCUUUUUUAUGUCUGGAGUUUGGGAAACCUCUGAAAAAACCACCUGAUCAAAGAGUUUCUCUUCACUGGCUUGCCUUGCAAACUCCUUCACCAGUGUUGUCUUUCCAAUGCCGCCCAUGCCGUAUACCCCAACGAUGCUGACAUUGACAUCAGUCAAUGCAUCUUGUAUAGACUUCAGAGUAGAAAGUCUUGAUUUAAAGGCCUCAUAACCUUUGUUAGACUUUAGCCAUACCUCCUCCACAAUGGUACGGUAGAAAAUUUGAUCAUCAAAUCUCCUAGCUUCUUCUUUGAGUUCAACAAGGGCCUUCACCUCUGUUUCUGCUUUCUUGCUAAGCUGAUAGCGGGUCUUCAAAUUAGGACACAAGCCCUUGAAACAUCGCUUACUUGUUGUCUCCCCAUCUUCAAUGAAUUUGGAUGCCUGCUCAAUGGUGUUGUUCGCACUAACCAGCUAGUUCUCAACCUUCUCUUCAAUCUUUUCUCCUUUUCUUUCAGCCUUAGAAACUCUGUGCUGAAUGCUCUUACUUUCAUCCUUGAGCUUGUCUAUUUCUGCCUUGAGAUUCUCAAAGUUGGCUUUAUAGUUACGCAAAUAACCAAGUUGGUGUUCUGUUGGAGGAGCGAAGCAUUUCACAACUUCUAACAGAACAGUAACAAUGCUUUCCACCAUCUUCGAUCCUCUUUUUUUCAAAGUUCCGAAAUGAAAAUAAACGACGAGCGAAACACAGAGAGAAAGAGAGGCAAAAAAAAAAAAAAAAAAAAAAAGAAAAUGAAACAACAAAGAUGACAAGUGUAUCUGUUUGUGGAAGCGGAGAAAUCAAAGAAAGCUUAAAAACUGUUGUGAAUCUGGUGAGAAGAUGGAAACAAGGAAAAGGUUUCUAGUUCAAAAGUGAUUGAAUUGAUAUAAGGAAUGAUUUAGAUAAUAGAGGAAAAGUGAAUCAGUCAAAAUAACUUAUGUAUUGACCAGAAGAAAGAUGCAAACAAUAUUGGAGACAACAACAACGCUAUGUGUUGUGCGCAGAAUGCGGAAACAAGUGCACUGAAUAAUCACAGAAAAAUAAAGGACACAAGAAUUACAUGGUUCGGCAAUAUGCCUACGUCCAUGGGAACAAGAGAAAAAUAAUUGUAUUAUUAACAAUUAUAGUACAAAUUUGAGUAAAGAAAUCUCACUUUCCCAUAACCCAAAUACACCAGUACUCUCACACACACUCUCCAAUUGCUCACACUCUCACAACUCUCAAAACCUUAGAAACUUAUACGCUUAACAAUUUAGGGAUGAUUUACAAAUGAAGAAUGCAUCUAUAUUUAUAGCAAAAAACGUUGCACUAUUGCACCAUCCGCUUUGCAAUUUGUCAAUUCUCCUAUCUGUCAAUUUGACAAAUUUUACUAACCUUUUUCAUUUUUCUUCAUUUGGUGCAGGAUUGUCAAAAGUCAUAUAUUCUACAGCUUGCAAUUUUGGUGCCGACUUUGAAAAACAAAAGCAAUGCAUGUGGCUCACUUUUAUUUUUCAACCAAUUUGAAAAAAACUCUUUGACUUUUCAACAAUUCUCCACCUCGGCGAAGAUUUGUUCAAAUCUGAGCCGACUACCAACCAAUCAUCAUCCCCAAAGUGGCUGCAUCUCUGUGACUGCCUACGUACCCAAAAUUUGGGAUCAAGCCAACCGUAGUUUAAAAUUUCCGAAGGACAUAUCUUAACACAAUCGAAGGAUUUGAAUUAGUUUCAAGCAAUGUUGAAACUUAACUCCAGAAACUACCUUCGUCAACAUAUCUGAUGGAUUAUCUUUGGUAUCGAUCUUUCUCAACAACACAACACCGCUCUCGAUAAUCUCUCUCACAUAAUGAUAUUUCACAUCUAUGUGUUUCGUCCGAGCGUGAUAUGUUUGAUUCUUCGCAAGGAAUAUCGCACUUUGAUUAUCACAGAAGACCGCAAUGUUCUCUUGGAUUACUCCUAAAUCACCUAACAAGCCUUUCAACCAGAGAGCUUCUUUUACAGCUUCAGUUACUGCCAUAUACUCUGCUUCCAUAGUGGACAAAGCAAUUAUCGAUUGUAGAAUCGACCUCCAGCUAACCGGACCUCCACCCAAUGUGAAUACGUAGCCCGUUGUUGAUCUUCGCUUGUCAAGGUCUCCAGCGAAAUCAGAAUCACAAUACCCAACACAUUGUUGACCACAAUCAUUCUUGAACAAUAACCCAACAUCAACUGUCCCAUACAGAUAUCGGAGAAUCCACUUUACUGCAAGCCAUUGAUUUAUACCCGGAUUGUGCAUGUAUCUACUAACCAUGCUCACUGCUUGAGAUAUAUCAGGCCUUGUACAUACCAUAGCAUAUAUAAGACUACCCACAGCACUAGCAUAUGGAACACGAGCCAUAUAAUCGCGCUCCUCUUGAGAUCUAGGACAUAAAGAAGAGCUUAAUUUGAAAUGAGGAGCUAAAGAUGUACAUACUGGUUUAGUUUUGUCAUCCAUGCCUAAUCUUUUUAGCACUUUCUUCAAAUAAGACUUUUGAGUCAACCAUACGCUCCCAUUCUUCUUGUCUCUACGAAUCUCCAUCCCAAGUAUUCUCUGUGCAUCACCCAAGUCUUUCAUCUUGAACUCAGAAGCUAGCUGCUUCUUUAAUCUUUCGAUCUCAUCUCUAUUCUUCGAAGAUAUAAGCAUAUCGUUGACAUAGAGUAACAAAUAGAUAAAAGCUUUAUCUAGUAGUCUUCUAAAGUAAACACAAUGAUCGUGUUCGCUUCUAGUGAAUUUCUGCCCUUGUAUAAAUUGAUCAAAUCUUUUGUACCACUGCCUUGGCGAUUGCUUCAGUCCGUACAAAGAUUUAAUCAACCUACACACAUGAUUCUCCUUUCCAGCAACUUUGAAACCACAAGGCUGAAUCAUAUAGAUUUCCUCCACUAAAUCUCCAUGUAAGAACGUCGUCUUAACAUCCAAUUGAGCCAACUCUAACUCAUAUUCUGCAAGUAAGGUAAGUAGGAUACGAAUGGAAGUAUAUUUUACAACUGGAGAGAAAACUUCAUUAUAUUCAAUACCUUCCUUUUGAGCAAAACCUUUCGCCACGAGCCUUGCCUUGUAUCGAGGAAUUGAUUGCUUCAGAGAUCCUUUCUUCUUGGUGUAGACCCAUUUAUUCCCAAUAGCCUUUUUUCCUUUUGGUAACUUUACAAGUUCCUAUGUCUGGUAACUUUACAAGUUCCCAUGUCUGGUUUUGAUGGAGAGAUUUCAUCUCUUUUUCCAUGGCUAACUUCCAUUGAUCACUUUCACUGCCGCGUAAUGCUUCACUGAAAGUGUUGGGGAUGUCAUCAUCAAUAACUAGAAGUGCAUAGGCUACCACCAUGUAUUUAGUAAGCCAUCCGGGUUUCUUUAUCUCCCUUCUUGGCCUCCUUAUUGCUAUAAAAUCAUCAUUAUCUACAUCAUAAAUUGUUUCUUCAUUUUGUGGGACAUCAGAAGAAACAACCUCUUCUUCAACUGUAGGUGUCACCUCCAUAGUUGAACCCUUCUUUGAUGUAGAAUUAACUGGUACAUAUGAAGUUGCAUCAAACUUCACCCGCUGCAAUACCUCUUUGGUCUUGUUCUCCACCUACUGAGAACUUGAAGCUUUCAUCAUUAAAGCUUCAUCAAAUGUGACAUCUCUGCUACACACAAACUUUUUGUCUUCGAGAUUCCAAAGCUUGAAGCCCUUUACUCCAUCUUUGAAUCCCACAAAGAUAGCUUUUCUAGCACGAGGAUCCAGUUUACCAUCUUUGACAUGAUAAUAAGCUGGACACCUGAAUAUACGAAGGAAAUCAUAGUCUUGUGCAUGCUUUCCAGACCACAUUUCCAUAGGAGUUUUACCUCUAAUUACAGUAGAAGGAACUCGGUUUAUCAAGUGACUUGCAUAGCUCACAGCUUCAGCCCAAAACUUUUUAUCUAAACCAGCAUUAGAUAAUAUACACCGUACUUUCUCCAGUAAAGUACGAUUCAUGCGCUCAGCCACACCGUUCUGUUGCGGAGUAUGUCUCACCAUGAAAUAUCUUUUAAUACCCUCGUUCUGGCAUACUUGCAAGAAUGGAUCAGAAGUAUAUUCACCCCCAUUAUCAUAUCGUAAUACUUUGAUCUUUCUGCCAGUUUAAGUCUCUACCAAUUUCUUCCAUUUCACGAAAAUCUCUAGAACAUCAUCCUUUGCUCGCAUGGUGUACACCCACACACGUCUAGAGAAAUCAUCAACAAAUGUAACAAAAUAAUGGCUUCCACCAAUUGAUGCAGUCUUGGUUGGUCCCCAUACAUCACUAUGAACAUAUGCAAGGAUCUCACGAGUAUCGUGAUUAGCCGUACCAAACUUGACCCUUGUUUUCUUGCCUACUACACAAUGCUCACAGAAAUUUAAUUUACAGGUUUUGGGACCUUUUAAGAGUCCGUGCCUCAUCAGAGUUUGCAAGGACUUCUCUCCAGCAGUCACAGUCGUACAUGCCAUAGCUUGGUGGUGUCACUGUGCGCCUCAACAACAUUUGCUUCAUCAAUUGUACCUCCCUUCAAAUAGUACAGAUUAUGACGCCGAACCCCUUGUAGAAUCACCAUAGCCCCAUGUGUAAACUUCAUUAUACCAUCUUUAAUGGUAACCUUGUAGCCUUUACCUUCCAAAGUACCCACAGAAAUUAGAUUUUUCUUGAAAACUGGAAUAAAUCUAACCUUUUUGAGUUCUCUGACCGUUCCAUCAAACAUUUUGAGCUGAAUUAUUCCUAUCCCCAUUGUGCGACAAGGUUGAUCAUUCCCCAUCACAACUGCACCAGAUUCCAGAUUACGAAAACCCGUAAAUCAUUCCUUAAUAAGACACAAAUGAUAGGUUGCUCCAGUAUCAAGUAUCCACUCGCUCGAAUUAGCUACAUAUACUACAGGAGUAAUACUUAGUGAAUAAUCAGAGUCUUCAUCUUUCCAUGCCAUGUUUGCUGGUGCUGGUUUCUUCCCAUCUCUCUUUUGAACCUUUGGCCAAUCUUUCCUCCAAUGGCCAUUUUCAUGACAAAAUGCACACUCAUCUCGAGCUAUAUUUCUGCUUCUCAAUUUGGAUCGAGAAUUUUUUCCACCAAGCUUUUUCUUUUUCUCCAUCACCCAAUCUUUACUCACCAAAGCUUCAAACGAUACUCGUUCAGAAUUUUUAUCAUUAUUCUGCAUCUCCAAGUUAGUCAAUGUUGUGCAAACAUCUUUGAAGACGAUCACACUCUUCCCGUAUAUCAAGGUAGUCACAAAAUGACUAUAUUCCUCUGGUAGUGAGUGUAACAAAAUUAUAGCUUUGACUUCAUCCUUAAUAUCUUCAUCGAGAUUCUUCAAAUCAGCAGGUAACUUUUCAAAUCUUGAGAUAUGAUCGUGCAUUGACACCCCAUGCUUCAUUCGAAAGCCAUAUACUUGGCUCAUUGUAUAAAGACGAUUUUCAGGACUUUUCAGCAGGUACUUCUCCUCCAAUGUACGCCACAAAGUCACCGCACACUCCUCAUCUUUCACCAAGUAUUUCACCUCCUUGGUCAAACAAGAUCUGAUCUGACCACAAGCUUUCUCGUUCAUACGAUCCCAAAUUUCUUCAUCAUACAAGUGUCUUUUAUUUUUCAGAACAACAUCGAGAUCGAUUUGAAUAAGGACAUCCAUAACUUCGCGCCUCCACAUGCCGAAGUUGAUUUUCCCAUCAAAUUUUUCAACAUCGAUCUUCUGGCCUCCUAUAACAGGUGCUGAGUAGGGAUUUGACAAAUCUCGCCUCCCACUUGAACUGUCUCCUGAAAUAGUCUCGGUAGAUCUCUCCUUACUUCUGGAAGUUUCACCUUCUACCAUUUUCUCAACGAACUAUUUCCACUUGAAAAACAGCCUCUGUGAUGUUAAUUUCGCAUGAAUAAAUGCACCAGGAAAGUUCCCAGGAAACUGGAUGGGAACUCGGUCCCAAUUAAAAACCAAAAUCCUUAGACGCUUAUUGCCUUGUUGACAGAACUUUCCUAGACAUGCAAAAAGACACACUACUUACAAUAGACUGUCUCCUAAAUACAAAUGGCCGUCUCAACCGUAUUCGUGAACAGUACCGUAUGUGAACAAUACCGUAUACAAGAAUAGUACCAUAUGUGUGAAUAGUAUUGUAUAUGUGAACACUUCCGUAUAUUAGAAUAGUAUCGUUUACGUGAACAGUACCGUAUCCCCCCAAGUACGAACCUUCGGCUCUGAUACAACUUGUUGUGCGCGGAAUGCGGAAACAAGCGCACCAAAUAAUCACAAAAAAAUAAAGGACACAAGAAUUACGUAGUUCGGCAAUAUGCCUACGUCCACGGGAGCAAGAGAAAAAUAAUUGUAUUAUUAAUAAUUAUUUAAGUACAAAUUUGAGUAAAGAAAUCUCAUUUUCCCAGAACCCAAAUACACCCAGUACUCUCACACACACUCUCCAAUUACCCACACUCUCAUAACUCUCAAAAGUUUAGAACUUAUAAGCUUAACAAUUUAGGGAUGAUUUACAAAUGAAGAAUGCAUAUCUAUUUAUAGCAAAAAACAUUGCACUAUUGCACCAUCCGCUUUGCAAUUUGUCCAUUCUCCUAUCUAUCAAUUUGACAAAUUUUGCUAACUUUUUUCAUUUUUCUUCAUUUGGUGCAGGAUUGUCAAAAGUCAUAUAUUCUACAGCUUGUAAUUUUGGUGCCGACUUUGAAAAACAAAAGCAAUGCAUGUGGCUCACUUUUCUUUUUCAACCAAUUUGAAAAAACUCUUUGACUUUAAUUUCAACAAAUAGAGAUGGAGAAAAAGAAAUAUCUUCACACGGUGGAAGUACAAAGGGUAGAUAUGGAACCAAACAGAGACAACAACAGGCCACAACUAGAUUGGGAAUGGAGAGAAACAAAUUAACAAAGACUGGAGAUUACAACAGAACAGAUGCCAAGAGAAAAGGGUUUCUUCAUCCAGUGAAAUUCAAGUGAGUUGACAGCAAAAGGGAGCAUAUGUGUUUCUUGAUUGAGAACGAGUGCAAAGGAUGACUUUUUAAUGAGGUUCUGAAGCUGACGGAUAACGAUUUGCUAAAAUUUUGAGAAAGUUAUAUAUUUCGUAACUUCAACAAGUGAAGAAUAAAAGAAUAAUAGUUCGUCAUCUUCACAAUGAAGAUCAUGGCCGAGAUUAAAAGCUAAAACUAGUCCAUUUGAAAAGCCAAAGUUCAAGUUCCUUGGCUAAGUUCAGAAGUGAAGCAAAGAAUAAAUAAAUAAAGAUCAAGGGAUGGGAAUAAAGUCACCCCCAGACAGUUGCAGAAAGAUUAUUAUUUGGUAAGUGUAGUUGAUUAUUAGUACAAAACAGAGUAGGUGAAACACAUCCUUUCUAUUUAGACUGAUCAGCAUCUAAAAUUUUAUGAAUUAUGAGUUGCAUUUUACUUUGUACAUUAUGUUAACACAUUUUAAUUUAGCCAAUUUUGCAAUAAAUGUUAUUGAUGUAUUAAAUAGAAAAUGAAUUGAAUUCCACUCAUCGUCAUCUUGGCAAAUCAAGUCAAAAAAUAAAAAUCCAUAUGCUUUUGUUAAAGUUAAAAGCUACAUAAAUAAUAUCACAGAAGCUUCUGCUAAGGUUCAUGUGAAGUCACAGCUUUGAUACUUGUAAUACAAGGAGCACGGAGAAACCAUAAACUUCAGUUUAGGUAUAUACAUUGCUUGUCUUUCAAACUUGAAUUGAUAAGGGGGAAAAAAUAAUACUAAAGCAAACAGAAGGAUCAUUUAGUUGACAAAAUUAUUAGCUGAUAUGCAUUAACAACUCCUAUCCUAUACUAUCAGCCAGUAGGUUGUUGCUGCUUCCCGAUUUUUAAUGAUGCGAACAUCUCAUACUUAGAAAUAAGGGCGGAGCCUGGAGAUUGAUUUAUAAGAUAAGAAGCAACAUUGUGUACAAUAUCAGAUUUCCAAUGUGAGAAAAAUAAAAUUGCGUUAUAAAAUUAAUCCCACUAAGAAAGUGGUCUACGAAAUUGCCACAUUAAAAGAAAUUUUUUCCAUAAAUUAAAAUAAAAUUAAAUGAAAACUAUUUUUCAGUAAAGUCAAUUGCCCACGCUAGGCUAAGGCGUUUGUUUUUUUGUUUUUUUUUUUUUAAAUCUGAAUAGGUAUAAAUUUUUCGUAAGCAUGAAUGGGCUGAGUACAAAUAUAUGAAUGACAUAUUUAUUUUUAUUUUUCUUAAUACCCGAAUAUAAGUGACAUCUUAUUUAUCUUAAAUAUGGUUAUUUGAUAUUUAUAUUUUUACAAAUCAAAAUAAAAAAAAAAAAGUAGUUAGAUUUUAUAGUUUAAGAAAUAAAUAUAUUUUAUAAAAAAAAAUUUAGAAUAUAUAUUUACUUCUUAUUCAGACUUUUUUCUAUUCAAUAAAAUUCACAAAAGUUACUUUUUCUAUUCAAAUGUAAAUGCUUAAAAAUCAUAUAUAAGUUACAAAAAAAAAUUUGGAAAAAGUCAUAAAUUAAUAAAAUUUCAGAUUUUAUAUAUUUAACUCCCAAUGCAGAUCCGUCCCUAUUAGUGUUAGGAAAUUGACUGGUGAAUGUUGAGUGUUAGAAAAUAGGAGAAAAUCGUCAUUUUACACUUCAAGUUUUACUAACAUCCUUACUUUUACGUAUUUAACCUUCUUGUGAUUUAAUUACGUGUUUUUUUAUUUUAAUUAAGUAUUUUAUGUAUUUUAGUGGCAUUAUAGUCAUUUCACAAUGAACGAGAGAUCAGACGGCAAAACGGACAUCACUUUUGAACUCAGGACGGUCGAAAACCUUAGGAGGAGCAUAAAAGGAAAAAUGACACUGUUCAUAUGUACGGUACUAUUUACAUGUACAGUACUGUCUACGUUACUGUUCACGACACUGUUCACAUAGACGGAUCGAUGAUGUGGCAUUGACCGAUGAUAUGGCAUUGACUGAUGAGGUGUCACGAUCUUGUUGGACUAAAAUUCUUAUGCACUGUUGAUUGGUGACGUGGCAGCAUGUUAGUGGACCAAAAAUUGCGCGUACGGUACAUGCAUAUACACAGGAUUAUUUUCAACCAAACCGCGUUACUGUUCAAGCCGGGUCAAACCGUGUUACUGUUCAAACCGCGUGGUCAAACCGCGUACUGUUGACUGAUGACGUGGCGCAAUCCUAAACGUCCAAACUGUUUUUAAUCCGAUGGCCAUGAUUUACUCAAUGUAUCUAUAAACAAGAUCCUUGUUUAUGGCUCUGAUACCAUAAAUCUUGUUGGUACGUGGCGUUGUUUUACCAUAAACAAGGAUCUUGUUGGUACGUGGCGUUGUUUUACCAGAUCAAUGCAAAAGUUAAUCUGCCUUAGGGACCAGAUCUGACUUAGAACAGAUCAAUAUCCCGCAUGUUCGGGUUUUCAGCCGAUAUACCACAAAGGCUCAACGAUAGUACUAGAUCUGGAUCCCAGAAAUAGUACUCUGAUUGAAUGGAGGGAGAAGAGAAAUACAACUAAGGUCAGAGAUCCGGUCUCUAUGCCUUAGAGGAUAUGUAACAGUUUAUAAAGAAAUUUAAAUAGACGUAAAAUAAAUUACAAAAUUUAAAACAUACAUGCUUUAUAAAAUUAAAAUAUUAAACUUACAUAUUAUUCUUGCUUGAAUCCAAGAAACCUUUACGUUACAAUAUAGUUUUACAGAAUAGGAAAGAUGAGAAAGUUCGGAGACAGGAAAAUUUCCUCCAAGUCUCUGAUUUCUUUCCAGAGGAGAAUACAAGAAGAAGUAAAAAAGAGAAGUGUCCUCCCCUUCUGCUCGAGGCCUCGAUUUAUAGAAUCAGAAGUGCCUUGGUAGCUGCAUCAGACCACUACUUGGAGAAACGUGCUUGUGGAGACAGCAUCGUCUGCUUUAUCACGUGGAGACAGCAUCUUCUGCUUUAUCACGCGGAGACAACAUCUUUUGCUUUAUCACGUGGAGACAGACAUCUUUUGCUUUAUCACGUGGAGACAGCAUCUUCUGCUUUUUGAAAAGCGUUGACGUGGACCAAAAAGUGAAAAUGAAAAUACAAGGAAAAAUACAUAAAUACAAAUUAUUUACAUAAUACUAAAUGAACAAUACAUAUGAUAAUUACUUUUUUUUUUAAAUGGUAACUUUAAAAGUGCUUUAUGGGAGAAAGAAUCCCGAAACAAUCAUCUUUAUUGUCGUCUCCCAGGGAAAUGAAUGGUUCAGCUUCUUCAUCGGUAGAACCUGCUGCAGAUGGUUCAGAUCUUGAGGCAAGGAGGUGUUCUAUAACUUGAAAAUAUUCGUUUUCAGUCUUUGCACUGGCCAAAAGAGAUUGGGCUUUUGACCGUUGGGCUAAGAAAGUACUCUGGGUUUUAACAUCUUGAAUGCUUGGCGCGAGAAGGCCUUUUGAGGAGAGCCAUUUCUGAACUGUGGCUACAGACAGCUUUGACUGUUCAUCAAACUUUGACCACCAUUUGACUUUAAAGGUUCUUUGUAGAAUGAAUUGGGCUUCCUGUUUGUGGUAUUGGAAAUUCCACAUCCAGACCCAAGGAAGGAAAAAGUUUGUACAGAAACAAAGAAAAGGAGGAAACCUUUUCUCGGACUCUGAAGGAACAUAAUGGGCUUUAAAAAUGUUUAAACAGUGAAUGGCAUUUGGAGUUAAAAUAUCGGGGCAUGGCCCAAAAUAAUUCCACCACUGUUGGAACCAGUUUGGAAGACUCUGAACGGUUAUUUUUGAAUUAAAGAAAAAUAACCAAGAAUGGGUCUUUUUUGGGUUUUGAAUAAAGAAUGUGUUAAAUCAGGCCUGUUGAUAGUCCCAGUAAGAGAAAAAUAAACAGUGGUUUAAACUCCGUUGGAAAUUGGCAGGAAAGGUUUUUAGUUUGUGAAGUUCAUCACCCCACUGUUUUGGACUCAAGACUUGUAAUAUGGUGGCUGUGGAAUAGGCGGGUCUUUAUGGGAUUCACUGAGGAAGAAAUGUUUGAAUUUUACAGACUCAGUGUAUUCCAGAAUGCUUUGGUAGAAAGACUGGGGUUUUGUCAAAUCCCAAGGUUUGAAAAACCAGCCUUUCGGAAAAAUCUUUGAAAUGGCUUGAAAUGGAUCAGAGUGAUAAAAUCCAUCUUCUAUAGAUAAAACAUUUUGAUGAUGGGUUUUAUUAAACCAAUCCGAAGAUUUUUUAGGAAGAUUUUGUUGUGAAACAAUAAUUUGAGAACUGGAACUUUCUCCAGAAAGAACUAUAUUUGAAGAGGAUUUUGAAAUAUCUUUAGAAAUAGUCUUUGAAACAGUUUUUUCUUCUUCAGGAUUUUUAGAAAAAGCUUUAUUUUGAGAAAUGCUUUGAAGAGCUAAUAAGAGUUCAGGAGAAUUGGAAAUGGAGUUCAUCCAUUCUUUUACCUGUACUUCCGAGGCGAUAGCUUUAGAAUGAGCUUCAUGCUCCUCAACCAUAUCAAUCCAAGAUUUAAUAGGCAUGGCUGAGGAUAAAAUUUUGUCUUUAGGAGGAGUUGAUAAAGAUUCUUUAGAAGCGGGUUGAGGUGGAGGGUCUUUGAGGACACCUUUUCCUUUGUCUUUUUUGGGCGGCAUUAUCUGUUUUGAAGAAAUUCCCUAGUUAGAAAGUCAGGGAUAGAAUUUGUAUCUCCUUUAAUAAAGUCAAUAUCAAAGUCAAAAACACUUAAAAUAGUUUGCCAUCGUGCAAAAAUUUGUUUUGAUGCAAUGUUUUGAACACCUUUUUCUAAAACAUGUUUUGCAGCUUUGCAAUCUAUCCUAAGUAAAAAAUUUUGAUUUAAUAAAUCACUUUGAAAUUUGGAUAUGCAUAAAACAAUGGAUAAAAUUUCUUUUUUAAUAGUAGAAUAAUUUUUCUGACAUUCAUUCCAAUGAGCAGAAACAUAUUGAACUAUUUGUUCUUUAGUACCAUUCUUUUGUUUUAAUAUUCCUCCAUAACCUAAAUCUGAAGCAUUGGUUUCAACAAUUUUAGGUAAUACAGGAUUUGCAAGAAACAAACAAGGGAUUUCUUUGACUGUAAGUUUUAUUAAUUUAACAACUUUAGUGUGUUCAUCAGUCCAAACAACAGGGUGUUUCUUUAAUCUAUCAUGCAACGGUUUUGAAAUCCUAUUAAUGUUAGGACAGAAAUCAAGAACAUAAUUCAAACUACCUAAAAAUCUAUGUAGUUGAGUUUUAUCAAGAAUUUUAUCAGGGAAUUUGUCGGCAAAUGCAAGAGAUCUUUCUAUAGGUGUUAUAGUACCUUUAGAAAUAUAAUGACCAAGAAAUCUAAUUUUGGUCUGAAAUAAAGAAACUUUAGAAUUAGAAAUAGCUAAGCCAGCUUUUCUAGUCGCAAACUAGAAAGUCUUUAAAUGUUUGAAAUGUUGAUCAAUAGACUGAGAAAAGAUUAAUACAUCAUCAAUAUAAACAAUGCAAAAUUCUGAAAAAGGAUUAUAAAUAUCAUUCAUUAUCCUUUGAAAUUCGGAAGGUGCAUUUUUUAAUCCGAAUGGCAUUACUGUCCAUUCAUACUGUCCAAAAGGAACAGUAAAAGCAGUUUUGUAUCUAUCUUUAGGAUGGAUUUGAAUUUGCCAAAAUCCUGAUUUCAUAUCAAAUUUUGAGAAAAUGAAAGCAGAGUGCAGUUUUUGGAGUAAAUCUUUUUUAUUAGGUAUGGGAUCCCUAAUCCAUUUUAAUGCUUUAUUAAGAGGUUUGUAAUUAAUAACUAAUCUAGGUGUUCCUCUUUCUAUUUCAGAAUUCUUAUUGACAUAGAAAGCGGCACAAGACCAAGGAGACCUAGAUUUGACAAUGAGUCCUUUAGACUCUAAAUCUUUGAUUUCGUUUUUACAGUGUUGUUCUAAGUCCAUGUUCAUUUGGAUUGGACGAGCUUUAGUGGGAAUUUGUCUUUCAUCAAAGGAAUUUUCAUAAGGCAAAUCAACCAAAUGUUGUUUUCUAUUCCAAAAGGCAGAAGGCAAAUCAGCACAUAUUUCUUUUUCAACUAGGGUUUUAUAUUCAGAAAUUUUUCUCUUUGAAAAAUCAUUUUGCAAUUGGCUUUCAAUUUUUUGUAAAUUCAAGUCUUUUGUAAACAAACCAAGUCAUUUUGUCUAGACUUGAGUAAAAUAUUGAUUUGGUUCUGAUAAACAGAACAUGCUUUUACAAUAUUCAAAUUUCUUGUUUUAGGUUUUUCAAUAAAAGGAAAAAAUAAUUUUUUGUUUUUUGCGUUAAAAGAUAUACUAUCAUAAUUGACAGUAUAAGGAGUAAUAAGGUUAAUGAAAGGAGUUCCUAAAAUAACAGUGUGAUGUAUGUCAUUUGUUAGGACGAAGGAAGUCCUAAAUUCAAAACCAUUAUUAUAAAUUGAGGCAUCAACUUUAGAUUUGACUUUUAACUUCGAGUUAUUGGCGACAGAAAGUCUUUCAUUGGUUUUCUCAUGAAAUCCUUUAGGGACAAUAUCUUCUCUAAUGCAAUUUAAAUCGGCACCUGUAUCAAAAAGGGCAAUUGUGUCAAUCUCAAAAUCUUUAGAAAGAAUUAAGGUGAUUUUAAUCAAAUAUUUUCUAGUGGUGAUCUGUUUUAAAACAAAAAGGAAAUCCUUGGGUAAAGAUUCAAUGUUUUCAAGGUUUUGUCCUUCAUUAUCACCAUCGGAUUCUGAUUCUUUAUUAUAAUUAUCUUGUAAUUGUUUUUGUAACAGAAGUUGGAUGGUUUCAGAAUCACUUUUCUGUUUUUCUUUCAAGUUUUUUAUCUCAAGUUUGAUUUCUUUUAUCUCUUUUUGGAGAUCUUGGAUAUUUGGUAUUGUUUUCUUUAUUUUCUUAUUGUCAAGGAUUUUUGUAAGAUCAUAAGUAUUCUUUUUAAUAGUAGGGGCUUUAGAGGUUUCUGCUUUAUCUCCUAAAUCUAAAGUUUUUAGGAGUUUAUCAAGGUACUCUUUUUGAAGAGUAUGGUCAGAAAUGUGUUUAACUAACUCAAGAAAAGUUUCUUGAUCUUUAGUUAACACAUUAACUUUCUUAAAAUAGGAAUCUGUUUCAGCAUCACUAUUACUAGUUACAGAUGUAUCUGAGUCAAGUAAUUCAUCAAUCUAUAAGGGCUCACUAUCUCCCGUCAUGGAAGAUUUAGAAUCAGAAGAUUCUACAAGUAAAGGGGCAACUUUAGAAAGUGUCUCUUCAUCAAGACCAAGUUCGUGAAGUUUUGUAUUUACUCUACAAAAUUUCUUGGUGUGGCAUUUUCUUCCACAUUUAAAACAUGUGGCUUCUUUGUAAUUGAAAGGAGGUUUUGUUGUGGCCUUAGGAUCCUUUCGUUUAGAGAAGCGAGGCUUCCUAUAAAAUUUCGAAGGUUUUUUAUAGGAAGAUUCCCUAAAAUCCGGAAAAGCUUUUUUACGAUUCUUAGAAUUGUAAUGUUUUUUGUAAGGUUUUGUAGAACAUUUACCAUUACAAUCCCUGGAAGUAGAGGCUUUAAAAGGAUCAUAGUUAAACUGUUUACAGAAACUGCCUAAUUCUUGCUUAGAUUGUCUAAGCUCCCAUUUUAGACGCUUCUGUAAUUUCAUAUCUUGGCAAAUCUUUAAUCCUUCUUUAUUGACAAAACUGACCAAUUCACCAUAGGUGAGUUCAUCAUAUGGAAUACGGUUGUCAUAAAGAGCUUUAAUGGAAUUCCUAACUUUUUCUCCUAAGAGAGUGGGUAAACCAGCAAGGAAUUUUUCUUUCCAAGUAACAUGGUUUGCAUCAUCUCGGAGAAAAAGUCUAGUGAAGAAAGUGGUUUUAUAACUUUGGAAUUCACUAAGUUUCCUACAUCUUAAGUUGUGUAGUAACUCAGCAUUUUUAUCUCUAAGGUGUGAAGGAUCACCUAUGAAGUGUAGAGAAAUAGUAAGGAUCAGGGUAGCUACAGCAUCUUGAAUAGGGCUAUUGAAUUCAUCACAGAUAGGUGCUCCAUUUUCAUCUGUUUAAAUAGCAUUAAGAAUAUCUAAUUGUUGUUGUUUGGUGAGAAGAUGAUCCCACCAGCCUUUAAGUUGACCAGUAAAACCAGCAAUGAGGAUCUCUGCAAUAGCUUUGUCAGAGGUUCCUGACUGGGUUUUAUAAGCAUUAGCUGCCAUGGUCAUCUGUUGCAACAAUCCUAAAAUAUUAUAUUCGGACAUACUAUCAAUGUUCCACUCAUAGACAGAGGAGGCAUUAAAUCGUGAUUGGUUUAAUGCGCUUGGUCUGUUGUCUAUGGCUAAGUCAGGAGGAGAAUUGAUAGUAGGAAGGGCUAAUUCCCAAUGAAUUUUAUUGGCGUUAUGAAUAGGUUCAUUUGUAAAGGCUUCUAUAUCUAAAGAGGCUAUAGACACUUGGUCUUGUUCAAGUACACCAAUUUUGCUAGAUUGGGCACUAUCAGGAGCUAUUUGUAUCUUACUAGAUGCAGAAGAAGAAGCUUCGAUCCUAUCUAGUUGUUCUCUAAUGGCUUUAGCAAAAUCUGAUUUUGACUCAUGGGCAAGCUUUUGACUAGUUUUCGAAACUUGGAAGGGUUUGAAAAUAGGCUCUUUAAGCCUUUUGUCAAUAUCCGAUUUUGAUGAACUAAUAGGGGAAACAACUAUUGUUGACUUUUGGAAUUGGUUUUCUAUUCUAGUCAACUGCUUUCCUAUUGUAUUUAGGUUAGUAUUACAGAAAUUAUUCUGUUGGAUAAUGUUACCUAAAUUAGUCUCUGGAUCAUUAGUUUUAUGGAUUUUAUAAGGUGAGGCUUUAAUUUGGACAGGAGGUUCACCAUGGUCAAUGGUCAGACUCCUAAGAGGUGGAUGCUCAGAUUCUAUAGUUCUGUCACUGUCAGAAAGAUUCCACUCAGUGAUCUUUUUUCUAACUGUGAUCGGGUUAGAUUCUUUAAAAGGAUAUGUAAUGUUAUUAUCAGAAGCAUACAUAGUCAACAGAAUGUAUAGAAGAGCUAGGUAUAUCCGAUGUGGAAAACCUAGGUUGACUUUUUACAGGUUGGAAAGGAAGAUUUAUAACAGAGGGAAGUUUUGAGAAUUUUCUCUCUAAAGAGGCGAUACUAGAACUUGAAUCUUUAUCAGAAAACCUAGAUGAUGUGGACCUUCUAAAAUAUAGUUUGACUUUACCAUCAGAAUAUUGAGUCACAUUUUGUAACACUGUAUUUGGUUCAAGUUGUUUUGGAAUCACUGGUUCAGUGGCUCCUUCAAGAAUCCAUUCUUCUGGAAGAUUGACAUCUUUCCAUUGGAUUGGUUUGGGAACAACAGUGUUGGCUUUAGACAGGUCAGUCUGCAAGAGAAGAGUCUCAUCUCUUUUUGACUGAAAUUUAUGUUGUGUAUUAAACGCAGAAUUCAUGGCUUUGUAUGAAAUUUUGAUAAUUAAGGCAACUGGGACAGAUCCCUCAAUCAUGUGAUAAUUAUGGGUUUUGAUUUGUAAAAUCAUGCUUUUCAAAAUGUUUUUGUCUUUUAAAGAAAUUGUUAUGUUCGGGUAACAGCUAAAUGAGAUGGGACCUUUACAAAGACUUGAUUCUAUACUACUUAAUAAAGAAUCAUCAAAAGAGAUGAAUCGCCCAUCUCUUAGGAUAGCAAGAAUAGAGGUAUUAAGACCUUCUUUAGUUAAGGGUUUUAUGCCAACUUGUAUUAAGCCGAUGUGAACAUAAUUAAAGUUCUUUUCUUUUAGUUUCUUUAAAGAGUGUUAUGAAAACAGGUGAAUUGUUUCAAAUGGCUUUGAAAGGGUUAUGUCACGUUCUUCAGUUUUUAUAACAAAAUCAGUCUUUAAAAAAUCAAGCUUUUUUAUUUUGUAAAUCAUGUCUUUAGAAAUCUUUGGUAAUUCCCAAUUAUCAAUUGCUUUAUUAAAGUCUUCAAUAAAAAAUUCUUCUGAAUUUACAACAUUCUUAGAAUCACUAGUCCUUCCAGAAGAAGAGCUAGAGAAAGAUGAUGCUCUACAGAGUAGAGAAUCCAUAUAAGCUGGAACCUAUAAAUGAUCUAGUUUUACAGGAAUGGAAAAUCAAUCCUAGGCUAAGAGUUGGUUUUACUGCCCUUCAACCAAAUCGGGACUUACGACCAAAUACUACCAAGGCACCCAAAGGUAACACCCUUUACCACUCAAGCAAAAGUUUAAUCACAUACAACUUCAGCCUACACAAAAACUCUAAACGAUAAAACACGACCCCCCUGGCUCUGAUACCAUAAAUCUUGUUUAUGGUAUAUAUAUAUAUAUAUAUAUAUAUAUCUUUUUAAUAUAUUCCAUUACUUUAAUAAUCAAUUUAAAAUAGUUUGUGAUAUUUUCAGCUAUUUACUUAUCUACUUUUAGCUAGUUAUUUACACCGAAUGAAGUGCUAGGGUCCAAAUUUUAGUAUCCUUCUCAGCUGUUUGGGGUUAGUAAAUACUAAUUAGCAUAUUCGUCCCGAACAGCUGUGUAAAUGCUGUUAGAUUUCGGAGAGAUGCUGAGGAUGGUACAAGAUUUAUCAAAUUGUGGCGACAUUUUUAUACCUUUAGAAUUUCAAGAUUUUGAAGAAAUAAAUGGGAUCUGUUUUCCAUAAGUGCUCCACUAUCCACCAGGAGGAAUUCUAAAAUACAUUACAGAUUAGUGAUUUCUCAGAAUAAAUAAACACAUAUUAUAACAUUAUUUACUUAUUGUAUGACUGAUAUGAUAUUUCUGAGAUAUUUUAGAAUUUUUAACGCACCAAAGUUCAUUUUUAGCUUUAAAGGUUUUUAUGUGUGAGCCUCUCAGCAUGUUCCCCAACCUCCUCACGUGAAAAUAUUUCUAUGUACGGUUACAAGCUUUUCCAGAUUGUGAGUAUUCCGAAGCAAUCCAACUUGAAAAACAGCUGGUUCGUAGAAAAUGACAGUUUACGAAGCUGGCCCUGCUGCCAUACAUAUGAUGAUGAAGACCAUUUGGCUUUAUGUCAAUUCCUCCAAGUUGAAAUCUUUCUCGGUCUGGGACACUUCCAACACAUAAAGUACUACUAGGCUAGAUGAUUUUAAAAAAUGUCCAGGUCCUUUAUCAAAUUUCAUUUGCAUUCAAGACCAAUCCCCUUUGAUGAAAAUCAAUAAUUAAAGGCUUUCCAAUGAGAAAUUAUUACGUCUUCAAAUCUCAAAAAACGCCAGAAUAUUAAUUCGCUACAUAUAAUCAAGAUAUCUCAUUGAGACGCAUUAAUAAAAAAUGUCAAAAUGCAUAGAAAGAGCAGACACACGGAUGAUGAAUUUACUCAUCUUUAGUAGUAUUUGAACUUGAGAGACAGAAUGAAGUACAUGUCAAGAAUAUCAUAAAGAUGGAAACCGGAAGUCCUCCGCACAUAAACUUUGAAGAAACUGGAAAACGACUUUANNNNNNNNNNNNNNNNNNNNNNNNNNNNNNNNNNNNNNNNNNNNNNNNNNNNNNNNNNNNNNNNNNNNNNNNNNNNNNNNNNNNNNNNNNNNNNNNNNNNNNNNNNNNNNNNNNNNNNNNNNNNNNNNNNNNNNNNNNNNNNNNNNNNNNNNNNNNNNNNNNNNNNNNNNNNNNNCCAUUUGGAGUCUUGUUUCCACAAUUGCUUCAGAUGAUUAAAUUUGUGCAGAUCUAAAUGUUUUAUCAUUGUAAACUUCCUCACUUGUUUCUUCAAGUAUCCUCCAUUCGAAAAUACCUCUUCGCAUGAACAACGACGCCGUAUGAGAGUUUCCAGAUUAUGAAAUCUCUCAAGUAAAUCAAGUGGAAAACAAGUUGAUUCAUCAUCCACUGUUUGUAGUAGUUUAAGACUGCCAAAGUCAUCCUCGAGUAUUUUCCACUUAAUGCCAGUUCCUUCUAAGUUGGGUAAGCUCUGAUCAUCAUCAAUCACGUAAUAACUUAUUAAGUCAAUUCAUAUUCUCUCAAAUAACUUUUAAUAAUCCAAUCAUACACAGUGACUUUAAUAUAAAUGCAUAAUAUUUUACAAACAAGAAGAAAAAAUCGAAUUAGAGGUAAAAGUUAUUCUACGAUUUUAUUUUUUAUAUAUAUCUUGCAUGCUAUUCCCAAAAGCAAUCCCAAACGGCCUUUAAAGCAAUUUUACAAAAGCGGCCUGCACAUAUAUUGCCAACUUUGUUGGGAAUGGCAAUGGGGAGAGGAGGGGAAGAGACCGAACUCCCCGUACCCAUUCAUGAUAUUCUGCAUAUAUCCUCGUCCUCUCCUCAUUUCUCACAAAAUUGCUUUAGGAAAUCCCCCUCCCCUCCCCAAAUAAUAAUAGGGGAUCCUUGAAGGCCCUCGAUCCUCGAAUAACUGAUACGUUUUUUGUUUUAAAUUUUAAUUUAAUCAUAUUAAAAUAAAAAAUAAAAAUAAAAAUAAAGUUUGACGAUAUAUCUUAUAUUAACAUUAAUCUAUUACAAAAGUCACAUUACAAAGUAUAAAUCACCAUAAUAAUUAUCUUCGGCAAUCUUCAAAAUCAUAUAAUAAAAAAAAGAAAUUACUUUUAUAUCAACAAUGAGAUAAAUGAAAUGAAUAUAGAUACUUAAUCAAUAUUUCUAAUAAAAGUAUUUACCUCUGCGUCUCCUACUCUUCUUGUUCUUCCUCGAGGAAUGUGACAAAUUGAGAGAUAGCCUCAGAUUUCAAAUUUAAAACAAUAAAAAUGAUAUAAGUAAUGUAAAUUCUAAUUAAAAUAAACUCAUACUGCCAUUGUAAGCUUGUGGUCAACUUUGACAACAUAUUAAAGCCUCCAAUGUGCUUGAAUAAAGCGUGUUACGGUACUCUACCACUGGUGCUAAAAGCUAAUUCAGAAGCAACAUUUGUAAUUAGAAUUGCCAAAAUAUCUCUAGGUGCCAAUAUAGGAUAUCUAUAGACAUUUAUUUUACAAAAACUCAAAAUAUUAAAAUCUUUCAUCCUAAGCAUAACUUUCUCAUCCAAAUAUUAAUGUAGUCAAUUAGGCCUAAAUUUUAAUAAUAUAAUUUUUUUAAUUUUUUUAUUUAUACUAAUAUUUAAUAUUUUAUUAUUUAUUUACAAAUAAUUUUAAAAAAAUUAAAAUUAAAUCAAAAAAUUAGAAGGGGAUAGGGAUUCCGCCGCAUCCCCGUUCUUUCUCUGAAUAAGAAAUUGAGUAAAAAAACUAUCUCCGUCCACUUUCCAAAUAAAAAAUUAAGUAAAAAAUUAUGUACCCUCCUGAAUUGGGAAAAUCUCGAGGGUCAUGUCCCCGCGGCAAUAUCUGCCAUUCCUAAACUUGUAACAGCCAGUUGCUUUUGUGACUGUUUAUGUGACGGCUAGACUGCUCUCACUUAUGUUACUAACCACGUGACGGUAGAGAGCCAAUUGGCAUACUAUUUUGACGGUAGAGUUAUAAAUUUGUUUCUAAAUAGAAAACUAUUUGCUGAAGUCAAUAUUUUGAAAACCAAAGUCCCAAAUUCUCUCUCGUGCGUGCCUGGUCAUCCUAAACCUUACUGGUAGCCGGAGAAUGGCGUAAAACGGCAGCGAUCUUCUUCUUCAUCUUAUUCUCUCUCUCAUCGUUUCAGGUAAGCUUGUGAUUAUGAGUUUCUUCUCUUUCUUAGCUUGUAAUUAUAGGUUUUGAUUUCUUUAAUUCGUAUUGUAGCCAUUAAUGUCAAUUUUUGUCCCACCGGCAAUUUUUUUUUGUUCCUAGAAGUUGAAGCCCUUCUGUUCUUGUGCCAUUGGUGAGUUUGCUCACUCAAAUUAAUUUUGUUCUGCGGAGUUUACAAAGUUCAAAUGGAUUCAUUUGGAUUACUAUUGAAUUUAGCUUUAAUUCCAACAUCCAUUCUAAUGUUUUGCUAUUAGAUUUACUUUAAUUUUAUGUUUAAAGCUUCUACAAUGAAUAGCGGAGCUUGGGUUUUAGUUUCAUUUUCUCAUUAACUUCUUUUAGUUUAUCUUAUAUGCUCGCCAAGUGCUUGUUAUAUUGUCUGAUAAGUUAUAUAACAUUGCUGAUUCUAUAUUAGUAAUGUCAUGUUCCAUUUUCGGAAAUUAUAACACAAAAGUUUUUACAAUGGCUUGCAUCUGCAAACUGAAUUGACUUGUAGAGUAAGAGCUUGGAUUAGUGUUAUGUUCUUGAAUAAAUGAAAGUUCAUAUUGUGUAAGAGCAUGUAGAUGUAAAGCAUCACUACCAUUUCUACAAACUGCUUUCAUUUUGUUCAGAUGCUCCUCUUGAACUUUGAAAGGUGCCUCAUUCAAGUCCUAGCUAUAACUACUAGCUCUGAUUGCUUAAGUUCCUGUGCUAGCUGAAACAGAUUUAUUUAAUUAAUUUAUUGUGUAUGUACUAAUUAUAUUGAAAGUAUAUGAAGAAAUUGUUUAACAUGAAUGACUUCUAAAUGACUUAAAAGCCUAAAGGAUAUGUGAAAUAAUGCUCAUUUCACUUGAACGAGCCUAUUAAUACUUGUAUGUCUAUGAUUGUCAAUCUUGCUUAAGUGUUUCAGUUAAGUGGUUUACCAAACAGGGAAAAAAAUUUAAUGGAAAACUUUAGAGUUCUAACAGAAAUAUAGUUGACUGCAGAUAUAGUUAUUUUAUGGUACAUAAAUCAUAUUGUCCUAUUCUCAAUGUCCUACGACCUAUUUUAUUUUAUAUGGUCAUUCAUUUUUGCGAUGGUUUUUUGUGCUUAUGAGUAUGGAAAUAGUGGGAUUUGGUGUGGCAAACAAAAAUAUACAUAUAAUCAAGUUUCUUAAUCAUUGUGCUUAUGAGUAUGGAAAUAGUGGGAUUUGGUGUGGCAAACAAAAAUAUACAUAUAAUCAAGUUUCUUAAUCAUGUAUAUUGGUUUUGGGUAUGAAUGUUUUCCUAUUCUAGUUCUAGGCAAAGUUUCUUCAUUUUGGUCUUCAGAUUUCCAGUAGGUUAAAGUUAAGCAACUAUCAUAACUAGCUAGCUAGUUAUUUGCCUUGCCUUUGUCGCCAUUACUGACGCCAUUUACAUUGCAUGGCAUAAGGAAUAGUAACUAGGUGAUUAUUGGUGAUUCCUUGAGUUUAUUAUUGGCCAAACAAACAUAUUNNNNNNNNNNNNNNNNNNNNNNNNNNNNNNNNNNNNNNNNNNNNNNNNNNNNNNNNNNNNNNNNNNNNNNNNNNNNNNNNNNNNNNNNNNNNNNNNNNNNNNNNNNNNNNNNNNNNNNNNNNNNNNNNNNNNNNNNNNNNNNNNNNNNNNNNNNNNNNNNNNNNNNNNNNNNNNNNNNNNNNNNNNNNNNNNNNNNNNNNNNNNNNNNNNNNNNNNNNNNNNNNNNNNNNNNNNNNNNNNNNNNNNNNNNNNNNNNNNNNNNNNNNNNNNNNNNNNNNNNNNNNNNNNNNNNNNNNNNNNNNNNNNNNNNNNNNNNNNNNNNNNNNNNNNNNNNNNNNNNNNNNNNNNNNNNNNNNNNNNNNNNNNNNNNNNNNNNNNNNNNNNNNNNNNNNNNNNNNNNNNNNNNNNNNNNNNNNNNNNNNNNNNNNNNNNNNNNNNNNNNNNNNNNNNNNNNNNNNNNNNNNNNNNNNNNNNNNNNNNNNNNNNNNNNNNNNNNNNNNNNNNNNNNNNNNNNNNNNNNNNNNNNNNNNNNNNNNNNNNNNNNNNNNNNNNNNNNNNNNNNNNNNNNNNNNNNNNNNNNNNNNNNNNNNNNNNNNNNNNNNNNNNNNNNNNNNNNNNNNNNNNNNNNNNNNNNNNNNNNNNNNNNNNNNNNNNNNNNNNNNNNNNNNNNNNNNNNNNNNNNNNNNNNNNNNNNNNNNNNNNNNNNNNNNNNNNNNNNNNNNNNNNNNNNNNNNNNNNNNNNNNNNNNNNNNNNNNNNNNNNNNNNNNNNNNNNNNNNNNNNNNNNNNNNNNNNNNNNNNNNNNNNNNNNNNNNNNNNNNNNNNNNNNNNNNNNNNNNNNNNNNNNNNNNNNNNNNNNNNNNNNNNNNNNNNNNNNNNNNNNNNNNNNNNNNNNNNNNNNNNNNNNNNNNNNNNNNNNNNNNNNNNNNNNNNNNNNNNNNNNNNNNNNNNNNNNNNNNNNNNNNNNNNNNNNNNNNNNNNNNNNNNNNNNNNNNNNNNNNNNNNNNNNNNNNNNNNNNNNNNNNNNNNNNNNNNNNNNNNNNNNNNNNNNNNNNNNNNNNNNNNNNNNNNNNNNNNNNNNNNNNNNNNNNNNNNNNNNNNNNNNNNNNNNNNNNNNNNNNNNNNNNNNNNNNNNNNNNNNNNNNNNNNNNNNNNNNNNNNNNNNNNNNNNNNNNNNNNNNNNNNNNNNNNNNNNNNNNNNNNNNNNNNNNNNNNNNNNNNNNNNNNNNNNNNNNNNNNNNNNNNNNNNNNNNNNNNNNNNNNNNNNNNNNNNNNNNNNNNNNNNNNNNNNNNNNNNNNNNNNNNNNNNNNNNNNNNNNNNNNNNNNNNNNNNNNNNNNNNNNNNNNNNNNNNNNNNNNNNNNNNNNNNNNNNNNNNNNNNNNNNNNNNNNNNNNNNNNNNNNNNNNNNNNNNNNNNNNNNNNNNNNNNNNNNNNNNNNNNNNNNNNNNNNNNNNNNNNNNNNNNNNNNNNNNNNNNNNNNNNNNNNNNNNNNNNNNNNNNNNNNNNNNNNNNNNNNNNNNNNNNNNNNNNNNNNNNNNNNNNNNNNNNNNNNNNNNNNNNNNNNNNNNNNNNNNNNNNNNNNNNNNNNNNNNNNNNNNNNNNNNNNNNNNNNNNNNNNNNNNNNNNNNNNNNNNNNNNNNNNNNNNNNNNNNNNNNNNNNNNNNNNNNNNNNNNNNNNNNNNNNNNNNNNNNNNNNNNNNNNNNNNNNNNNNNNNNNNNNNNNNNNNNNNNNNNNNNNNNNNNNNNNNNNNNNNNNNNNNNNNNNNNNNNNNNNNNNNNNNNNNNNNNNNNNNNNNNNNNNNNNNNNNNNNNNNNNNNNNNNNNNNNNNNNNNNNNNNNNNNNNNNNNNNNNNNNNNNNNNNNNNNNNNNNNNNNNNNNNNNNNNNNNNNNNNNNNNNNNNNNNNNNNNNNNNNNNNNNNNNNNNNNNNNNNNNNNNNNNNNNNNNNNNNNNNNNNNNNNNNNNNNNNNNNNNNNNNNNNNNNNNNNNNNNNNNNNNNNNNNNNNNNNNNNNNNNNNNNNNNNNNNNNNNNNNNNNNNNNNNNNNNNNNNNNNNNNNNNNNNNNNNNNNNNNNNNNNNNNNNNNNNNNNNNNNNNNNNNNNNNNNNNNNNNNNNNNNNNNNNNNNNNNNNNNNNNNNNNNNNNNNNNNNNNNNNNNNNNNNNNNNNNNNNNNNNNNNNNNNNNNNNNNNNNNNNNNNNNNNNNNNNNNNNNNNNNNNNNNNNNNNNNNNNNNNNNNNNNNNNNNNNNNNNNNNNNNNNNNNNNNNNNNNNNNNNNNNNNNNNNNNNNNNNNNNNNNNNNNNNNNNNNNNNNNNNNNNNNNNNNNNNNNNNNNNNNNNNNNNNNNNNNNNNNNNNNNNNNNNNNNNNNNNNNNNNNNNNNNNNNNNNNNNNNNNNNNNNNNNNNNNNNNNNNNNNNNNNNNNNNNNNNNNNNNNNNNNNNNNNNNNNNNNNNNNNNNNNNNNNNNNNNNNNNNNNNNNNNNNNNNNNNNNNNNNNNNNNNNNNNNNNNNNNNNNNNNNNNNNNNNNNNNNNNNNNNNNNNNNNNNNNNNNNNNNNNNNNNNNNNNNNNNNNNNNNNNNNNNNNNNNNNNNNNNNNNNNNNNNNNNNNNNNNNNNNCCCCCCCCCCCCACCACCAAAAAAAAAAACAAAACAAAUAGGAAGACUUUGCAAGAUUCACAACCAGGUUACAUUUAAUUUAUUAAUUGUGUGUACGUACUAGUUAUUUGUUGAUAGAAUAGGAAGAAGUAUUUUAAUAUGAAUGACUUAAAACUUAUUGCUCAGUAAACAUAAUGUGCAUCAGUGCUAGAAAAUGUAUUUAUUGUUUGUAAUUUUUUAUGGUUUUGCUUAAGAAAUGAAAUGUGAAAAAAUGCUACAUUGUAUUAGGAAUAAAAUGAAGAGAUUUAUGAUUUUUAUGUGUUAUUCAAGUUUCAGAUUCAAUUUUAAACUUUUGAUACAUGCAUUGAAAGCUUAAACUCCUUUAAGAAAUUAUUAAUAGACACAUGUUUUAUUAGUGUCAUCUUCUGGAUGAUAGUGAGGAUCUUAUGUCUAUUAAUAAUUCUUGAAUUAUCUAGGCUUGGACAGUUUGGUAAUGCAUAGUUUUCUAUGUUAGCUAGUGCCUGAAAUUUUUUUCCCACGUAAAAAUGGGGUUUUCAGCAGCUGCUCCUCAUGUUCUCUGGGUGCAUACUAGACAAAUGGGUGUCAUGUGUUGUUUUGGCAUAACACAUAAACACUCAUAUAUCUAUGUCGUGUACUUGAAGAACUAUAGGGAGAUGCUUCCGAAGUUUCUAUAAACGUAGAGGAAAACUUUAGAUACUUAAGAUUGAAGAAACUUAUGCAUUCUUGAGUGGGAUAUAUAGGACCACUUACCUUUUGUAAAUAUGAAGGGAAUGUUGGAUAUAUUGAUGGGAGUGGAGGAGCUGAGUGGGAUGAAUGUAAUCGGUUAUGAUUUUGCUGAGUCGACUUGGUUUUGAGUCUUGUAAUUUUUUUUAUAAAUGGAGUACUAUCUCCAAUGUUGGUUUAUAAAUAUGUUUCAGCUGGCUGACCUAAUUUUUUGUUUCUAGGUAACAGGCUUUAUAUAUCUGUAAUUGAUAGCCAAGUGAAGUUCUCAGCAGUGGGUGAGGAUAUUUCUUUACAGAAGGUAUUGCAAACUGUUUUUUAGAUUAAUUAUUAUUGUAUAUAUACUUUAAUUUUCACAUCUUUUUCUCUGAUUCUUGUGGCUUUGCUUGCUUCCAUAUAUAUAAAACCAUAAAAUUGUAUAAUAAUUUUUUUUAUUAUAUUGCGAAACUGCGCACACAUGAAAAUAUCUUGUUUAGUAGUAGAAAUGAAGAAUUAAAGUGAUUUAUUUAACUAAUUUUUCUAGUGCAAUAAAAGGAGAUAGUCAUGGACCAGAGUUGGGUUGGUUUGCCAAAUAGAUAUCCAAUUCAUAUACUGAUGGGGGUCAAAAAAUUUAUAGAUUUUGCAUUUGAGAAUGUUGUUGGUGAUAAAAGAAUUUAUUGUCCUUCUAAGAGGUGUUGUAAUAUCGAUAUUUCAUUAUAAGGAAAGUGGCAAGAGACCAUAUCAUUAUAAAUGGCUAUUGGUUAAAGUAUUAAAACUGGAUAUUGGAGGGUGAGCCAUCUUCAUCUUUGAAAUCUAACUAAGAAACAGGUUAGUCAUGACUCGGGUAGUGAUGCUAGUAUGGUUGGAAUGAUGCAUAAUGCAUCACGUAAUCAAAUGUUCAAGUCACACGCAGCAUUGUUAUGGACUAUCUCCGACUUUCUAGCAUAUGCCAACUUGUUUGGGUGGAGUAUUAAAGGUAAAUAAGCAUUUCUUGUUUGCCAACAAAACACUAGAUCUAAUUGGUUGAUACAUAGUAGAAAAUUGUCACGUGGGUCACUGUCGAUUUUUACCAACAAAUCAUAGGUUCCGAAAAUAUAGUGCCAUCUGAUAAAACUGGAGAGUGGGGACAAGCACCUUCUCGGUUGUCUGGAGCUGAGGUGAAAAAGCAGUUCAAUAAUGUACUUACUGAGUAUAAGAUUGAAGAUUUGAAAAGAGGAGAAUGAAUAAAAUGAAAGAAAUGAUAAGAUUACUUGGAAGAAGAAAAGCAUUUUUAAUGAACUAACGUAUUGGGAGUUCAAUUUGAUUCAUCAUAAUCUUGAUGUCAUACACCGUUUUUAUUUUUGUUAUGAACUCAGAUCAAAAGUUUAAUGUGAUCAAAAUUUCUUAAAAAUAGUGAAAAAGACUCCUAAUAAUAUGGAAGAUGGCUAUAAAAGAUAAUUUCUUAAAAGUUUAAUGUGAUCAAAAUUGCUUGUGAACGCAAGGGUUUUAGUUACACUGUCAACGCUGUCAAUGUAGUGAUACAAUGAAGAUGAAGUAAAGCAUUAGUAGAAUAAUGAAGUUGACCAGUAACACAGUAAAGCAUAUUUUAUUCCAGAGCAUGAAAACUUUUAAACAGUAACACAGCUCUUAUUCCAGAGGCUGCACACGAGUGACCUGAAUCUUCUUCAGAACUUUCAAAUUUUAUCAAGCAAAGAUUUCAAAAUCCUUGCCUUCCUAAGUUGGGAAAAAUAGAUGUGGAGCAAACCAAAUGAAAUAAAUGGGUAAACAGAACAAGCAGGGCAAAAAUUAAAAAUGAUAGCAAUUAACAAAUUAAUAGCAAUGUUACAUUUGACUCUUUAGCCCUUUGUUCCUUCUCUUAGCAUUCUUCAAAGUUUUUGAAAAUAGGAUGUGAAGCAAACAAAAUAAAAUAAAUUUAGACAACACAUGCCCUGUAUUCAGCAUCAUAUAUAUCUCGAAUAUCUAACAUAAUAAAUUUCACAUCUAAAAUACUAGAAUUUCAAACAGUACUAGUAGUGAAAAAAUGAUGACAACAACAAAAAUAGAAAAUUACAAGACUGCUGAUAAAAUUUCAUUUGCAUGCAUGUCUGACAAAAUUUCCGUGAUUUAAUGUGCUUUCAUGAACGCAAGUCCUAACGUUUCUGUGAUCACAAAAUGAAACUGAAGAUAAAACAGAACAACUACCAAACCUUUCAAGCUUGACGAAGCCAUGAGAAUUGAUAGCUCAGGCUCUGAUACCAAGUAAAAGUUUCUAAUCUGUUUGGUAAGUAAGAAAAUGAGAGAAAAUGAAAGAAAGAACAGAGAUCAUCUAAGAGCUGGAUUUGAUAAGUAAAUAUGAAUCAUCCAUUCAUUAGCUGAUUGCAAAUGUAUUUAUACAAGUGAUGGUUGUCGAAGCCAACAAAAAUAAAUUCCUACUAUAAAUAAAUUGUGUAUAGUGAUUGAGCAGGGUCGUGUCCACAGAGAUCGGUAAUUAUUUAAAUCCUUUUGAAACGUAAAACGUAAAAUGGGGGAAUUGUUGACAAUAAUAAAAAUCAAAUUAAAAUAACAAGAAUACAAAUUAAAGUUGUAAUUCAAAUUGGAGAAAGCUCUGGUUGAAGGAAUUAACUCAGCUUGAUUCGACUACUGAUCAUUGAUUCAAAUAUAGAUUAUUAUUACUUAUGAAUAGACCGGUUAUAGCUACUGAGACCCUCUAAUAGCCAAUCUCUCCUUAACUAGUCGAUAACCAAGGUAUGACCGUUGGUUAUUUCCCUAAUCAAUAGACAACCCUAGAUACGAUCAUAGGAUUUAAUCAAUUGACAACCUGAAAGACCAGAGAGACCCAAAUCCUAAUCAACACAUACGAUGAUUCAUUUAAAUUAGAUUGUUUAUUCUCAUAACACAACUCACUGCUAUGUUAUUCGUCACAAACAUUAAAAGCUUCAUACGAUGAAUCCUUUAAUUAACAAUAGAUUAAGUUGAUAAUUAAAUAGUGGCCAAUUACCUAAUUAACAAACAUAAUCAUGAAAAUAAUUCAGAGAAUAAACAAAUACCCAAAAAGUAAUAAAACAAUUAAAGUAUAAAAUAGAUCUCACAGUAGUGAUGAAUCAAAACUUCAUUAUCCUUCAACCAGAAAAAUAAGUUUAGUUCUUCAUAGAGAGAAGAGAAAAGUUUAGAUCUAGGGUUUCUCUCUUUUUCUCCAAUCCCCAUUUUUCACAAUAGAUUCCUCCCUUAAAUACUCUCUCUCUCUUCUCUUUUAGAAUUCUAUUUAAAAUAAAAUACUAAUAUCUGAAAUAUUAAAUUCGUAAUUACAAAAAUAACCAAAAAUACAAAACACGUUAAACUAAAAACUGCAGGUCCGCAGUUGACAGCACGUGCCCACGCCUUAUCAACAAAGUUCUUCUGACGCUCAUAAUUUCUCCAAGAGAACAAUCAUCCUUAAACAUCAUCUUGUAACUCAAUUUUAUCACCAAUCAAUAGAAUUGCACCUACAAAAGUAAAACACAAGUAAAUCACUAUUAUUAAGUGCAAAACAUCGAUAUUAAGGGAAGUAAACAAUGCAAAACUAGUGCAUAAAUUGCACUCUAACAACAAGGUUCCUGAACAUUUCAGAUUCUAUAUGCUCGAGCUAAGCACCUGAGAGUUGAGCAGUGUGCACUAACAAACUGCUAACAAAAUAACUAACUCAUGCCAGCUCAGCUAACACGUCAGUAACUCUAACUAUCUUGCUUAACAAACUGAAACAAUAACUAACCAUUUUAACUAUCUUAACAAUCCCAAUAAUUUCUCCAUUUGUGUACUUUUUUGAAUCAUAAUCAAAUGGAUAAAUGUUGCAACUAUUUUUUUAGAUAUUUUCACUUUAGGAUGUCAGCCCGAGGAAGUACGGGGGUCUGAGUUAUUCAACUGAAAAUGUCGGCCAAGUUCUUGCCAUCUCAAGUGCAAAACUGAAAAUGUUACUCGUUCUUCUUAACUUGUUUUCUCAUGCAUCAACCCCACAAAACUGCUCAUUGAAGGGGUAAAAUUUUGAACACACCAUGUGGCAUUUAGACCAUUUGAUAGUUUGUUUCAAACAUAUUUGUUUAUAAAAUACUUUUCUUCAUGGAUUUGGUUACGUAAUUGUCUAUGUAUGUACAGGUUUUAUCGAUACCUCUUUUGACAAGUUACAUAGCAAUGUUAUCUGGGUUCAGCCGUGCCUUAUUGAUAAACUGUGCUUCUGUAAUGAAGAAUGUUUUAUCUGUAAGUGGAUAUCCUAAUCGUUGAUCCAUAUCCAUAAGCAAGUAUGUAUAAAAUUAUUUUAUGUCUUUUUUAUUAGAAAUGUUGUAAUUCUUUUUUACUCUUCCUGAAUUAUAACAGCAGGUGUCUAUAAUAACUGGAUUGUUCCUUCUGCAAAACAGAGCAGUGGUAAAUAUUUUUUUCUUUUGUUUGUCUAGUACAUUUCCAUGAUUUCAGCUUUUUCAAAUUUUGUAUGUGUCAAAGUUUAAAUUUAAUUUGUUGGUUUAUGGCAACAACAGGAACAGAAUCAAAGAGGAGCUGCCAAUGGACUGCUAUGACUGUAGAGUCGCUUACCAAAACUGCUGGUUCAGCUGUAGGAGGUGCUAUGUAGGCGUCCUAUUGAUUUUGUAAAAUUAUAUGUAAAUGAUGUCAUAAUUUUUAUUGUCUCCCCCACCCCCUCUCCCCAAAAAAAAAAAAAAAUUAAAAAAUUAAAAACUAAGGCAUGAUUAAAUUGAUCAUUUGUUUGGUAACAACUUGAUUAAUCGGGUUCUGGCAGAUUUUCUUGGUCACAAAAGCGUCAAGAUGCUGGUUUCCUCCCAGGUAUGAUGAUUUACUAAUGAAAUUUAUCACUAGUAUGUGAAUUACUUGGUGCUAAUUAACUUAAUCAGCUGCUUAAAUUAAAGUGCAGGUAACCUUAUUUUUUUUUUCUUUUUACAAUAAUACUCUUGGAAUAAUAUUUCUGGGAAUAUUAAUGAAAAAUGGUAAUUCAUCCAGCCAGCCUUAAACAAAAUAAAUAUUAAUAAAAACUUUUAUGUUAUUAUUUUAGUUUUAGGACUAAUUUCGUAAAUUAAAUUUUUUAUGCAUUUAUUAGUAAGACUGCUUUAAGAAUAUUAAACAUUACUUUAAGUUGGCUGAUAUUAAUUUAUUUAUAAAUAAUUAUUAGCAAGAUUGUUGUAAAAGUACAAAAAAUACUAGUUAUUUCAUAUUGAUAUUUAUUGAUUAAUUUGGCAAUUAACUUUUUUAUAAAUAAAUUAAUUAAUUUAAGAAUAUUAUUGCCAAGAAAUUAUUGUAAAAGUAAAUAAAAUUUAAGGAAAAAAUGCAACAUAUUUAAUAUCAAGGUAUAUUGAGGUAUUUUUCAAAAUAUAAAGACAAAACAAGCACUGAAAUUAAAAUACAGAUACCAAACAAGCAUUUUCUCUCUUAGAAAAUUUUAUAUUUUAUUAAUGAAAGUCUAAAUAACAAAAUUAGGGUUUUGGACUCCUUUUAAACUAAGCCUAAAUAUCACGAAUUUACCAAUAUAGUAAACCUAAAAUAUUACUGCAUAAUAACAUUCUCCUAACUGAAAUAAGAUAAAUACUACUUCAAUUCUAUAUCUAAAUGAAAAAAAGAUAAAAAUCUUGAAAACAAUAGGAAAAUAGAACUUAAACUUGUAAACUAAUAUGAAAUAAAUAGAAUUCUCAAUCGAACCACGAGGCUAAUGCGGUGCUACAGUAUUAGAUUAGAUUUCCCUCAUUGCUAACUUCGAAAUGGUAUAUUAUACACCCUAUAUAGGUACUUAUAGCUAAGGGUGGGCAUGUGUUGGUUUGGGUUAGGUUUUAAGUCAAUCCAAACCAAACCAUAAAAUUUUGGGUUCAACCCAAAUUAACCCAAAUAUUUUUAACCCAACCCAAACCAACCCAUUUGGGUUUGGUUUGAAUUUUAUAAUUAAAAUAUUUUUUAUUUUAAUAAAUUUAACUAUAUCAAAUUAUAAUACUUAUUAAUUAAUAUUAAUUAUUAAAUUAAUAUUAAAAUACGAAAAAAUGUAGUGGAUAAAAAUUAUGAAUAAUGGAUUUUACAAUAACUUUGUUCUUAAAUAUUAACCAUAUUACAACAUAAAUUCUACCAAUGUCAAUACAAAUUAAAGUAAGAUAAGAUAUCUCAACUCAAGUAUCAAAGCAAUCCAUCAAAAUUAAAUUAUUUAAUUUUAUAAAUUUAAAUCUUCCGAGAAAUAAAUCUAAAAUUUAUUGUAAUUAGAAAAAAUGCCAAAAUUUUAAAUGCAGUAAGAAAAAUUAGACAUGAAAUCUAAUUAGGUUUAAAUUUAAUUAAAAAAUAACAAUAGAAUCAUAUUUUAUUUGAUAAAAUCUUAUAAUCAAUUACAUUUUUAAUUUUAGUAAGUUACAAUACAAAUAGGAUUAUAAAAUUAUAUUAGAGGAUUUCAUAAAAAUAUUGUUUGAGUAAUUUAUUAAAAUGUUAAUUUAGUCUUUUAACUCAAGUUGAGACCGUAAAAAAUUGUUAUAUAAUAGUGUAUUGUACAACCAAUUGCAUAUGUAUUUGCCCUAUGCAGCACUUCUAUUAUUAUUAUAUAAUAAUAAUUAGUAGUAGUAUAAUUACUAUAUAAUAAUAAUUAUUAGUAGUAUAAUUAUUAUAUAAUAAUAAUUUUAAUAAAAAAUUAUUAUUAAAAUAUUGAUUUAUCCUUUUAUUUUGUUUAAUUUAUUUUUCAUUAAUAUGUUAUUUUGAAUUUGUUCAUGACCCAUGGGUAAACCAUACCCAAGCCAUUGUAAAAUAAUUUCUUUCAUAAAAAUCCAAAUUUAACUCAUUUCAUGAUUUAUCCAACCCAAACCAUUUUAUUUGGUUUGGGUUUGGGUAAACCCAUGGGUUGUGGGUUUAUGCCCACCCCUACUUAUAGCUCAAGUUAUUACCUUAGAGAGAUACCCUACGCAUCCUACACAACCAUCCACUGCAUCAAAGUCGUUCCAAAACAGUAGUUCACAGUUGGUACUGCACAUGAUACUUGUUUCUCCUUUUGCAUCUACUUUUGUUGUUAACAUUAAUUUCAAUAGCAGCUCAUUAUGUAUGCAACAUUUCAAAAUUAAUCCAAAAAAACAAAAAUUAGUUCAGCUGACCAAAUUUGAAAGCAUGGAUUUGCUGUCGAUUAAAAAUCGUUUUGUAGGGAAAAUUUUUGGAUUGCAAUUCUCAUACAAUACAUAGAAUUAUCAUAAUCUAUAAAUUGUAUUUUUGCUUUUCUACGGUAGUAAGUCAAGAAUCCUACUUGUAUUUUUGCUUUUCUACGGUAGUAAGUCAAGAAUCCUUAGUGACAAUUUAAAUUGAAAAAAUAAAAUCAUAAAUAAGAAUUAUUUGAUAAGAAUUAAAAUAAUUGAUAAAUAUUUGAGAGGAGCAAUUUUGGAAGACUCGAUUUCUAAUAGGAGGGGAAUUUGAAUUUUACAACCUUCCGUGAGGAAUCCAAAAUGCACAAUUUGAUGAAAAUUAAAUUUCAAUAGAAAUUGAAUUCCCAUACAUUAGUGAAAACCAAACAACAGAAAAGUGAAAGGAAUUUGAAUUCAUUUCCUUCCCGUCUCAUCCCUCCAACUAAAUACCAUCGAUACCCAAAGGUAUGUGAUUGGGAUUCCAUACUGAUCAGAAUGGGAUUUGUCCAUAUUAUUAGGACCAAUUUUAAAAGCAGUCGGAGUUUAAAAUUGAAAUUAAUCCCAAUUUUUUAUUUGGGACUAGAUAAGAAUUUAUAUUGGAACUCCAAUUCUCCCAAUUAUUUUAGUUGAUAAUAUGUUUAACAUUAUUAAUUGCAUAUUAUUUAAUUAUCAGUAUAUAAUAUUCUUUAAUUUUCCAAUUUUAUAGGAUUAGACACAAAAUUGAUUAUGCCUUCUGAAAUUUAAGGGUUAUGUCAAUUGAACAGAAAACUUGGAGUUGAACUUUUGGAUGUUUUUGUUGAUUAUCAAUUUAUGCAUGAAUUUUUGUACGUUUACUUUGGUUUAUUAUUGUUACUUUUAGACAUUUUUAUUGGUUUGAUUUAGGGUCAUUUUGGUAAUCUUGUAAUUUUUAAAAUAGUUACAGUUAGCUAUGCUAUAGAAAUUGAUAAAUCGUGAAGAGAAUCAGCUGAACAUUUAGUAAAAUUUAUUUUUAAAAGUACUUUAGUUUUAAAAGCAGUUGUAUGUGUUUCGUAAAUCUUAUUUUUAAACAGGUGCAAGAAUAUAAAUAACUAAAUUGGACAUAAUGCUAAAUAAAAUUUAUUUACACAUUUACAAACAUGUAUAUAAAAUAUUUUUAUUAUGUACAUAUAAUUAUUGAUAACUAAAAUAAAUAUUUUAUAUUAUUAAAUUUUAUUCUUUAUUUUGUUAUCUCAAUAUAAUUGGUAAUAAUAAUAAUCUCUUAAAGUUAAUGAUUUUAUUUCUUAAUUAAUAAAGAUAAUUCUGGAUUUUUAUUAUAGAAUGAGGAUAUAUAUAUAUAUAUAUAUAUAUAUAUAUAUAUAUAUAGAAUUGGAUUAAGUAUAAAAGUGAUUUUCAAAAUCAAAUUUUGAAAAACUAUUCCUUCCAUACUUCUCAAAAUCCUCUGUAUGAUGAGAUGAUUUUUCCAAAAGUAAUUGCUAAAAAAUUAUAAAACACUAAAAAUUAGGUUUUAGUUUUUAAAAUCACUUUUGAGCUUCCCAAAAACAAGCCUAACGGGCCUUUAUUUGGGUGGUGUAGGAACUUAUAACUUUUGGAUCAUUUAGUUUUUAUUGGUUUGAUACAAUUGUUACACUAAAAAUUGAAUGUAUCUUAAACCCCAAACUUCUUCUUCUUCUUUUUUGAUUGCACAAAAUUAAAAACAAUAGUGAACGCAUUCUUUAAUAAACAAUAAGUAAUUACUAAAAUUGUGUUAAAGAAUUUAGUUGAAACAUAAAUUGAUUUCAAUGUUGUAUAUGCUAAAUUUCUUAAAAAUUUUCUUUCACGGUCUGCUGAAUAGUUUUAUUAGUAUUUUUAUUAUAUAAAAAUAAUUGAUUUAAUUUUUUAAAGAAAUUUAUUAGGUUCAUGUAAAUACGUUUUUGUUAUUUAAAAAGUGUACAAAGUAAAACUUAAUUUUUUAAAUUUAUUAGAUGAGUGGAUAAAAUAAUUGAGUGUUCAUAGUAAAUUUUAAGUAUAGAUAGUCAGACCCUAAUAUUUUUAAUAUAUGGAAAAUUUGAAAAUAUGUUAAUGAGAAUUAAAAUGAUAAUUAAGGGAGGCAUUCGAGACAUUCAGGAUUGUUAGGAUAGGACAUGAUUGUGAGCGGUUUGAGAUUGGCCCUAAUUUUGAUCACAAAUAUAUAAGCAGGAUGUUUAUCCAUACUUACAUUCCAUUUGAUAAUUAAGAUGAGAGUGGAAUUGUCAAAUCCCAAAUUAUCCCGGACCAUUGCCACCAAAGGUACUCUCACUAAUAAUAUCUAAAGAAAAAUCUACAUCUAUUUCAUACUUUUUUUUUAAACGGAAAGAGCCCUUAUGGGGCUUGAAAUAGUAUCCUAAAUAAUAUUCAGAAUAUCAGGCCAUGACUGGGUUUGUAACAAACAAAUAUUACAUAGUUGGGAUACGUAGUUACUAGUGUCCCAAUUUAUGUAGUAUCUAUCAUUUAGUACACAUAUAAAGUGUUUGGGACAUGAAAUAGGGUGACCAAGAUAAGGUGUUUGCUCAUACAAUAUCGUGCUCUUCUCAAAGUAAAAAGUGAAAAAAUAGUUGAUAGGCUACUAGGAGUUUAUUUGGUCACCUCGAGCACAUCAUCUCGACCAGGAUAUUAUUUGGUGAUCUCGAGCACAUCAUCUUGACUAAGAGAUUAUUUGGUCACCUUGAGUAUAUCACCUCGACCAGGAGAUUAUUUGGUGACCUCGAGUAGAUCAUCUUGAUCAGGAGGUUACCAGGAAGCACGACUCAGUCAAAACAAAUCUCACUUAUUUUCUUCGAAAUAUUAGGGAUCAUAUUCUUAGUGGGCUGAAAAUUAGUGAUUUUCUUAAGAGUUUUAGGUGAGAGGAUAAAAACCGCUAUAAUUUGCUAUAAAAACCCUGGGAAGGGAGGGAAAUAGGGAGAUUCUUUUUAUCUCUCUCUCUUUGGGUGACUGAACCCAUGGGAUCUUUUUCUCUCUACCACUGGGAAACUUCUCUUUCUCUCAUGAUUUAUUUUUCUUUAAGAUUGGUUAUUUUUUAUUCUUUUCCCAUAAAUUUACUUAAAAGCUUUUUGUUUAAAGUAUUCAUAAUUAAGCCGCGUGAAUUGUGGUACAAAUUUUUCCAAGUAGACCUAAAUCGCUGACUUGAGCGUCGGAGGAUUUUCUUUAAGAUUGAUUAUUGUUUCCAUAAAUUUGAACCAAGAAGGAUGACGCGAUAAAAUUUGUUUUUUAUUGUAUGGUUGAUUUCAUAUCUCAUGCACUCAUUUCUUAAGAUAAUUAGAUUUCAUCUUUUGCAAAUGUGGAAAUAUCAAUAAUGAUCAAUCAAAACGAUCUCAAAACCUUUCAACGCGACAUAUUUAUAAUACAAUAUUGUGAAAAUUACACCAAAAAUUUAAUUUAUGAUAUAUUAUUAUCCCACCAGCACACAGAAAUGAAUUCGUACAAAUCUAAAAUACUUAGCAAUUUUCAAAUAGAAUUUUAAAUUUAUUUCCAGUUAGAAAACUAUUCGCUGGACUCCGUAUUACUAGCCACCAUCGUAAGCCUAACCGGUUGCCGGCGAACGGCGUAAAACACCAGCCAUCUUCUUCUUCAUCAUAUUCUCCUUUCAUCUUUUGAGUUAAGCCUGUGAUUAUGAGUUUCUUCUCUUACUUAGCUUGUAAUUAUAGAUUUUGAUUCUUUUUAAUUCGUAUUGUAGCCGUUAUUGUCAAUUUUUGUCCCGCCAGCAAUAUUUUUUUAUUCCUACAAGUUGAAAAUGGAUUCAUUUGAAUUACGAUUGAAUUUAGCUUUAAUUUCAAUAUCCAUUCUAAUGUUUUGCUAUUAGAUUUACUUUAAUUUUAUGUUUAAAGCUUCUACAAUGACUAGCGGAGCUUGGGUUUUAGUUUCAUUUUCUGUAACUUGUUUUAGUUUAUCUUGUAUGCUCACCAAGUGCUUGUUAUAUUGUCUGAUAAUUUAUAUACAUUGCUGAUUCUAUAUUAAUAAUGUUAUGUUCUAUUUUCAGAAAUUAUAAUACAAAAUUUUUUACAAUGGCGUGCAUCUACAAACUGGAUUGACUCGUAGAAUAAGAGCUUGGAGUAGUGUUAUGUUCUUGAAUAAAUGAAAGUUCAUAUUGUGUAAGAGCAUGUAGAUGUAAAGCAUCAUUACCAUUUCUAUAAAGGACUUUCAUUCUGUUCAGAUGCUCUUCUUGAACAUUGAAAGGUGCCUCGUUCAAGUCCUAGCUAUAACUACUAGCUUUGAUUAAUUAAGUUCCUAUACUAGCUGAAACAGAUUUAUUUAAUUAAUUAAUUGUGUAUGUACUGAUUAUAUUGAAAGUAUAUGAAUUUUUUUUUUUUAACAUGAAUGACUUAAAAACCUAAAGGAUAUGUGAAAUUAUGCUCAUUUCACCUGAAUGAGCCUAUUAAUACUUUUAUGUCUAUGAUUCUCAAUAUUGGCUUAAGCAUUUCAGUUCAGUGGUUUACCUAACAGAGAAAAAAAUUUAAUAGAAAACUUCAGAGUUCUAACAGAAAUAUAGUUCACUAUGCAGAUAUAGUUAUUUUAUUUUAUAUAGUCAUUAAUUUUUGCCAUGGUUUUUUGUGUUUAUGAGUUUGAAAUAGUGGGAUUUGGUGUACCUUAGCAUCUUUUGAAAAUUCUCUUUAAGUGUGGCCAACAGAAAUAUACAUAUAAUCAAGUUUCUUAAUCCUGUAUAUUAGUUUUGGGUAUGAAUGUUCCUAUUCUAGUUCUAGGCAAAGCUUCUUUGUUUUGGUCUUCAGAUUUCCAGUAGGUUAAGUUAAUCAACUAUCAUAACUGGCUAGCUAGUUAUUGUCUGCCCUGGCGCCAUUACCCAGGCCAUUAUAUUGCAUAGCAUAAGGAAUAGUGAUUAGGUGAUUAUUAGUGAUUUGUUGAGCUUAUUAUUGACCAAACAAAUGUAUUCGCCUUUGGCCACAACUUAGUUUGAUUAGUUAUUAGACCAUAAAGAGCCUUGAUCUAUUCAUUGGCUUUAUUAUUUUUAUUUGGUUUUUCUUUCAACAACAUUGUUGAUAUCUUAUAAAAAUAUUCAGUGGUUUUUAAACACCUAAUCAUUGGCUAUAUUAAGCUAAUUAAAACUGAGGCUUUGGAUCAAUUUCUUCUAACAAGAUACAAAUGAGCAAAACCUUUCUCCUCUAAGUAAAUUUUUUUAAUAUCCCUUGAAUUGUAAGGAUCUGGAGGCGUGAAUCCUCUUGAUUUUUUUUAACACUGUCAAUGUUCUUUUUAUUCUGAGAAGGAAAUAAAAGGUUUUAUCUUUCAUACCCGAAUAGUAAGCUGGCCUUGUCUUAACAUGGCCUCCCGAGGACUUGCAAGAUUCAUAGUGUCCCCCACCCCAAAAAAAAUAUAAAAAACACAAAUAGGAAGAUUUUGCAAGAUUCACCACCAGGUUUUUUUUAAUUUAUUAAUUGUGUGUACGUGCUAGUUAUAUGUUGAAAGAAUAGGAAGAAGUAUUUCAACAUGAAUGACUUAAAACUUAUUGCUCAGUAAACAUAAUCUGCAUCAGUGCGAAAAUGUAUUUAUCGUUUGUAUUUUUUAUGGUUUUGCUAAAGAAAUGAUAUGUGAAAUAAUGCUACAUUGCAUCAGGAAUAAAUUGAAGAGACUUAUGAUAUUUAUGUGUUAUUCAAAUUUCAGAUUCAAUUUUAAACUUUUGAUACGUGCAUUGAAAGCUUAGACUUGUUUAAGAAAUUAUUAAUAGACACAUGUUUUAUUAGUGUCAUCUUUGGAUGAUAGUGAGGAUCAUAUGUCUAUUAAUAAUUCUUGAAUUGUCCAGGCUUGGACAGUUUGGGAAUGCAUAGUUCACUCUGGUAGUUAGUAGCUGAAGUUUUUUCCCACGUAAAAAUGGGUUUUUCGGUAGCUGCUCCUCGUGUUCUCUGGGUACGUACUAGGUGAAUGGGUGUCAUGUGUUGUUUUGGCAUAACGCAUAAACACUUAUAUAGCUAUGUCGUGUGCUUGGAGAAUUAUAGGGAGAUGGUGCCGAAAUUUUUAUAAACGUGGAAGAAAACUUUAGGUACUUGAGAUUGAAGAAACUUAUGCAUUCUUGAGUGGGAUAUGUAGGAUUACUUACCUUUUGUAAAUAUGAAGGGAAUGUUGGAUAUAUUGGGGAUAGUGUAGGAGCUGAGUUGGAUGAAUGUAAUUGGUGAUGAUUUUGCUGAGCUGACCUUGGUCUUGAGCUUGUAAUUUUGUUUGUAAAUGGAGUGCUAUCUCCAAUGUUGGUUUAUAAAAAUGUUUCAGGACUUGCUGAUCUAAUUUUUUGUUUCUAGGUUACAGGCUUUAUAUAUCUGUAAUUGAUAGCCAAGUGAAGUUCUCAGCACUUGGCAAGGAUAUUUCUUUACAGAAGGUAUUGGAAACUGUUUUUUACAUUAAUUAUCGUUGUUUAUAUACUUUGAUUGUCACAUCUUUUUCUCUGAUUCUUGUGGCUUUGCUUGCUUUCAUAUAUGUAAAUUCUAAUGAAAUUAACCAUAAAAUUGUAAAAUGAUCUUUUUAUUAUAUUGCAAAACUGUGCACACACGAAAAUAUCUUGUUUAGUAGUGGAAAUGAAGAACUAAUUUUUGUCGCGCAUUAAAAGGAGAUAGUCAUGGACAAGUGUUGGGUUGGUUUGCCAAAUAGAUAUCCAAGUCAUAUACUGAUGGCGUUGAAAAAAUUAUAGAUUUUGUAUUUGAGAAUGUUGUUGGUGGUACAAGAAUUUAUUGUCCUUCUUGAUAAGUUUUGUAAUCUAUAUUUCGUUAUAAGGGAAGUGGCUGAUGAUGAUAUGGUUGGAAUGAUACAGUGCAUCACGUAAUCAAAUGUUCAAGUUACACGCAGCAUUGUUAUGAACUAUCAGUGGCAACUUGUCUGGGUGGAGUAUUAAAGGUAAAUAAGCAUGUCUUGUUUGCCAACAAAGCACUGGAUCUAAUUGGUUGAUACAUAGUAGAAAAUUUUGUCACGUGGGUCACCGUCGAUUUUUCCCAACAAAUCAUAGGUUUCGAAAAUAUAGUGUCUUUGAAUAAAACUAGAGAGUAGGGACAAGCACCUUCUCAGUUGUCUGGAACUGAAGUGAAAAAGCAGUUUAAUAUAUUUACUGAGUAUAAGAUUGAAGACUUGAAAAGAGAAGAACGAAUAAAAUGAGAGAAAUGAUAAGAUUACUUGGAAGAAGAACUGCAUUUCUUAAGAUUACUUGGAAGAGAAAUGAUGUGGAAGAUGGCUAUAAAAGAUAAAAGGAAAGGCUUAAAAAGAAAAGCCAUGCCUGUCAAAAACAAAAAAACAAUUGCAGCGUCAAAUUUAUAACACAAAUCAAAACGGUGCGUUUGAGAGUGUAUAAAAUACAUUUAGAGUGGGAGUUGUGUUGUUGCUUGAAGGCAGAAUGUUUGUGAGAUAUUUGUCGACGAAGCCGAAACCAAAGAUGAAGCCCAUCAAAAGCAUUUAUAGUGUAAAAAGUAUAUUGUGGAAAUGUCUGGUCGGUAAUACAACUAUUUCUUGUAGUGUAAAUGAUACACUAAUUUGAAUUUAUAUGCUUUUAUGAUUAUUUGAUUAUCAAGUGGUGAUCAUAUGUGAUGAUAAACUUAGGUCGUACCUUUAUAUUUAUUGCCUUAGUUUUCUAAGCGUUCACAUUUUGAUGAGUAAAUUAAGGAUUUCAAGAUGAAGUACAUAAUUAGAUUAAUGCUAAGAAACUGAAGUUUGAUCGAUUGAAAACGAAAAUAAUAAUAAAGGUAAUUAAGAAAAUGAACAAUAUAUGCAGAAGCGGUCCUUAUUAGUACUUCUAGAUUUUCUCUUGGGCUUUCCUUAUUAUUGUUAAAAAAUGACACGAAGAACUUUGAGUUUAAAAAUCUGGCCCUGAUGCCUGGUAGCCCUUCAACAUAUGAAGAACCAGAUGUUUUGAUGAGAAAAUGACAAGACCAUUUAUCAAAUUUCUUGUGGAUAUAAAUACAUACACAUAGACGAGGCCAACCUCCUCAAAUGAGAAUCAGAGUGAUUACAAGACCUUGCAAUGAGACAAUGAUACACCAUCAAAUGUCAAAAUACAAUAGAAAUUCACGACAUAUAUAUAAUAAAAGACCUCUCAUUGAGUCAUAUAUAUUGAGAAUAAAAAUGUUAUAAUACAUACACAGAGCUUAGUUAGAAUAAAAUGUCUUUGAACUUGCGAUGAUCAAACAAAGGAAACAGACAGGUUGUAACUCACACUAUCACAGAUGUAGCGACACGAUGCAGUGAAUCACAAGAAGAUCACGAAGAUGGAAACGGGAACCCCUCAGAAUGUAAACUUUGAAUAGAGGAAAAAAGAAAAACGUCCUUAUUUCAAAUUGUGCACAGAAGAAGAGUGACUUAAAUCUUCAUCAGUAUCCAGGCAUUCUGCAAUCAUAAAGUAGAAAAAUUUUAACAGUAACAGCAGAGAAAAUAUUAUGAAUAUGCUAGACCAAAUUAGUCCCUUUUUUGGUUUGUGAAAACUUUAUUUUUUAUGAAUACGCUAUCCAAUAUUUUCAAUCAAUAUUUCCACAAUAUAGUUGUUCAUAGCUAACGUUUGAUGGUUUAACGAUUUGUUCCAAGAAUAAUGAGCUGAUUACGUUUUGUUUUAUUUUUAUUUUAUUUUUUUUAAUCCGAUGAAGGAUAUUCAGCUGUGUCUUUAAUUAUGCAUUCAUAGGGAAGAACAUUUUCUAAGUACUUUCCUUGCCUUCUAACUUUCCAAGGAAAGAUAGGUGUGAAGAAAAGCAAACCCAAUGAACAAACAGAGCACAAACUAAAAUAAUUAGCAAAUAAAGAAAGGAAAAAGUAUGCACGUUUUCAAGGAUUUAAAAAAUACGAAGGCUUUUAAUGAAAUUUUAUCAUAAAAAAGUAUGCAAGGAGUUAUAAAAUUUUAGAAGACGAGGGGAGCUCGCAAAAAAAAAAAAGAAAAAAAAAAGAAAAAGACUCAAAUUAAACUAGACUAAAAAGACAUUCAAUUACGCAAAAUCUGUCCAUAAAAGUCUGAAAGGAUCAUUAAAAUUGCAUUGCAAAUUUAACAGUAAACUGAGGAACCCAUUCUAAAUAAUUCAGAUGAAAUUGCGAAACAAACCAUGGGAUUAAAUAAAUUAAAUAAAAAUUAAUUACCAGUUGAGACUUUCUUCUAAAAAUUCGCAACUCCAAGUCAUAAGAAGCCUAUGAAAUUAGUAGUACAGCGUAGAGUAUGACGACGACACCGCCAACAGCUGAAAGUAAAAUUCUUAUUCAUCAAUUUAAACUUACUUUAUAACAAAUAUCUUAUCUAUAUUGUAUUUAAGAAAACAAAUUUUGUAAAAAUUUAUCAUGGGAGAUAGAGAGUAAUAUGUACAUACGUACCUUCUCAGCAUGUAAUUGUUGUAUGGUUGUGUUUAGAUCAUUAUUAGCCCAGCGCCGUUGAUCCGCUGUCUCUCCAUAGCAGACGUUUACUCUUAGAGGCGUGAUUGAUUCUCCUGUAGUGAAAAUCUUCAUCUUGGGACAACCAAUCACCCACAACUCUUGCAAAGAUGGGAAUUUGAAGGUGUAAUUGGCAGAGCAGAAACUUGUGAGGCUGUCUAAAUCACGCAGUUCCAACGUCUUCAAUUUGCGGAAAACAAUCUCUUCUUUUUCAACCCCGUCUUUGUCAUUUAUUACCACCUCUGUCAUUGCUCUGCAUCCAUAUAUACUCACUUUGACGAGUUGCACUAGAGUUUUUGCUGUGGAGGAUGUUACCAAGUGUAUCAAUUCCUUGCAACCGAAAGCUACAAGUUCUGUUAGGUUCCGAAAAGAUACCGAUGAUGAUGGCAAUAGAAUUAACAGACUUUGACAAUGAUAUACUUUUAGAAUUUCAAGAUACUGAAAAAUGGGGCCAAGUUUGGAGUCUUGUUUGCACAGCUGCUUCAGAUGAUAGUGCCGGUGCAGCUUUAAUUCUUUUAUCAUUGCCAACUUCCCCACAUGUUUCUCUAAGCAUCCUUCCAUCGAAAAUACCUCUUCGUGGAAUGAAAAAUUAAGCAGUGUGAGUAUUUCGAGAUUGUGAAAUCUCUCCAGUACGUUCCAGAUUGGAAAACAAGCUGCGUCAUCUCCAACAAUCUCUAGUUGUUUAAGACUGCCAAAAAGGUGUUGUGGGAAAUCGGCCUGCAAAAUCAUCUUCACAUCUUUUCCACUUAGUGAUAGCUCCUUCAAGUUGGGUACGAUCUGAUCAUCAUCAAUCGUAAUAACUAAUGAGGUCAAUUGAUGAUCUACGGUCACAGGCAGUGACUUUAUAGUAUUUGUUUUAUAUUAUAUUUUUAAAAAAAUUGAAUUAUUGAUAAAAUUUAUUUUAUAUGUUAAUUUUAGAGGUAAAAAAGAAAUUAGGGAAAAAGGUUGAUUUAUACUGGCUCGAAAUUAUUUUAUUGCACAAUAAUAAAUUACUAAUUUAUUUUGUAAGUUCUUCUAUAUGGAAAGACUAAGGAUUCUUUUAUAAAUGUUAUACCAAAAAAAGUUCAUAUAAUUAUUAAUCUACCCCAUUGAUCUCUUAAUCUAGACUAGCAAAGAUUAUUGUAUAAUAAAAGUUUUCAAUUUAUUGAGUAUUAAUUUAUCGAUGCUUUGCCAUAUUUUUCAAAGUUAAAAAUAAGCUAUAGACAAAAAAUCUAGAAAAUGGCUUCAUACCUUUUCCAACGGCAAUGGGGGCUGUUGUGCAGGAAUGCCAAGUUGAUCAUUCUCAUUAUUCUGCAAUAAAUCUGCAGUGAAUAUCUUUAAUUUGUCACAACAAUGCACUGAAAGAACUUCUAGCGCGGGCCAUUCCGAAGUAUGCAUUCCAGGGUACAAACAUCUAAGUUUUGGUAGACCUUGGAGUCUCAAAGUGGUGAGCUGUGGAAAGACAAAAUAAGGGAUCACUUCAUCUGCUCUAUUCUCAGAAAUGAUCUCCUGUAAAUCCUCACAGAAGCGAACUUCUAGGUGUUGGAGCUGCUUAAGGCUUCCGAUCAUAGACGCUGAAAAUAUGUAUUUUAAUUUGUGACAACGCCACACAAUCAAUCGUGUUAAAUUUUGAAAGCGAGGAAACGUGACAGGAAAAUGAUUGUAGUGCCAAAUCUUGUCGACAUUAAUUUCAGAUAUCUCCAAAGCCUCCAAGUUAGGCAACGCAACCUAAAAGAAUAAGAAUUUCUGGUUAGAUCCAAUAUCCAUAUGGGAAGCACUUGUUGAAAUUUUCUUCUUUGAUUGCAAAUUCAUGCAAGUCAGAAUCAAUUUCCAACUGACAGCUGAGUAUGCAUUCUAAUUCAUACUACUUGUUAAGAGCUCAAUUAGUGAGCGCGUGAGAUUCUUUUUAUCCUUUUUUCCGUUUUCUUUCAAUUCUUUAAAUGAUUUAAUUAUUUUCCACGUAUGAUAUCAAAAGAGAACGCAUGAUAGAAUAAAGAAAAUGUUAGCCUACGCACCUUCUCGUUGAAAAGCAGAGUUGAAAUAUCCAAAGUGAUUUCGCUGGAGCAAUACAUAGUCGUCGAUUCCUCUUGCGACACUUGUCUGUUCGGUGAUGCUGAAGGAGUCUCCACCUCACGGCGGCAAAAACUUGUAACCUCAGGAAGAUUCCCCAGACUCAAAGAUCUUAAUUGAGCAAACUCUAUCUUCUCAAUUGCAUUAUCAACUUCUUCCCCAAUUGCAAAAAUCUCUGUUAUCUUGCUGCAAUUAACAACUGCAAUUCUCUCAAGUCUUGGAAGGCAUUUUGUAGUAGAGAGCCAAAAGAUAUUACUCAACUUAUCACAAUUAUAUGCUUCUACGGUUUUGAGUUCGUUGAAAGACUCUACUUUGAGCCGAUCAACACAUAUCCUCUCCAUGUUGAUCAAAUUGUGAAUGGUAAGUGACUCCAAAAGAGGAAAGGCAUCACAAGCGACCAUCUCCCUUGAAUCGACGAUACAAAAGAAGUCAGGAUUAUUUUGAACCCAGAGAAGCUUCAAUUGUGAAAAGCCCUCCUUGCAGCUUGUCCAACCAUAAGUAUUCAACGUUAUUGAUGCCCUGCAAUUUCAUGGAGCAAAUGUCCAUAAAAUCAAGCUUGAGCUUCAAUGAUCUUAAACUCUUGCGAUCACUGUUGAUCGAAAAGCGGGGCCGACUUUUAAACCAAUGUUGUCCAACACUCAUGGGAUGCAUGAAUAACCCAUUUCCAAUAGAUAUUUUGAACCUUUCGAGCUUUCUGGCCAAAAAACCUUCUGGUAAAAUAUUGUCACUUUUAACGUCAAUUUCUAGAGUGGUUAGCCGAGGUAAAUGCAUCAAUUCGUCAAGGCUAGCAUUACUUCUUUUGCUGUUGGCUCUUUCAACCUCCCAUUCAAUGAAGCAAUUACCCAUAUACAGCUCUUCUAAUCGAGUUAAGCUUGAUAUGAGAUUAGGCGCAAUAACUUUUAGAUGGAAACAAUUGGUUAAAUCUAACAAUCUCAACUUAUUCAAUUGACCUAGUUCUUCUGGCAACUGCAUAAUCUCAGACUUCAAAAAGCUAAGGACUUCUAGAUUCUUCAACUUCCCAAUGAUUGCUAUGUCCCCCAACGCACUUUGAUCCAGACAUAGUGUGUGAAGAUUUUGUAGAAGAUCAAUUGAAGAUGGAAAAGAAGAAAACUGCAUUCGAGUAAAAUCUAGAACUCUAAGCUUUUUCAUCCCUACAAAAAAGUUCUCAGGAAUAUUGAUUUCAAGAGAAGAAUCUUUGAGAGAGAUAAAUAAAAAUUCAAGGUUUGGGCAUUCUAAUCCUUCAGGAAAUUCACGAUUACUAUUAUUUCUUAAAGAGAUCGCAUUGCAUUUUCGAAGUGCAUCCUCAUCUGGCCAGUCCCACACAUCCUUAUUUCUCACCAAAAACACAUGUUGGUGGCGGCAUGCAAUUGAUAUUGCGACAUCACGAACAACAUCAUGCAUUGAAAAUUGUUCAUUGCUCUCACCCUCAAGCAACAAACAAGAGUGUCUAAGUUCAUGGACCAAUGCAUAUAAUUUGUCUCGUGCAUCUUCCAUCUUAUUGACUCCUUUAAAUAUACCCAAACCCAUGGAGUACUUAAACAAGUCCGAAGUAAGAAUACGGUUAUCCAUUAGACUACAGAGCAGAAAAAUUUUCUUGAGUUGCUCACCUUUUAAAUGGUUGAAACUCAGCUCAAUACUUGAAUAAGUCUCUGCAGAUACUCCUUCGAAGUUUACCAUUGAAGGCGUUCGGAGUUCUCGCAAGGAAUUCUUCCAUUCAUACUCUUGCUUCUCAGUGCCUUUGCCACUGUAGUCAAGGCAAUGGGCAAACCUCCACAUGCCCUGGCGACGUCUAUUGCUGUGGAUUUCAACUCACGAUUUUCAACAUCAUCUCCGGCCAUCAUCUUAAACAAUCUCCAGGCUUCUUCUUCAUUUAAAUUGUUUAUCAAAAAGUUGUCUUUAGAUCCCAUUUUUAAGAGGAGACUACGAUCUCUUGCUGUCAGCAGUAGUUUGCAGCCUUUAUGAUUUUCUCCAAAAGGAAUUGCAGUAGUCCCCAAAUCAAGAGGUUUCCAGAUGUUAUCCAGAAUCACAAGGAUCUUCUCAUUCUCCAAUCUUUCAUAUAGUCUACUAGCUCUUCUAGACUCAGCUUCCUCGCGCAACUCCAAGCCCAACUUCUCGGCAAUUUCCUGUUGAAUCUGUUUUAUGUCUGGAGUUUGCGAAACCUCUGAAAAGACCACCAUAUCAAAGUGCUUGUCUUCCAUAGCUUGCCUGGCGACCUUCUUCACCAGUGUCGUCUUUCCAAUGCCGCCCAUGCCGUACACCCCAAUGAUGCUGACAUCAACAUCGAUCAAUGCGUUUUUUAUAGCCUCCAAAGUAGAACGUCUUGAUUCGAAGGCCUCGUAGCCUUUGUGAGACUUGAGCCAAAUCUCCUCCGGAAUGGUACGGUAGGAAAUUCUAUCAUCAAAUCUCCCAGCUUCUUCUCGGAGUUUAAAAAGGGCCUCCUUCUCUGUUUCUGCUUUCUUUCCAUGCUGAUAGCGAGUAAUCCAAUUAGGAAACAGCCCCAUGAGACAUCGUUCAUUUGCUUUCUCUUCGUCUAGAAUGAAUUUGGCUGCCUGCUCAAUGCUCUUGUUCGCAUUAACCAGCCAUUUCUCAACCUUCUUUUCAAUCUUUUCACUUUUUCUUUCAGCCUCCGAAACUCUGUGCUGAAUGCUUUCUCUUUCAUCCUUGAGCCUAUCGAGUUCUGCCUUGAAAUUCUGAAAGUUGGCAGCGGAGUUGUACCAAUAACUAAAUUCGCGUUGUGCGUGAGGAGACAAACAGUUUACAACUCCUGGAACAAUGCUUUUCAAAAUGUCCAUUUUUUUUUCUUUUUUGGGGAAGUGAACGAAAUAGAAAUAGAACAGGGUCAACGGCCGCGCAAUUGAUAAUCAAGUAGAAGCAAAACAAGGCAAAGUUGAAAAAAGAAAUGAUAUUUGUACAAAACAAGGGAAAUCAGUGUAACAGAAGAGAAUCAAAGUGUUUAUGAGAUCAGAAAAUUGAAUCAAGAAAAGGGUUGCUUGAUCCAAUGAAAAUGCAAAGAGCUGAUGGAAAAAGGGGACAAAGAUAAAUAAGAAAACGGCUAGCACGAGCAGUGACCACGAUAAACAGAAGCAAAGUGUGUAUGAGAUCAAAAGACGAAAAUCAGGAGAGGUUUUCUUGACCGAGAAUUGAAGGCAAUUAGUAGGAGCUGACGAAUACGGGGAUCAAGAGGGAAAAAUUGCUUUUAAGCGAAUCUGAUAAAAUUAUUUCAAUACUCGUGGGCGACUCCUUUUUAAACUGCAGAAGGAAAAAAAAAAUUCUGAAUUUCAAUAUAUUAUUUUUUAUCCUAAUUUAUGUUAGGACUCGUAAUCUCGUCUCAAAUAAUUAAUUAGUAGAUAAUUUUUCUAACAAAUAUGUGUUGAAUAGAUAUAUUUCUUGACUAUGAGCAGGCUAGAGAUAUUUUAGCAUAGGAAUGAAAGUACAAGUUGUGUCAUAUUAUAAUUAUCAAUUGACCUAAAAAUGUUGUUGUGAAUUGAAAUUAUUUCUGUAAAAUAAAAGGAUUUGGGUCAUUGUUCGUUAUUUUCUGGCAAUAUUGUCUGGUCGUGACUCUUUGUUAAAUAUUAAAAAAAUAAAUUUAUAUUUAUUAAGUAUAAAAAAUAAAUAAACAAACAAAAAUAAAAGGAAAAGUUUAUACAUUACGUAAAAUAAUAAGAACAAUAUCAAUAUUUCACACUCUAUAAUUGAGUGAUGUGUUAUCCAACUGCCAUACAUUGGUCCCAAACAGAGACUUAAAUAUUAAAGUCCAAAGUUAUUGUGAUGAUGACUUAUAAUUGCCAAACUUGACAUACGGGUAAUCAUGCAUUAUAAGGUGCUGAUUUCUUCCGAUCGGAACCUUAUUUUUCAUUUACAAAUAAAUAAAUGAUGUGACUUCACGGUUGGCGGGGUCCUUUGUGUCAUUUGGGCAUUUCACUAAAUGAUUGAUUGUAGCAGGGAGAUUCCUGGAAGUUGCCAUUUGCCAAUGCUACUAACAUUUUCAAACUUGGAAAACCCUUCAAUCAAUCUUUUAGUGGUAGGCUCCGGUAGCUUGGUUUGAUUAUGACAUAUGAUUAUUUGAUAAUGAAGCUAGAGGAUGUAUUAAUAUAAAAUUUGUUUAUUGGUGUUGAAGUUAAUUAUCUCAUUAAUAUUAGUAUAAAAAGUUAAUUACUAAGAAACACAUAGCAGUAGUUAAUUGGUGUCAUAUUAUUAGGAUUCUGGGAUAUAAUUUUAUAUCAUAACUUUGUAAGUGUAUACUUACUCAUCAAACUAAUAAAAUUAUUUAAAAAUUUCAGUUGGAAAAAAUAAAUUAUAUUAUUUUCAUUUCAAAUAAUCUAUAAGUUAACUCAAAACAUAAUCAAGCUGAGAAUUAAAAUAAUGCUACUGUAUGAGAGGAUUUUUAUUUUUUCCCGAAGUUUCACUAGGAAAUUAUUGAUACAUAGCUUUAUUCGGAUCAUCUCAGUUCAAACGACAAAUAAUUGAAAGACUAAGCUAAAUAGACCAGCCAACAACUUUGUACAAGAGAGUUCAAAAAUUAAGGUCAUGGUAUUAAGGUGUUCUAUCUUGAAAAGUAUAGCGUAGUAAUAAAAUAAAAACUAAUAGUCUUUGGUAAGAUAUGACAUUUAAAUAAUAAUUUUCACAAAAAUACAAAGAAUAUUUAUAAAGUACUUCUAUAGUGAGGAGACCCUCACUUUGUUAAAGUGAAAAUAUCAAUAAUAUACAAAAGACAUAUAUUUUAACACAUUAAAAAUUGUAUUUUUUUUAUCUAUUGGUGUAUUUGAAUAUGUGUUAUUUAGUUUGUUAGUGAUAUCAUUACUUUGUUAAAAUGAGAAUGUCGUUACUAGAGAAUCAUUAUAUAUACAUAUAUAAAGUGCUUCUGCCCAAGACCUAGACUUUAUUAAAAUUUAAGAAAGCAAGUAUAUUUUAUAUGGUAUAAUAGUGUAAUAACAUCACACUAUUAUAUCAUAUAGAGUAAUAGUUUUUCAAACUUUAAUAAAGUUCAAGAUUAUAGAAUGAAUGAUUUUUAUAUAUUAUAAAUUUUUUUAUCAUAAAUGGAGGACAAAAUUAACAUAUUUUCAAAUUAUAAUAAGUAUUUAUCAAAUAAUUUAACAUUGCAAUUUCUCCUAACUAGUAUAGUAAAUAAUACGACCUAGGAGAUACAUUCAAAGCAUUUCAUAAGUUAGUUGUUAAUAAUAAAUGAUAUAUGCAGCUCCAAUCAUCAUUGUACGGUGAGUAAUUUCCAGUUAUAAAUAGAUAUUACUCCCUUCCCAGCAAUUUUUGAUGACUUAAUUUAGUGAGAUCAAAAUCAACAUUGAAUUUUUGACCAGCUGCCAACAACUUGUGAGCAGUUCACAGUGGGUACUGCACAUGAUGCCUGUUUCUCCUUUUGCAUCUAUUUUGUUGUUAACAUUAAUUUCAAUAGCAGCUCGUUAAUCCCAAUUGUUGAUUUGGGACUAGAUAAGAGUUUAUCUUGGAACUCCAAUUCUCCCAAUUAUUUUAGUUGACAAUAUAUUUAACAUUAUUUUUUUAACAUUAUUAAUUGCAUAUUAUUUAAUUAUCAGUAUAUAAUAUUCUUUAAUUUUCUAAUUUUAUAGGAUUAGACACAAAAUUGAUUAUGCCUUUUGAAAUUUAAGGGUUAUGUCAAUUGAAUAGAAAACUUGGAGGUAAACUUGUGGAUGUUUUUGUUGAUUAUCAAUUUAUGCAUGAAUUUUUGUACGUUUACUCUGGUUUAUAAUUAUUACUUUUAAACAUUUUUAUUGGUUUGAUUUAGGGUCAAUUUAGUAAUCAUGUAGCUUUUAAAAUAAUUACAAUUAGCUAUGCUGUAGAAAUUGAUCAAUCGUCAAGAGAAUCAGCUGAACAUUUAGUAAAAUUUAUUUUUAAAAGUACUUUUAGUUUUAAAAGCGUUGUAUGAAUAAAACUGUUACACUAAAAAUUAAAUGUAUUGCCCACUUGGGUAAAUAAAGCUAUAUAUUACAACUGUUACACUAAAAAUUAAAUGUAUCUUAAACCCAAACUUCUUCUUCUUCUUUUUGACUAACAAAAUUAAAAACAAUAGUGAACACAUUCUUUAAUAAACAAUAAGUAAUAAAUAAAAUCGUGUUAAAUUGCUUAAAAACUUUCUUUCACGGUUUGCUAAAUAUUUGUAUUAGUAUUUUAAAUAAAUAAAAAUAGUUGAUUUAAUUUUUUUAAAUAAACUUAUUAGGUUCAUGUAAAGAUGUUUUUGUUAUUUUAAAAAGUGUAGAAAGUACUCCUAAAAAAAAGCGUAGAAAGUAAAACUUAAUUUUUUAAAUUUAUCAGCUGAGUGCAUAAAUAAUUGAGUGUUCAUAAUGAUUUUUAAAGUAUAGAUAGUCGGACCCUAAUUUAAUAUAUGCAAAUUUUGCUAAUAUGUUAAUGAGAAUUAAAAAGAUAAUUAAGGGAGGCAAUCGAGACAUUCAGGAUAGUUAGGAUGGGACAUGAUUGUGAGUGGUUAGAUAUUGGUCCUAAUUUUGAUCACAAAUAUAUAAACAGGACGAGUUUAUCUCUACUUACAUUCCAUUUGAUAAUUAAGAUGAGAGUGGAAUUGUCAAAUCCCAAAUCAUCCCGGAUCACUGCCACCAAGGGUACUCUCACUAAUAAUAUCUAAAGAAAAAUCUACAUCUAUUUCAUACUUUUUUUUAAUGGAAAGAGCCCUCAUGGGGCUUGAAAUGGUAUCCUAAAUAAUAUUCAGAAUAUCAGGUCAUGAUUGGGUUUGUGACAAACAAAUAUUACAUAGUUGGGAUACGUAGUUAUAGUGUCCCAAUUUAUGUAGUAUCUAUCAUUUAGUGCACAUAUAAAAUAUUAAUCAGCUUAAUUAAUUUAUAAAAUUUAAAUCUAAUUAAUAAGUGAUACAUAAAUGCCAAGUGCAGUACUGUAUAUGCAAAUCAUGUUUGUGGAUCAUUACAAAACUGGCUCUUGAAAACAAGCAAGAAAGCUUAAUUAAGAACUUAAAACAAAAAGAAUUAGAUUGAGAAUAGUCGAGCCUUAUUUUUUCAAGAAUGGAGCUUAUAAAUCUUCAAGUACCAACAUACGCUUGGCCCAAUUGUUGUUACUAAAAUUUCAAUAUACAUAUAUAAGUAUGAUAUAGCAAAAAUUUGAUGGUACAUAUGUCGGAAUAUACUAGUUCAUGGGUGCAUUUGAUUAUUGUUUCCAUAAAUUUGAACCAGGAAGGAUGACACGAUAAAAUUUGAUUUUAUAGUAUGGUUGAUUUCAUAUCUCAUGCACUCAUUUCUUAAGAUAAUCAAAUUUUCUCUGGCAUCUUUUGCAACUGUCGAAAUAUCAAUUAUGAUCAAUCAAAACGAUUUCAAAACCUUUCAACGAGAUAUAUUUCUAAUACAAUAUUGUGAAAAUUACACUAAAAAUUUAAUUUAUUAUAUAUUAUUAUCCAACGAGCACACAAAAAUGAUUUCGUACAAAUCUAAAAUACUGAGCAAUUUUCAAAUAGAAUUUACUAUGUACUACAAGAAAAUAGGGUAUAUGUGACCCCUAAUAUGAAUGCAAAAGCAGCCAUUACGCAUAUCACUAACUUCUAACUUUGUAACUCCGAGUUGCUUUUGUUACCCUUUAUGUGACGGCCACACUGCUGUCACAUAUGUUACGAACCGCGUGACGGCGAAGAGCCGUUCGGUAUACUAAUAUUUUAGAAUUUUAAAUUUAUUUCCAGUUAGAAAACUAUUCGCUGGACUCCGUGUUGCUGGCCACCAUCGUAAACGUAACUGGUUGCCAGCGAACGGCGUAAAACGCCGGCCAUCUUCUUCUUCAUCGUAUUCUCCCUUCAUCUUUUGAGGUAAGCUUGUAAUUAUAGAUUUUGAUUUUUUUUAUUUUGUAUUGUAGCCGUUAUUGUCAAUUUUUGUCCCGCCAGCAAUAUUUUUUUAUUCCUACAAGUUGAAGCCCCUGUGUUCUUGUUCCAUUGGUGAGUUUGCUCACUCAAAUUAAUUUUGUUCUGCGGAAUUUACAAAGUUCAAAUGGAUUCAUUUGAAUUACUAUUGAAUUUAGCUUUAAUUUCAACAUCCAUUCUAAUGUUUUGCAAUUAGAUUUAAUUUAAUUUUAUGUUUAAAGCUUCUACAAUGAAUAGCGGAGCUUGGGUUUUAGUUUCAUUUUCUGGAUAACUUGUUUUAGUUUAUCUUGUAUGCUCACCAAGUGCUUGUUAUAUUGUCUGAUAAGUUAUAUACAUUGCUGAUUCUAUAUUAAUAAUGUUACGUUCUAUUUUCAGAAAUUAUAAUACAAAAGUUUUUACAAUGGCGUGCAUCUACAAACUGAAUUGACUUGUAGAAUAAGAGCUUGGAGUAAAUGAAAGUUCAUAUUGUGUAAGAGCAUGUAGAUGUAAAGCAUCAUUACCAUUUCUACAAAGUGCUUUCAUUCUUGAACUUUGAAAGGUGCCUCGUUCAAGUCCUAGCUAUAACUACUAGCUUUGAUUAAUUACGUUCCUAUACUAGCUGAAACAGAUUUAUUUAAUUAAUUAAUUGUGUAUGUACUAAUUAUAUUGAAAGUAUAUGAAUUUUUUUUUUAACAUGAAUGACUCCUAAAUGACUUAAAAACCUAAAGGAUGUGUGAAAUAAUGCUCAUUUCACUUGAAUGAGCCCAUUAAUACUUUUAUGUCUAUGAUUUUCAAUAUUGGCUAAAGCAUUUCGGUUAAGUGGUUUACCUAACAGAGAAAAAAAUUUAAUAGAAAACUUCAGAGUUCUAACAGAAAUAUAGUUUACUAUGCAGAUAUAGUUAUUUUACGGUAUACAAAUCAAGUCGUCCUAAUCUCAAUGUCCUAUGACCGAUUUUAUAUUAUAUAGUCAUUAAUUUUUUCCUUGGUUUUUUGUGUUUGUGAGUAUGAAAUAGUGGGAUUUGGUGUACCUUAGCAUCUCUUGAAAAUUCUCUUUCAGUGUGGCCAACAGAAAUAUACAUAUAAUCAAGUUUCUUAAUCCUGUAUAUUAGUUUUGGGUAUGAAUGUUCCUAUUCUAGUUCUAGGCAAAGCUUCUUCAUUUUGGUCUUCAGAUUUCCAGUAGGUUAAGUUAAUCAACUAUCAUAACUGGCUAGCUAGUUAUUGUCUGCCUUGGCGCCAUUACCCAGGCCAUUAUAUUGCAUAGCAUAAGGAAUAGUGAUUAGGUGAUUAUUAGUGAUUUGUUGAGCUUAUUAUCGACCAAACAAACAUAUUCGCCUUUGCCCACAACUUAGUUUGAUUAGUUAUUAGACCAUAAAGAGCCUUGAUCUAUUCAUUGGCUUUAUUAUUUUUAUUUGGUUUUUCUUUCAACAAUAUUGUUGAUUUCUUAUAAAAAUAUUCAUUGGUUUUUAAACACCUAAUCAUUGGCUAUAUGAAGCUAAUUAAAACUGAGGCUUUGGAUCAAUUUCUUCUAACAAGAUACAAAUGAGCAUAACCUAUCUCCUCUGAGUAAAUUUUUUUAAUAUCCUUGAUUUGUAAGGAUCUGGAGGCCUGAAAUCCUCUAGAUUUUUUUUAAUACUGUCAAUGUUCUUUUUAUUCUGAAAAGGAACUAAAAGGUUUUAUCUUUCAUACCCUAAUAGUAAGCUGGCCUUGUCUUAACAUGGCUUCCCGAGGAUUUGGAAGAUUCAUAGGCCCCCCCCCCCCCCCCCCCCCCCACACACACACACACAAAAAGGAAGAUUUUGCAAGAUUCACCACCAGGUUAUUUAUUUAUUUAUGAAUUGUGUGUACAUACUAGUUAUAUGUUGAAAGAAUAGGAAGAAGUAUUUCAACAUGAAUGACUUAAAACUUAUUGCUCAGUAAACAUAAUAUGCAUCAGUGCGAAAAUGUAUUUAUCAUUUGUAUUUUUUAUGGUUUUGCUUAAGAAAUGAUAUGUGAAAUAAUGCUACAUGCCUACAUUGUAUCAGGAAUAACUUGAAAAGAUUUAUGAUAUUUAUGUGUUAUUCAAAUUUCAGAUUCAAUUUUAAACUUUUGAUACGUGCAUUAAAAGUUUAGACUUGUUUAAGAAAUUAUUAAUAGACACAUGUUUUAUUAGUGUCAUAUUUGGAUGAUAGUGAGGAUCAUAUGUCUAUUAAUAAUUCUUGAAUUGUCCGGGCUUGGACAGUUUGGGAAUGCAUACUUCUCUCUGGUAGCUAGUAGCCGAAGUUUUCUUCCCACGUAAAAAUGGGUUUUUCGGUAGCUGCUCCUCAUGUUCUCUGGGUACGUACUAGGUGAAUGGGUGUCGUGUUGUUUUGGCAUAACGCAUAAACACUUAUAUAGCUAUGUCGUGUGCUUGGAGAAUUAUAGGGAGAUGGUGCUGAAAUUUUUAUAAACGUAGAAGAAAACUUUAGGUACUUGAGAUUGAAAAAACUUACACAUUCUUGAGUGGGAUAUGUAGGAUUACUUACCUUUGGUAAAUAUGAAGGGAAUGUUGGAUAUAUUGAGGGUAGUGUAGGAGCUGAGUUGGAUGAAUGUAAUUGGUGAUGAUUUUGCUGAGCUGACAUUGGUUUUGAGCUUGUAAUUUUGUUUGUAAAUGGAGUGCUAUCUCCAAUGUUGGUUUAUAAAUAUGUUUCAGGACUUGCUGACCUAAUUUUUUGUUUCUAGGUUACAGGCUUUAUAUAUCUGUAAUUGAUGGCGAAGUGAAGUUCCCAGCACUUGGCGAGGAUGUUGGUUUAUAAACUGUUUUUUAUAUAUACUUUGAUUUUCACAUCUUUUUCUCUGAUUCUUGUGGCUUUGCUUGCUUUCAUAUAUGUAAAUUCUAAUGAAAUUAAACAUAAAAUUGUAAAAUGAUCUUUUUAUUAUAUUGCAAAACUGUGCACACACGAAAAUAUCUUGUUUAGUAGUAGAAAUGAAGAACUAAAAUGAUUUAUUUAACUAAUAUUUGUAGCGCAUUAAAAGGAGAUAGUCAUGGACAAGUGUUGGGUUGGUUUGCCAAAUAGAUAUCCAAGUCAUAUACUGACGGGGAUGAAAAAUUUAUAGAUUUUGCAUUUGAGAAUGUUGUUGGUGGUACAAGAAUUUAAUGUCCUUUUAAGAAGUGUUGUAAUCUAUAUUUCGUUAUAAGGAAAGUGGCUGAUGAUGAUAUGGUUGGAAUGAUACAAUGCAUCACGUAAUCAAAUGUUCAAGUUACACUCAACAUUGUUAUGGACUAUCAGUGACUUUCUAGCAUUGCCAACUUGUUUGGGUGGAGCAUUAAAGGUAAAUAAGCACGUCUUGUUUGCCAACAAAACACUAGAUCUAAUUGGUUGAUACAUGGUAGAAAAUUUUGUCACGUGGGUCACCGUCGAUUUUUACCGACAAAUCAUAGGUUUCGAAAAUAUAGUGUCUUUUGAUAAAACUAGAGAGUAGGGACAAGCACCUUCUCGGUUGUCUGGAACUGAAGUGAAAAAGCAGUUUAAUAUACUUACUGAGUAUAAGAUUGAAGACUUGAAAAGAGGAGAACGAAUAAAAUGAGAGAAAUGAUAAGAUUACUUGGAAGAAGAACAGCAUUUUUUAUGAGAACUACCGUAUUCAUCAUGAUCUUGUUGUCAUGCACUGCUUUGAUUUUUGUUAUGAACUCAGAUCAAAAGUUUAAUGUGAUCAAACUUUCUUAAAAAAAGUGAAAACGACUCCUAGUAAUAUGCUUUGAUUUUUGUUAUGAACUCAGAUCAAAAGUUUAAUGUGAUCAAACUUUCUUAAAAAAAGUGAAAACGACUCCUAGUAAUAUGGAAGAUGGCUAUAAAAGAUAAAAGGAAAGGCUUAAAAAGAAAAGCCAUGCCUGUCAAAAAAUAAAAAAAUAAAAAUGGCAGCGUCAAAUUUAUAACAAAAAUAAAAACGGUGCGUUUGAGAGUGUAAAAAAUACAUUUAGUGGGAGUUAUGUUGUUGCUUGAAGGCAGAUUGUUUGUGAGAUUUUUGUCGACGAAGCCAAAACCAAAGAUGAAUUACGAGGGUUAUGUUUGCCAUAGUCAAGGAACACGGUCCUCUCACCUUUGCCGAAACUUGGGAACGCGUCAAGGUGUGUGUAUCUAUUAAAUUGAAUUUCAACCGUUUGAUCUGUAAUUAUAAUUAAUCCAAUCAAUCUGACAGUGAUCGCUGACCAUAAUACUAGUAGUUGUUUUACAUUUUCAGCAAGCUGGAGCGAGUGGAUUGACGGGCAAAAGCCACAUGAAGAUUGUGUUGAGAUGGAUGAGGGAGAGACAAAAGCUCAGGCUCGUCUGAAAUCACGUGGGCCCUCAUAAGCAAAUCCUGUACACAACAACUUGAAGCAGCCAAAGUCAGGGAAUGAUCCUUCUCCGUCACAACCCUAGCUGCCUUAAAGUGAGACUGUGAAGAUGAAGUAAAGCACCAGUUGAACAAUGAAGAUGGAAACCCCUCAGCAUGUAAACUUUUCAACAGUGACACAGCUCUUAUUCCAGAGGCUGCACAGAAGAGCGACCUGAAUCCUCUUCAAGACUUUCAAAUUUUUAUCAAGUAAAGCUUCCAAAAUUUCUCAACAAAUUGAUUAUUUGGUGUGGUUGACACAUUUUGUGUAAUAACAGAAAAUUGAUUAUUUGGUGUAACAACAGAAAAUUACAAGAUCGCUGACAAAAUGACAAAAUGACAAAAUGACAAAAUGAAACUGAAGAUAAAUCAGAACAACUACCAAACCUUUGACUGAAAAUUCAAAAGAAUUUAUAUUCAAAAUGUCAAAAUAAACUGGAAAUUUAUUGCAUAUAUUACAAGAAGCAGUACACACCAAUUGUAAAUUGAUACAUCGUUUUUGAAAUUAAGAUAGUCAAAUGAAAGAAACACAACGGAGGGUUAAUGUAACACUUUCAAAGCUGCAUUAGUGAUACAGUAGAGUGAAUACCCUCAGCAUGUAAACUUAACUUCAAAGGACGGAGCACAAGUUUCACAGAAAAGUAGCUCUUAUUCCUGAUGCUGCAAACACAGAGGAGUGACCUCAAUCUUCUUCAUAACUUGGGAAUUCUGCAAUUAUAGAGCACGACAUUGAGCAUGAACUAGAAAAAAUAUUUAUUUUGUACAAUUUUCAUGUAACCUGACUAACCAAGAUUAAUUUGGUGGUAAUGCAUUGGGUCAUUACUUUAUAUGUUUUUACUGUCAUCACUUUAGAAAAAACUAAUUUCUCAAUGUGAAAUGGCCCACAAAAGUAUUAUCGUUUAAAAACUAAAGAUUAAAGCCCCCGGGGGGGGGGGGGUGUCUGAAGGCUUUUUACAUGAAAAUGUUGUCACUUUGAAUGAUAUUUUCAAGGAAUUUUAUUCUAAAAAUAAAAUACGUGGGACCUUAUUCUUCAAAUUGACAGCUCGCCAAGUACUAAAGGCGUAUGAGAUCAGUACUGCGGCGAGUAAGGAGACGACCCCUCCAACAGCUGAAAAUAAAAUUAGCAUUCAUCAAUUUAAAUUAAAAUUCAUAUUAUGAAAUAAAAACUAAUGAUUAAUGAAUUUCCGAGGAAUUUCAUAAGAUUCUCAUAUAAAAACGUGAUAAAAAACUCACUCAUCAAUAACAAAUAUUCUAACAGUUACCCGUACCUUUUCUUGAUGUAAUUGUUGUAUGAUUGUGUUAAGGUCAUUAUUAGACCAACGCAGUUUGUCUUCACUCCUUCCGUACCAGACGUUUACUCUCGGAGGCGUGGUUGAUUCUCCUUUGGUGAAAAUCUUCAUCUUGGGACAACCAAUCACCGACAAAUCUUGCAAAGAUGGGAAUUUGAAGGUGUAAUUGGCAGAGGAGAAGCUUGUGAGACUAUCUAAAUCAAGCAGGGACAAUGUAAUCAAUUUGCUGAAAACAAUCUCUUCUUUUAUAUUUGCUGUUUCAUCUUCGUCACAUACUACGACUUCUGUCAUUGCUGUGCAUCCAAAUACCUUCAAUGAUAAGAGUCGCUCCAGACUUUUUGCUGUGGAGCAUGUUAGUAAGUUCAUCAAUUUCUUGCAAGCAAAAGCUUGCAGGCGUGUGAGAUUCCGAAAAGAUACCGAUGAUGAUGGCAAUAGACUUAACAGAUUUUGACAGUGAUAUGCUCUUAUAAUUUCAAGAUGUUGGAAAAUGAAGUCCAGCUGUUUGGAGUCAUGUUUCCACAGUUGCUGCAGACGAUUAAGUCUGGUCAGGUUUAACCUUUUUAUCAGUGCCA